Molecule: long non-coding RNA, 95831 nt
Filed under: Gossypium barbadense (sea-island cotton)
Lineage: Eukaryota; Viridiplantae; Streptophyta; Magnoliopsida; Malvales; Malvaceae
Description: long non-coding RNA (GBAR_LNC001606)
Source: RNAcentral
AAAGCUUCUUGUUGAUUCAAUCAACACAUUCUGAAAGUCUAAAAUGUACAGAAUGUAGUAACAUCGAGUAAAUAUUACGAAUACUUAGUAAGAUCAUACAAUAUAAAUAAUUAACUUACCUUAAUCAUUUAACAUAAACAAAUCAUUAGGUAAAACAAUUUCACCUAUCAUGGCAUAACACAACAACAUCAACAAGGUGAGAUUUGGUUUAUGAUCAUUGUAAUGCCCCAAAAUUUAAUAAAUUGUUUUUGUAAAUAAUUCACACAAAUCUGUAUUUGCUUUAGUGGUUAAGUGUUCUGGGUGUGUGUAAGAGGUCCCAAGUUUAAGCCACAACUUAGGUAAAUUUUUGGUAUUUUUAUGAAUAAAGCCCCACUCUUGUUUAAUAGGCUUAUAUUUGAUUGUGUGUAAAAUUCUGGCAGAAUGGACCUGCUGGUUUGGUGGUUAAGUGGAGUGUUAAUAUAUUGUAGGUCCUGUGUUUGAAUCAAGCUGUAAGCAAGGGUUUUAUUUUUGCUACAAAUUUAGGCUAGAGUUUGAGUUUUAGUGAAAAUCUGAGCAGUGGGUUAAUGGUGAGAGUUUUGAGGAGAAUUUAGUGGAAGUGAUAAUUUUUUUCCAAAACCGAUUUCUUUCUCAAGCUUUGCUGCCAUUUUUGCUCUCCCCAAACCCCCCUUGCUGCCGAAUCUGUUCUUCCUUUUCCUACGUAAAAUCGUCCCCUUCUUAAUGCUAAGGUUUUACAAUCCAUUACGUCUAUUUUCUCUUUGCGUUGGGUAAGUGCAAUUAACAUUUUAUUGCUAACUUUGGGUUAAUAAAUCGUUAUCUCUGAUUGACGUUCGAAGUGGGUGAAACCCCGAUUGUGUGAUUGAAGGUAACAUUUUGUGAGUUAGCGUUUGGUUUUUCUCGUACGUUUUCAUUUGAGCAUAGCUUCAAGUGACUAAUUUGGCGUUAUAUUGGUUUAAUGAAGGUUCUGGAGUGCUCGUGGUCAUUUUAGUUUUGAAUCAACACCAGGUGUGUACUCGAGAACACAGGAAACGAGAAUCAACGAAAGUCAAAAAAUGAAUCUGUCGACGUCACAUGGACUUGUAGUCACUCGUGUGACUGAACACGAGCGUGUAAACGACGAGCCAGGUCGUGCAAUCAUGACACGGGCGCAUGACACGACCGUGUGAUGGCCGAAGAGGACAUGUGUGUGACACAGGCUCGACCAAUUAGGCCGUAUGGGCCACACGGGCGUGUGGACCUAGACGAGUGAACUACACGGGUGUGUGGGAUUUUUGGGCCAGGCCAUGUGAUCCCUACGGCCAAGGCCAAUUUAGGCAAUGUGGGCCCACACAGGUAGGCUACAUGGGCGUGUGAGCCAAUUUUUUUUAAAUGAUCUGUAAGGUUGCACGGGUCGCCCAAGUCAAUUGUGGACCUAAUGUAGGGUUUGGUAAGUGUUACUUAGAUCCCUAAACGAGUAUCCUAAUUGUUUGAUUUCUAUACUGAGCAUGAACUGUGAUAUUUGAAUUAAUUGUAUGAUCUGAUAGAAAGCAUAUUAGCAUGUCAUAUUUGUAUAUUGCAUUGUAUCGGGGUUGGGUUGAUAUUUUGAAGGAAGUACUCUGAAAGGCUCUUAAGCCUGAUAUCUGGCAGCUCAGCUGUAAUUAUCUGAUAAUGUGCCAUAUUUCGGUACAACAUGGUGUGUAGGGAUGGGUGGGUCGAUUUUAUCCCCACAUGGUGUGUAGGGUUGGACGGAGAUGGUGUGUAGAGGUUGGUGGGUAGCACUCUGUGUAACACCCCGAACCCGAAACCGACACCGGAGUCGAACACGAGGUGUUAACUGACUUUAACCCCUUAUAAAGUUUAUUUUCCAGACACUGCCCAAUCUGUGUACUAGUCGUUCUAAAAAUCAUAUCUUGAGUUUCGUAACUCGAAAAUAAGUUUAGUGAUUUUUCCCAGAAACUAGACUCAUGUGCCCAUCUAUGUAUUUUUUUCUAGAAUUUUUGGUUGGGCCAAUUAGUACAGUUUAUUAGUCAAAGUCUCCCAUGUUGCAGGGGUCGACUACACUGACCUUUUCCCAUUACGACUUGGAUAUCUCACUGCACAGGGCUCCAAUACUGAUGUCGUUUGUUUCUAUGAAAACUAGACUCGGAGAGGAAUCUGUACAUAUAUGGUAAAACCCCUAAUUAUCUCUGGUUAAUUUAUAAUGAAUUUCCAAAGUCGGAGCAGGGAAUCCAGAAACCGUUCUGGCCCUGUCCCACAAAAAUCUGAUUAUCUCUUAAUAUACUGCCCAUAUGAUCUUUUCGUUACUUCCUCAUGAAAACAGACUCAUCGAGCUUCGAUUACAUAAUUUAUUCGUCAAUUAAUUCCACUCCUACUAUUUUUAGUGAUUUUUCAAUCUCAUGACACUGCUGCUGCCAGCAUCUGUUACGAAAGUAACUAGGCCCAUUUCAUGCCUACCCUUGAUCCAACUCAAUCGAACAUUCGUGCCAUUUUCGCAUGGCUUAAAGUUUACAUGCCAAAGUUCAAACACAACAUAAUAGCUUAUACAUGCCAAAAUGUUCUUCUAAUCCAACUAAGAAGAAAGUACCAAAACUUGCUAUCCGGUGUGAUGACUUCGAUGACGGCCCGACCCCGCAAAAAUAGAUGAGUCCAAACAACCUAUAAUGGGUGACAAGGAAACACCGAGUGAGUUUAUAACUCAGUAAGUCAUAAGCAAUGCACUACCAUCCAUCAAUAACAUUAUCACAAGAGGAAACAAAAUGGAACAAGACAAUUUACUCCAUCCAUACCGAACCAUACCAUAGUUCCUCCAACCUAUCGAUUCAGUUUCAUGUCACUUCAUGCAUUCACAUUCCAUAUACUCAUCAAUAGGACAUUGAGGCAUUUUCAUAAUUCAAUUUAUUUUCGUUACAAUCAAACGACUAAACGGCCUUUCACCCAUCCUACUAUAAAUUUUAUGUACGUGACUUCAAGUAUAUUUGUCACAUAGGUUCAAACUUACCGAGCUCAACACCAAGUAUAAGCAUAGCACCCAUUAGCCAUGUACUCAAGACACUUACCCGAUCCGCUGUCCGCGAUCGACUCGAUAGUGUCGCACACAUAGUGUCCAUAAUGAUUCACGAAUGUAUAUUGAGUCCGCUCACUCAAUGCUAUAUAAUCAACUCGCACACUUAGUGCUACGUAAUCAAAUCGCACACUUAGUGCUACAUAGUCAAACUCGCACACUUAGUGCCGCAUGGUCAAUUCGCACACUUAGUGCAUCAUAUUCAUUUCGCACACUUAGUGCAACAUAGUCAAAUCGCACACUUAGUGCUACAUAGUCAAAUCGCACACUUAGUGCUGUACAAUUUACUCCCGCGCACUUAGCGCCAAUCUCAUGGUCAUAAAUGGUUAUACCCGCACGUUUAGUGCCGAGAUCAACAACUCAGUACAUCUUACCUCUUUUCUUUUCAUUCAACAAUUUCAUCAUCACAUACGUACAUGCAUAUAUAUAUGUAUAUUUAUUCAUUCCAUUCAGCAUCAAUACAUAACAUUAUGACCAUUUAAAACAAUACCAACUACAUGCUUAAUGACUUACUUUAUGUUGGGUAAAAUAAUUCCGAGUCGGCUACUCGAUGACCUUCGAUUUCCCCUUGUUGGAUGCCUCUCCUUUAGGUUCUUGAGCUUAAAUAAUACAAGUAAGAGUAUUCAAUAUUUAACCCAAUAACAUGAAUUUAUUUAUCACAUUCGGCAAUCACAUAUCAUUAAUUUUUCAAACCAAAAUGUCAUUAUAUGACCACACAUACACAUAUCUAUAUACUUAAGCUCAAUAAUUAUAAUGUAAUAUCAUGUGCCCACUUUAAGUAUAUUGCCGAAUAUACUUAAUCAUACAUACACCUAACCAAAACAAUUUCCUAAAAUCUUUAUAUCAUUUAUACACUAAGCCGAAUACUCUCACCAAGUUCACCUAUAUUCUUCAACAAUUCCUUCAUUGAUCAUACACAUAUUUGGCUAAAGAAAUUGAAAUUUUAGCAACCUUCGAUUUAGUACUUAACUUUUACCACAUAUCAAAUAACUCAUUUCCUUACUCAUGUGACCACAUAUAUUCGGUCAUGCAUACACACAUAAAAUCAAUUUGGAGACUCUAUCAAUCCAACAUACAUUCGGCACCUUCAUCCACCAUUCUACCAAGCAUGUAAUAUUCAAACACAACCAAACUCACAUUCGGCCCUAGCUCAUAACAAGGUAGCCGAUUCUUUUUAUUGUUCAAUCACUCCUCUAUCAUCAUUCACCUAACUUUAACAUGAAACAACAAAACUCACCAUUCCUCAUCCAAAUAACAUGAACAACAACCAUUUCUUGAACACUUUCUCAUGACCGAUUGCUCAUGUUACCAACAAGAUUUGAACAUGGGCUAUUUAGAACUCAAGUCAAUUACUAAAACAUGCAUGCAUCUCAAGGACAACAUCAAACAUACCUUAGUCUAGCAAAUCACCAUAGCCGAUUUUCUCAAGCUUUUCCCCUUCCUUUCUUUCCUCUAUUCGGCCAAGGAUGAACCAAAGGAUGAGUAAAUUUUUUUUUCUUUGUUUUUCUUUCUAAUUUAGGCUAAAUGAAGGUGAGAAAGGAUGAACACAAAAUUUUCUCCUUUCUUCUCUUUAUCUCACGGCAAUGGGGGGGAGGCAACCACACAUUUUUUUUUUCUUUUGUUUUCCAUUUCUUUAUUACCCAUACUCCUUAUUUUAUUCUUCCAUUAACAAAACAUGUUUCAUGACAUGUUUUGCCCAUCUUUCCUUGUCAUGGCCGGCCACUACUCAUUAGGGAGGGGGAAUUUGACAUGCAAGUCCCCUUUUUCUUCCACAUGCACUAAUAGGUCCUCAUGCAUUGACCUAUCACAUUUUAAAAUUUUCUCAUAUAAGUCCUAUUGACUAAAUUCACAUGCAAUCAACUAAAUCGAAGCUUGAAAUUUUCACACAUUCAUGGUUACAUAUUCUAGACAAUAAACAUCACAUUCAAACCUUUCGGUGACUCGGUUUAGCGGUCCCGAAACCACUUCCCGACUAGGGUCAAUUUUGGGCUGUCACAACUCUCCCCCACUUAAGAAAUUUUCGUCCCCGAAAAUCUUACCGGUAAAUAGGUUUGGAUAUCGUUCUUUCAUCGAGCUCUCGGGUUCCCAGGUUGCUUCCUCGAUCCCGUGUUUGAGCCACAACACCUUAACCAACGGAACCCUUUUAUUUCUCAACUCUUUCACUUCACGAGCUAGGAUACGAAUCGGUUCUUCUUCAUAGCUCAAGUCAGAUUGAAUUUCAACUUCUGAGGGAUUAAUCACAUGUGACGGAUCGGAUCUAUAACGUCGAAGCAUUGAAACAUGGAAGACAUCGUGCAUCCUUUCAAGUUGAGGGGGCAAAAUCAAUCUAUAUGCAACCGGCCCCACUCGUUCGGAAAUUUCGUACGGCCCAAUGAAUCUCGGGCUCAACUUGCCCUUACGGCCAAACCUGAGUACCUUUUUCCAAGGCGAAACUUUAAGGAACACUUUAUCUCCUACCUGAUAUUCAAUGUCCUUUCGUUUCAAAUCCGCAUACGAUUUUUGACGAUCUGUGGCUGCUUUCAGACUUUCACGGAUUACCUUUACUUUCUGUUCAGCAUCCUUAAUCAAAUCAACUCCGAAAAUUUUACUUUCACCGAGCUCGGUCCAAAACAAUGGUGUACGGCAUUUACGACCGUACAAAGCCUCAUACGGUGCCAUCUUAAUACUUGAUUGAAAACUAUUGUUGUAAGCGAAUUCAAUCAAAGGUAAAUACCGUUCCCAUGAACUACUAAACUCGAGGAUGCAACAUCUCAACAUAUCCUCAAGUAUCUGAAUUAUCCACUCGGAUUGACCAUCGGUUUGGGGGUGAUAAGCGGUGCUAAAAUGCAGCUUGGUACCCAAAGCUUCUUGCAAUUUCUUCCAAAAUCGUGAGGUGAAUCUCGGAUCUCUAUCCGACACGAUAGAAAUAGGCACUCCAUGUAAUCUCACAAUCUGAGAGACAUACAAUUCGGCUAGUUUAUCCAAUGAAAGAUUCGUACGCACGGGGAUAAAGUGAGCCGACUUAGUCAGCCUAUCAACAACAACCCAAAUCGCAUCCUUCUUACUUGCGGACAAUGGCAGUCCGGACACAAAGUCCAUUGUGACUCGGUCCCAUUUCCACUCGGGUAUCAUGAUCGGCUGAAGUAACCCUGAAGGCACUUGAUGUUCCGCUUUCACUUGUUGACAUAUUAAACAUCUCGAAACAAAGUCAGAGAUGUCCCGUUUCAUACCGUGCCACCAAAACCGACGUUUCAAGUCGUUGUACAUUUUCGUGCUCCCCGGGUGAAUUGACAUUUGGCUACAAUGGGCUUCGUUCAGAAUCAUCGGAAUGAGUUCCAAAUUCCUUGGAACACACAAACGACUUCUAAACCUCAAACAGCCAUCAUCAUCAAUCUGAAACUCCGAUUCCUUGUUCGGAACACACUCAGCUCGUUUUGCAACCAAUUCAUCAUCGACUUUCUGAGCUUCAAGAAUUUGAUGAGUCAAUAAUGGUUUGGAUUUUAAUUCAGCUACUAACACAUUGUCAGAUAGAACAGACAAGUGUACAUUCAUCGCUCGCAAAGCAAACAGUGAUUUCCGGCUUAAGGCGUCCGCAACCACAUUAGCCUUUCCCGGGUGGUAAUCAAUGACGAGCUCGUAAUCUUUCAACAACUCAAGCCAACGUCUUUGUCGCAGAUUCAAGUCUCGUUGAGUCAUCAAAUAUUUGAGACUUUUGUGAUCCGAAAACACAUGGCACUUCUCACCAAACAAAUAAUGUCGCCAUAUUUUCAAUGCGAACACAAUGGCGGCUAGUUCGAGAUCAUGGGUCGGAUAGUUUCUCUCGUGUGGCUUCAAUUGUCUCGACGCAUAGGCCACAACUCGACCUUCUUGCAUCAAUACGCAACCCAACCCAAGUAGGGAUGCGUCACUAUAAAUGACAAACUCUUUACCCGAUUCGGGUUGCACCAAAAUUGGAGCUUCAGUCAAAUGAGUUUUCAGCUGAUCGAAGCUUUUCUGACAUUUCUCCGUCCAUUCGAACUUAACAUCCUUUUGAAGUAGCUUCGUCAUUGGUGUGGCUAUCAUCGAGAAACCUUUGACAAAUCGUCGGUAAUAACCGGCGAGCCCUAGAAAGCUCUGGACUUCGGUAACAUUUCUCGGAGGCUUCCAGUUAAGUAUGGCUGAAAUUUUGCUCGGGUCAACUCGAAUACCCGAUGCGGAUACCACAUGACCCAAGAAGCUAACCUCUCUUAACCAGAACUCACACUUACUGAACUUAGCAUAUAACUGCUUAUCCCGCAAAAUUUGCAACACUAGCCUCAGAUGCUCAGCAUGUUCGGUCUCAUCUCUUGAAUAGACCAAGAUGUCAUCAAUAAACACAACUACGAACCAAUCCAAAUACGGCCUGAAGAUCCGAUUUAUCAAAUCCAUAAACACCGCAGGGGCAUUAGUGAGCCCAAACGGCAUCACUAAGAACUCGUAGUGACCGUACCUCGUUCUGAAAGCAGUUUUGGGUACGUCCGAAUCUCGAAUCCGCAACUGAUAAUAACCCGAUCUCAAAUCUAUCUUUGAAAACACCGAUGCUCCCUUUAAUUGAUCGAACAGAUCAUCAAUACGCGGUAACGAAUACUUAUUCUUUAUCGUCACUUUAUUCAGUUGACGAUAGUCAAUGCACAACCUCAUGGUUCCGUCCUUCUUUUUCACGAACAAUACUGGUGCACCCCAGGGUGAGAAACUCGGUCGAGCGAAACCUCUAUCCGUCAAUUCUUGCAACUGAGCUUUCAACUCUUUUAACUCGGUUAGUGCCAUACGAUACGGAGCUAUCGAAAUUGGCGCGGUUCCAGGUACAAGCUCAAUACCAAACUCUAUCUCCCGAACAGGUGGCAAACCCGGUAACUCUUCAGGAAAAACAUCCGGGUAUUCACAAACCACCGGCACCGAUUCGGGUUUCUUUUCUAACUCCUUGUCAUCAAGUACAUACGCGAGGUACGCUUCGCACCCUUUCCUUACAUAUUUCUGUGCCAACAUUGCUGAUAUUACAGCUGGCAACCCCCUUAAGUCCGCAGACUCAACUCGGAUUAUUUCGUUAUUUGCGCACCUCAAAUCGAUAGUCUUGCUUUUGCAAUUCACAACCGCAUCAUGCGCGGUUAACCAAUCCAAACCAAGAAUAACAUCAAACUCGUCGAACGGCAAAAGCAUCAAAUCGGACGGAAAACAGGAUUCUCGGAUUAUUAGAGGGCAUCUCUUACACACUUUAUCAACAAGUACGCAUUGACCCAACGGGUUUGAUACUCGAAUUACGAGCUCAGUAGACUCAACAGGUAGAGUCUUACUGGUUGCUAAGGUUUCACAUACAUAUGAAUGAGUAGAACCAGGGUCAAUCAAUGCAAUCACAUUAGUAUCAAAGAGAGUGAAGGUACCAGUGAUGACGUCGGGGGAGGAUGCCUCCUCUCGUGCGCGAAUGGCAUAUGCUCUAGCAGGAGUACGGUUCUCGGCUCGAUCGGCCGUAUCAGAGGCCCCCCUCUGACUACCGCCUCUGCCUCCUAAGAUUCUCGGUGGUCUACCUCUAGAUGUCAUUCCACUAGGUCUUGCACAUUGAAUCUUAUUCUUCUCAUCCAGCUCCGUGCAAUCUCUAAUGAAGUGGUCCUUCGAACCGCAUCCGUAACAGGCCCUGUUAGUAGACUUGCCCCAACAUUCACCUAGGUGUCGUCUUCCACAUUGGGGACAUUCAGGUUUCUCGUGACGAUUAUUGCCCACACUAGCUACCGAAGUAGCUCGGGAGCCCAUCGAUGGUCUUGCCCUGAUGGAAAUUCCCGCAGUCGCCCUCGACUUAUUAAUGUCCUCCCUGAACUUCUUUACAGCUGAGAACGGAGCUUUACCCGUCGAUCUUUUACGAUAAUCUCUAACUUCAAAUUCGGCCUUCCUCUUCUCCUUUCCAAGUUCUUCCGCCUUGCAGGCUCGUUCGACUAGUGUUACGAAUUCUUUUAUUUCCAAAAUACCCAUUAGUAGCUUUAAAUCUUCAUUCAAUCCUUCCUCGAAUCUUUUGCACAUAGCAACCUCAUCAGCUACACACUCCCGGGCAUACCUACUGAGUCUUACGAAUUCAUGUUCGUAUUCAGAUACAGUCAUACGGCCUUGCUUGAGUUCCAAGAACUCCUUACGCUUCUGAUCAAUGAACCGUUGGCUAAUAAAUUUCUUUCGGAAUUCCGUUUGAAAGAAGUCCCAAGUUACUCGCUCGUUCGGGACUAUGGAAAUCAAGGUCCUCCACCAAUAGUAGGCUGAGUCUCGCAACAAAGAUACAGCACAUUUUAGACAUUCGUCGGGUGUGCAUGACAAUUCAUCGAACACCCGAAUGGUGUUAUCAAGCCAGAACUCGGCCCUUUCGGCAUCAUCAGUUACUAUGGCCUUGAACUCCUCGGCCCCACGCUUCCUAAUCAAGUCUACAGGUGGCUUACUCAGCCUCACAGGAUCAGCGACUGAUGGCAUUACAGGCUCUUGGGGUGGAUUAUUCAAAUUUGGGAAUUGUUGGACAGCCGGGUUGGUUCGGGCAUAUUGCGCGACCCACUCAUUCAUCAUGGUAAAGAAGGCUUGUUUAGCCCCCUCACCUUGAUUAUUCGCAGAUGACUGAGGUUCAACAGGCGGCGUCCCUUGUGCAGGAGCAGCCGCUACGCUCUUAACGUCAUCCGCUAGGGUUCUUUCUUCACCGGGGUCCAUUUACUAAUCAAAACAAAAACAUUUCAACCGUCAGAAGUCAUCACACAUUUAAACAUUAACAUUCGGCAUGUAUAGCUAGACUCAUACGCGCUAUGGUAGUCCUAGAACCGACUAAACCAUAGCUCUGAUACCAAUCAAAUGUAACACCCCGAACCCGAAACCGACACCGGAGUCGAACACGAGGUGUUAACUGACUUUAACCCCUUAUAAAGUUUAUUUUCCAGACACUGCCCAAUCUGUGUACUAGUCGUUCUAAAAAUCAUAUCUUGAGUUUCGUAACUCGAAAAUCAGUUUCGUGAUUUUUCCCAGAAACUAGACUCAUGUGACCAUCUAUGUAUUUUUUUCUAGAAUUUUUGGUUGGGCCAAUUAGUACAGUUUAUUAGUCAAAGUCUCCCAUGUUGCAGGGGUCGACUACACUGACCUUUGCCCAUUACGACUUGGAUAUCUCAUUGCACACGGCUCCAAUACUGAUGUCGUUUGUUUCUAUGAAAACUAGACUCGGAGAGGAAUCUGUACAUAUAUGGUACAACCCCUAAUUAUCUCUGGUUAAUUUAUAAUGAAUUUCCAAAGUCGGAGCAGGGAAUCCAGAAACCGUUCUGGCCCUGUCCCACAAAAAUCUGAUUAUCUCUUAAUAUACUGCCCAUAUGAUCUUUUCGUUACUUCCUCAUGAAAACAGACUCAUCGAGCUUCGAUUACAUAAUUUAUUCGUCAAUUAAUUCCACUCCUACUAUUUUUAGUGAUUUUUCAAUCUCAUGACACUGCUGCUGCCAGCAUCUGUUACGAAAGUAACUAGGCCCAUUUCAUGCCUACCCUUGAUCCAACUCAAUCGAACAUUCGUGCCAUUUUCGCAUGGCUUAAAGUUUACAUGCCAAAGUUCAAACACAACAUAAUAGCUUAUACAUGCCAAAAUGUUCUUCUAAUCCAACUAAGAAGAAAGUACCAAAACUUGCUAUCCGGUGUGAUGACUUCGAUGACGGCCCGACCCCGCAAAAAUAGAUGAGUCCAAACAACCUAUAAUGGGUGACAAGGAAACACCGAGUGAGUUUAUAACUCAGUAAGUCAUAAGCAAUGCACUACCAUCCAUCAAUAACAUUAUCACAAGAGGAAACAAAAUGGAACAAGACAAUUUACUCCAUCCAUACCGAACCAUACCAUAGUUCCUCCAACCUAUCGAUUCAGUUUCAUGUCACUUCAUGCAUUCACAUUCCAUAUACUCAUCAAUAGGACAUUGAGGCAUUUUCAUAAUUCAAUUUAUUUUCGUUACAAUCAAACGACUAAACGGCCUUUCACCCAUCCUACUAUAAAUUUUAUGUACGUGACUUCAAGUAUAUUUGUCACAUAGGUUCAAACUUACCGAGCUCAACACCAAGUAUAAGCAUAGCACCCAUUAGCCAUGUACUCAAGACACUUACCCGAUCCGCUGUCCGCGAUCGACUCGAUAGUGUCGCACACAUAGUGUCCAUAAUGAUUCACGAAUGUAUAUUGAGUCCGCUCACUCAAUGCUAUAUAAUCAACUCGCACACUUAGUGCUACGUAAUCAAAUCGCACACUUAGUGCUACAUAGUCAAACUCGCACACUUAGUGCCGCAUGGUCAAUUCGCACACUUAGUGCAUCAUAUUCAUUUCGCACACUUAGUGCAACAUAGUCAAAUCGCACACUUAGUGCUACAUAGUCAAAUCGCACACUUAGUGCUGUACAAUUUACUCCCGCGCACUUAGCGCCAAUCUCAUGGUCAUAAAUGGUUAUACCCGCACGUUUAGUGCCGAGAUCAACAACUCAGUACAUCUUACCUCUUUUCUUUUCAUUCAACAAUUUCAUCAUCACAUACGUACAUGCAUAUAUAUAUGUAUAUUUAUUCAUUCCAUUCAGCAUCAAUACAUAACAUUAUGACCAUUUAAAACAAUACCAACUACAUGCUUAAUGACUUACUUUAUGUUGGGUAAAAUAAUUCCGAGUCGGCUACUCGAUGACCUUCGAUUUCCCCUUGUUGGAUGCCUCUCCUUUAGGUUCUUGAGCUUAAAUAAUACAAGUAAGAGUAUUCAAUAUUUAACCCAAUAACAUGAAUUUAUUUAUCACAUUCGGCAAUCACAUAUCAUUAAUUUUUCAAACCAAAAUGUCAUUAUAUGACCACACAUACACAUAUCUAUAUACUUAAGCUCAAUAAUUAUAAUGUAAUAUCAUGUGCCCACUUUAAGUAUAUUGCCGAAUAUACUUAAUCAUACAUACACCUAACCAAAACAAUUUCCUAAAAUCUUUAUAUCAUUUAUACACUAAGCCGAAUACUCUCACCAAGUUCACCUAUAUUCUUCAACAAUUCCUUCAUUGAUCAUACACAUAUUUGGCUAAAGAAAUUGAAAUUUUAGCAACCUUCGAUUUAGUACUUAACUUUUACCACAUAUCAAAUAACUCAUUUCCUUACUCAUGUGACCACAUAUAUUCGGUCAUGCAUACACACAUAAAAUCAAUUUGGAGACUCUAUCAAUCCAACAUACAUUCGGCACCUUCAUCCACCAUUCUACCAAGCAUGUAAUAUUCAAACACAACCAAACUCACAUUCGGCCCUAGCUCAUAACAAGGUAGCCGAUUCUUUUUAUUGUUCAAUCACUCCUCUAUCAUCAUUCACCUAACUUUAACAUGAAACAACAAAACUCACCAUUCCUCAUCCAAAUAACAUGAACAACAACCAUUUCUUGAACACUUUCUCAUGACCGAUUGCUCAUGUUACCAACAAGAUUUGAACAUGGGCUAUUUAGAACUCAAGUCAAUUACUAAAACAUGCAUGCAUCUCAAGGACAACAUCAAACAUACCUUAGUCUAGCAAAUCACCAUAGCCGAUUUUCUCAAGCUUUUCCCCUUCCUUUCUUUCCUCUAUUCGGCCAAGGAUGAACCAAAGGAUGAAAAUUUUUUUUUCUUUGUUUUUCUUUCUAAUUUAGGCUAAAUGAAGGUGAGAAAGGAUGAACACAAAAUUUUCUCCUUUCUUCUCUUUAGCUCACGGCAAUGGGGGGGGCAACAACACAUUUUUUUUUUCUUUUGUUUUCCAUUUCUUUAUUACCCAUACUCCUUAUUUUAUUCUUCCAUUAACAAAACAUGUUUCAUGACAUGUUUUGCCCAUUUUUCCUUGUCAUGGCCGGCCACUACUCAUUAGGGAGGGGGAAUUUGACAUGGAAGUCCCCUUUUUCUUCCACAUGCACUAAUAGGUCCUCAUGCAUUGACCUAUCACAUUUUAAAAUUUUCUCAUAUAAGUCCUAUUGACUAAAUUCACAUGCAAUCAACUAAAUCGAAGCUUGAAAUUUUCACACAUUCAUGGUUACAUAUUCUAGACAAUAAACAUCACAUUCAAACCUUUCGGUGACUCGGUUUAGCGGUCCCGAAACCACUUCCCGACUAGGGUCAAUUUUGGGCUGUCACACUCUGUUAUACUAUUCUGUAUCUGAUUCUAUAUCUGAGUGGGCUAUGGUCCACACUGAUUUUGUAAAGGGCUCAGACUUGAUCUAUGUAUAAAUACAAGAUUGAUUUUCGAUAUGUGUUGUGUGUAUACUUUCUGUGGAUUUACACACUGAGUUUGCGAAAACUCACUCCUUUCUGUUUAAUCUAUUCAGGUAAUCGCCAGCAUUAGGCGGAUCAGUGCAGCGAAGUUCUCGGCAGUGACCACCAUGAUUUCAUACUAUAUUAAUGCAGUUUUUCUUAGUUAUUUGUUUGCUCUUUUAAUUUAGGUUUUAUUUUAUAAUUUCUGGGACUUUGGACUAUCUGGUUUUAACUCAAUUUUAUACUGUUGAUGUUUUAUUUUUGAUAAGCAUGAUCAAAACUCUACUUUCACUGAAAAAAUGAUUUUUCUUAUAAACUAAGGUUUUUAAAAAUUGAUUAUGGGUUUCCCUAAAAUAGUAUGAUCUCAAAGCUUCCGCGAAAAAUAGAUACGUUUUGAUCAUAAAAAAUAUUAAGUAACUGGAGCUAUUUUUACUCGUCAAGUACGAUUUCAAAAGCACUAUCAUGUGACAACGCCAGAUUCGGCCAUAACAUCUAGGCCAGGUUUAGAGAGUUACAUAUAGUGGUAUCAGAGCUGGGUUCUAAAACUCGACUGUGGAUUUGGAUUUUAAACUUAGUUUUAAAGAAAUGAAUUGUAAAUGAUUUGAAGUAUUUUUUGGAAUAAGUAAGUGGUACACCGAGUCUCUGGCGUCGAUCCUAUAAGUUUUUUGAAACUCUGUUUAGAAUUGUCUGAUAGUAUGAUUAAGAAUAUACUGAAACUAUUUUAGGUAGUAUAUUACACUAAAAACACUCUAGGUAGUGUAAACUGAAAACUGUAGUGAGACUACUACUUGCGAUAACCGACUCUGAACAUUCUGAUAAUGUACUACAUAAAAUAUCUGUUAAUAAAAAUAGGAAUUGUAACUAAUGCAUAAAAAUAUUAAUACAGAUAAAUUUUAAAAUUUAAGAUGAGCAUACGUGGUACUCGUGGACGGGGUACUAGAGGUCGUGGUAGAGGCCGCAGAGGGGCUAAAGCAAGGUCCUUAUCAUCUAGGAAUCUACCUAACUUGGAUACUAGUGAGACACCGGUAUCACCUGUGACAAUGACUAGGUCACGAGAUCGUGCAGCUGGGGAUGACGCACUAUCCCAAGCUAUGCUAUGGAUUUUAAAGAGGGUCGUUGGGCCCAACACUAGAACUGGGGGCCGAGGGUAAUUUACGGAACAACUCUGAUCCAAUGGGGCUAAAUUAUUCAAGGGUGUCACUGGAGUCACCCCUAAAGUGGCCGAGUAUUGAAUGGAGGCCACGGAAAGAAUUAUGGACGACCUGAAUUUUACUGCUGAGCAGAAGCUUAAGGGAGCUAUAUCUCUACUUUGUGAUGAGGCAUACCAGUGGUGGUUAACGGUUAAGUAGGGCUCCCAGCCCGACCGACUGACAUGGGAUCUCUUUAAGAUGGUCUUCCAGGGAAAAUACGUGAUGGCCAGUUAUAUCAAUGCUAAGAGGCGGGAGUUCCUUAAUCUCACCCAGGGUGAUCGAUCAGUAGCCGAGUAUGAGGCCAAAUUUCUUAGACUGAGCCGUUAUGCGUGAGGCAUUGUGGCGACUAAUUAUGAGAGGUGUGUCUGUUUUGAGGACAACCUUAGGGACAACUUGAGAGUGCUGAUAGCUCCGCAGAGGGAGCGUGAAUUUGCUGUUCUAGUCAAGAAAGCUAAGAUUGUUGAGGAUGCUAAGUGCGCAGAGCAUCAAAACAGGGAACACGAGGGAGGAAAGAGUAAGAGGGUUUCGGAGUCCUCAAAUUUUAGGAUGAGGCCUAAGAAAAAGGCUAGAUCUGAUGGGCUAGUGAGAGUUGGGCCUCCUGUGGCACCUACUGGGGUGGCACUUUGUGGACAUUGUGGUAGACGCCAUCCAAACGAGUGUUGGAGGACUACUGGGGCAUGUCUGAGAUGUGGAUCUACUAAGCACAGUGUUCAGGAUUGUCCAUUGAGAAUUAAUCAGAUGCAAUCUCUGGUUACUGGGACUGCAUAGCCGCUGAGGGUAGUUUAGCAUCCACCUAGGGGCUGGGGUCAGGCCAGUGGUGGUAAUUGUAAUGCCCCAAAUUUGGGCCUAGAAGUAUUGGGUCUUGUGCAUGGGAGUAGGUAGGAGGCAGAAAAUAAAUAGUUAGUUGUACAAGAAAGUGACGCAAAAUCAUGCUUGUCUCAAUGGUUAAGUGUUCUGGGAAGAGUUUGAGAAGUCUUGGGUUCAAGCUUGAGCAAGAGCAAAAAGUUUUGAUUUUAAAGGAAUAAGCAUUGUUUCUAGGCAGUAGGCUUUUAUUUAAAUGUGGGUAAACAUGUCAUAAAAAGCCUGCUAGCCUAGUGGUAAGUGGUGUGUGGAGUGUGCUAGUGAUCUGAGGUUCGAAUCCCUGCUUGUACAAAUGGAGAUUAUUUUUACUGUUGGCUAUGGAAAGUAGUAAAGUUUGGCUAAAACACUACAGAGUGGAGUGGAGUUUCGAUUGGUCAUUGAGGGAUUGUAGGAGGGAGUUGAGAAGAGAUAUGAGGAGAGAUUUUAGGAGAAAAUUGUGGGGAACUGAAGGGAAGAGAAUGAUAUACCGAAUCGGGACUAUAGGCACUCUUUGUUUUUAGUUUUGGUAGGUUUUGUCACUUUAUUUGGUUGCUUUUAUUUGGAAAACUGAUUGGUGUCUAGGGAGUGGUUUCUAUGCUUUCUUUUUGAGUGCUUUCGAGUUUGCAUUUUGGAGUCUUCUCUAUUGUUGAUUUCUCUCCUCUUUCCUUUCAAGGCAUUGGAUUUUUGCCCCUAGGUUUAAUCAAUUCUCCUCCCUCCUCUACUUCUCUAAACCUUAGUCUUAUAACCCUUUCUCUUCUCAUCUCCACUCCUUCAACUUUUACCAAGCAUUUCCUCUCUAUUUGUUUAAACCGAACAGUUCUACCCCCCUCACUUCUACUUUUUGUUGCUCUCUACUUCCAAGAUUUUUUGUUAGCCGAAUAUUUUCGUUGCUCUCUCCUCCCCUUUUAUGCUUCUAUUUUAUUUCAGUUAGUAAGGGUUCUCUAACGAAUCGGUAAGUGAUCUUGUUUCCUCUUAUUUCUUCUCUGCCUAUGUGAUCUCUCUUCUAACAACUUAUGAUCUGCCAAAUCAUUCAAGGAAGUGUGGAUUUUAUUAUGGAGGCUUAGGACGAUUACUCUUCUCUUUGCAAGUGGUCUAUCCACUUUUGGGGUAAGUGCUUUAAGUGCGAUGUAUUUCAUAUUGGAUUUUAAAUACUUAUCAAUCGAUUGAACGUUUCUUAUGAAGGUCAGAGUUUUGGAGUAGUAUAUGGGUGUUAUGUCAGUGGGGUUCUGCGAUUGUCGGAUUGGUAAGUGUCAGUGAAUCGAUCGAAUCCUUUUCGAUAUUGUGGUUUGGAAUAAUGAUGAAAAUAGGCUAAUGAGGGGAUGUGGUUGACCAUAGGUUCUCAAUCUCAGAAGUGGUUUGACUACGACAUCACAACAGGUGCGUAACCACACCACCUCUAAUCGUAAAUCGACAAAAGCCGACAUAGGUGACCGUCAACAGUACACGAGCCGCGCUUACUCGUUUUGGUACUCCGAAUGCCCAAACAUAGGCAUAAGAUCGUUGAGGCCAGCCAUGAGCGAUUUCAUGGGCUAAGACCGAUUUGGGCCAUGUUGGGCCGAAAUGGGUCGUGUGGGCCCCACGGGUUUAUGGGCCCCACAUGGGUAAACCACACAAAAGUGUGGAGAAUAUUGGGCCAGGCUGUGUAGUACAAACGGACAAGGCCAUUUUUGGGAUUCGUGGGUCACAUGGGCGUGUGGGCCCACACGGGCUCGCAUUAUGGGCCUUAGGCCAUUUUCACUGUUUAAUUGUUAAAGUUGCACAGUCGCUCGAGACGACUGUGACCUUCUGUUAGGUCGGUAAGCAUACCUGAACCCUUGUGUGAUAAAAUGAUGAUUUUGCCCUUAUGUGAUAAAAUAACCGAAAUACCCUCAUAGGGUAAAAUGACCGAAAUACCCCUAUAGGGUAGAAUAAUCGAAAUACCCCUGUAGGGUAGAAUGAUCGAAACACCCCUGUAGGGUAAAAUGACUGUAAUACCCCGGUAAGGUAAAAUGACAGAUUUGUUCUACGAUGUGUAUGGCUAUAUUUGAGCAUGCCAUGUUAUAUGUAUGUUGCAUCCAUGUAUAAUAUUAUGUUGCAUUGCAUGGGGUGGGAUAUAUGAUUUUGAAGGAAGUGUACUGUACUGAUAUGGUCACACGGGUCGCGCAAAACAACUGUGGACCUACUGAUGGCUUUAAGCCUACUAUACUGGAAGCUUUGCUGCAAUACUGUUUUAGUGCCGCAACCGGUGCUACUUGGUGUGUAGGGCUGGGUGGGUCUAUUUUAUCCCUACAUGGUGUGUAGGGUUGGUAUGAAGAUAGUGUGUAGAGGCUGGAUUGGGUAGGAUUUCUUCCUUGCAUACUGCACUAAUUACUGUUACUGCAUUGAUCAUGGUUACUGCAGUAAUUACUGUUACUGAAAUGGGCUAAGGCCCAGACUGCUACUGUUACUGAUAUAGGCUUAGGCCUAGAAUGUAUUCGCUCUCUGCAUGUAUAUCUUUGUGUUAUUAUGGGAUUAUACACUGAGUUUUCAUAAACCCAGCCAACUGUAUUAACUGUAUAGGUAAUCCUUAGGCGGAUCGAUGCUGCGAGGGACUCGGAGGUGAACACACAACAGCUUGCGCUUCCGAAUUUAUCUUUUAAUUUAUAAGUAGUUUUAUUUGGGUAUUUUUAUGUAAAAAGACUCUUUAAGUUUUAUUAUUUAAUUUGGGAUUUUAUUAUUUUAUUAUGAUUUAUACCUGCUAGUGGUAGGAUGUGGGUUUUCAAAAGAUAUGCAUGAUUUACCAAAAUACCACGAAUACGCAAAAUCGUUUCAGAAGCUUCCGCGAUAAACGAGAUUUUGGAAUUAAUAACAUUUUAAAGUAAAUACUUUUUGAUAUUGGUGAAAUUUUUAAAAUUAUUUUCUAGAUUACACAAAGAGGCUAAAUAAACAUUGGGCUUUUCAAACGUUAUCACGUUUUACGAAAAACACUUCAAUGUGACAUAGCAAGAUUCAGACAUAACGUCUAGGCCGAGUUUGGAGUGUUAUAGUAAUGGCAUGGGCUGAGGGCAGACAGCACUAAGCAGAGGUGUGGGACAGACUGAGGCAAGGUAGCCUGCUUUGGUCUAUACUUCUCGUCGUCGUGAGGACAGAGAUGCUCCGAACGUCAUUACGAGUACAUUUUUAAUUUAUAAUGUACCUUACUUUGCACUGAUAGACAUAGGCUCUACCCACUCAUAUGUAGCUAGUACUGUGUCUGAAACUUUGGGGAUUCCAGUCGAGAGUACUGAUAGUGAGGUAAAGGUGUUAAGUAUUUUGGGGCAAUCCAUCCGGGUUAGUAGAUUGUUUAGAUAUGUUCCGUUAAAGGUCCAAGGGAUAGUAUUUCUGGUUGAUCUAAUGGAGCUACUGUUUGGGGAGUUCGAUUUGAUUCUGGGAAUAAACUGGCUGGUUAAACACCGGGUGAGUUUAGAUUGUGCAAUGAAAAGGGUUGUCUUGAGGACCGAAGAGAACAGUGAGGUACUGGUGACUAGGAAGCAACAAGACUACCUGACUAAUGUGAUCUUAGCUUUGGUAGCGGAAAAAUUGGUUCAGAAAGGAUGUGAGGCAUUCUUGGUCUACAUCAGUAUUUCUGGUUCUAGGGACUCUUCGGUUAAGGACAUCAAAAUCAUAAGGGACUUUCCAGAUGUUUUUCCUAAGGAACUUGUAACACUCCUUACCCGUAUUCGACGCCGGAAUAGGGUACGAGGCAUUACCGGAACACAUACGCUUGUAAACAUAUUAAACCACGUCAUAGAAUUUCAUUCAAUUUAAAAUCAUUCAUACACAUGCAUAUCAUCCCUUAUAUGGGCCUACGAGGCCCAAUACAUACUUUGGAAGUGGUUCGGGACUAAACCGUAAACUUUGGAAAACAUUAGAAAAUUUCUUGAAAAUAGGGGUAUACACCUGUGUCCAAGGCCGUGUUCUUCACACAACCAUUCACAUGCUUCACUUUCCAUAAUUAAUCAUCACACACUCAUUCAACCAAGUCAUGCAAGCUUGCACAUCCACAAAAUACAACAUCAUAAACAUAUAACUUAACUAAUAUUAGCCAUCCUCAAUGCCCUUAUACAAAAUGAACUAUCAAAUAUUUUAGGCCAACUCAUAAUAACGUAUACACAUAAUCAAGUCCUUAUACAUGCCAUAGACUUAAAAAUACUUGAAGAUCGUUAAUACUAUACCAAUCAAUAACUUGUUAGUGUGAUAGAAUCUCCGACGACCUGUAAUUUGAGCUACCAUCUGUGACGCUAUAGGAAAAAGGAAAGGAAGGGGGUAAGCAUUACCACUUAGUAAGUAGGUAUGUAAAUGAUAAGUAAUCUAUUAACAUGCUUUUAUAAAUCUUCACAAUAUGUUCUCAAGAUAAUACAAUCAUAAUUGCACAUAGUUCCAUUAUUUAUUCAUGUUCAUCUCAAGCUGUCUACUCGAGUCAGAGUCACUAAAUUAUUUAAAUCUUGAGCUAAAGUACUCCAAAUUAAGAUAUGAUAAUUUUCCCUGAAGCUAGGCUUAUAUAUAUUCUUACCAUAAAAUUUAAAAAUUUUUUGGUUUAGCCAAUAAGUAUAGUUUAUUCUUUAAAUUCACCCUUGUUUUGCUAUCCGACAGUUCCCAACCCCUCUUCACUAAAAAUUAAUUAUCUCUUCGUACAAUAUUUGGAUAAUGUUUUUUUCUUUCAAAAAUAUACUCAUUAAGGAUUUUAAUAAUAUAAAUUGUAACCUAUAAUUAUUUUUGUACAGUUUUUAAUGAUUUUCCCAAAUCAAAAUAGGGGAUUUGAAAUCAUUCUAACUCUGUUUCAAAAAAAUUCAAAUAUCUCAUAAUAUGAAAUUCUUUUACUUACAUCAUUUCCUUUAUAUGAAAUUAGACUCAAUAAGCUUUCAUUUCAUAUCUUAUUCAACUUCUAAUUUGAUUUCCAUCAUUUUGGUGAUUUUUCAAAGUCACACAACUACUACUGUCCAAAACUGUUUAAUUACUAAGUUUCACUCUUUCAUGUUUUCUUUGUAGUAACUUUCAUCGUAACACUUACUCCAUAUCAAUCUUACCAAAGUUCGAUCACAUAUCGAGCAUGUUGCUCAUAAUUUUACACACACGAACCUUCACUUAUUCAUCACAUAGUCAUAUUCAAUUACACCUAGUCAUUUCCUAUUGAACCCAUUGGAAUAAUAACAGAUGCCCGUUGGCCUACACAUAGUACCACCCUUGUAGUCAAAGCUACCUUCUUCACAAAGUGGCCUUCAUAUAGUACCACACUUAUGAUCAAAGCCAUCUCUUACACAUAGUGGCCUGCACUUAGCACUACACAUGUGAUCGAAGCUAUCAAGUACGCAUAGUAGCCUGCACUUAAUACUACACACGUGACCUAAAACCAUUUUAAACACAUAGUAGCCUGCACAUAGUACUACACAUGUGUUCUUACGAUGGAUUAUUCGUAUCUUUUCUAUUCCGAAGGUCCAACCGGGAAAUUCCUCACUUUUCAACAUUUUAACAAUUCAUCCAUAAUCAAUUUCAAUUCAUAAUUUACAUCAAGUGAUCAUUCAAUAUGCAACCACCUCUCAUAUAAUAACAAAAUAUUAUAACAUAAGUAAAAAUGAUAUAUUAUUUACAUACAAACUUACCCCGGUAGCAGAAUCGGUGAAAAGGACUUAUUCGUCAUAUUCUUUAUUUUCCUCCUAUUCUAAGUCUGAAUCUCAUUUUCCUUUAUAUAUAACAACACAUUUAACUCAUUUAUUCAUCCUGCUACUCAAAUUAGCCUAAAUUCACAUUUUGGCAAAAUUUACAUUUUUCCCCUAAACUUUGUCAUAUUUACACUAUUUCCCCAGGCUCGUAAAAUGAUUUUUAUUCAAUUUCCUUGUAUUAUAAGCCUAGAUAAACCAUUUUCAUAACUAUAGUAUCCACAAUUUCCAUUUAUUGACACACUUACAUGCAUUUUACAACUUUUUACAAACUAGUCCUUUUUGACAAUUUCACCGAAAAUCACUUAGUAAACGUCGUUUAUUACACACCGAGCAUUCAUAUUCUACCAUUAAACAUUAAAAAACAUGCAUGUAAUCCAUGGUUAAAUUUUUAAACACAAACCUUAGCUCAACAUAAUGGUGGAAAUAGCUAAACCGAGCACGAGGAUCUCAAAAAUGUAAAGAACAUUAAAAACGGGGCAAGAACAGACUUACAAUCGAGCUUGGAAGCUUAAAAAACCCUAGCCAUGGUUUCCCCUUGUGAAAUUCGGCCAUAGCUUGAAGAUGGACACAAUUUUGCUUUGAUUUUGGCUUUUUAAUUCUUUUAAUUACUAAACGACCAAAAUGCCCCUAACAUAAAAAUAUUAUAUUUCACCUACUUCAUGUCUAGUUUUGUCCAAAAAAUUAUCCAAUGGUCUAAUCACCAUUUAAGGACCUCAAAUAUAAAAUUUCAUAACAAUUGGACACCUCUAGCAUGUAGAACUCAACUUUUGCACUUUUUACAAUUUAGUCCUUUUGACUAAAUUGAGUGGCCAAACGUUAAAAUUUUGAAACGAAAUUUUCAUGAAAUCAUUUCAUAAAAUUGUAGACCAUAAAAAUAUAAUAAAAAUAAAUUUUCUUACGUCAAAUUUGUGGUCCCGAAACCACUGUUCCAACUAGGCCUAAAAUUGGGCUGUUACAGAACUACUGGGGUUGCCUUCGAGCCAUGAGGCAGAGUUAGGAUUAAGUUGAUUCUGGGUACAACUCCGGUGGCUAUCGCCUAUUACCGAAUGGCACCGAAGGAGCUUACAGAACUUAAGGCUCAUAUUCAAGAAUUGUUAGACCGUGGGUUCAUUCGUCCAAGUGUGUCUCCGUAGGGAGCACCUAUUCUUUUUGUGAAAAAGAAAGUUGGGACAAUGAGGAUGUGUAUCGACUACCGUCAGUUGAACAAAUCAACGAUCAAGAAUAAGUACCCACUUUCAAGGAUAGAUGACUUAUUCGAUCAGUUCAGAGGGGCCUGUGUUUUCUAAGAUCGAUUUGCAUUCAGGCUAUCAUCAGUUGAGAGUUAAGGAGGCUGAUAUGCAUAAGAUGGCAUUUAGGACUCGAUAUGGACAUUACGAGUUCCUAGUUAUUCCCUUUGGUUUGACUAAUGCACCAGCGACAUUUAUGGAUUUGAUAAACCGAGUGUUCUAGCCCUAUUUGGUAUAUUCUAAGAUAGAGGAUGAGCAUGAUGAGCAUCUCAGAGUGCUUCUAAAGAUUCUUCGUGAGAAACAGUUGUAUGCCAAGAUGUGAGUUCAGCAAGUGUGAGUUUUGGCUUCAAAAAGUGACAUUUCUAGGACAUGUAGUUUCUGUUUAGGGGAUACGAGUUGAUCCUCGUAAGGUUGAGGCGGUGUUGGAUUGGAAACGGUCGAGGAAUAUGUUUGAGAUCCAUAGCUUUCUAGGGCUGGCAGGAUAUUAUCGAUGUUUCGUAGAAAGGUUCUCCUUGAUCGCAGCUCCGUUGACUAAGCUUUUGCGUAAGGGAGUUCCUUUCGCUUGGACUGAUGCCCAAUAAGAGAGCUUUGAUAAGCUCAAGACCGUUUUAACUCAGGCUCCCGUUUUGAUUCAACCUGAGCCCGGUAAAGACUUCAUGGUAUACAGUAAUGCGUCACAUGUGGGUUUGGGUUGCGUACUAAUGCAAGAGGGAAAGGUGGUUACUUAUGCAUCUCAUCAGCUCAAGACUCGUGAGGCUAAUUAUCUGACGCAUGAUCUGGAGUUGGAAGUGGUAGUCUUCGCAUCAAAAAUCUGAAGGCACUACCUGUAUGGUGAGAAGUGUACUAUCUACACUAAUCACAAGAGCCUCAAAUAUCUCCUGACCUAGAAGGAGUUGAAUCUUAGGCAGCAUAGAUGGGUUGAGUUGCUUAAGGAUUAUGACUGCACCAUCGAGUACCAUCCUAGUAAAGCCAAUGUGGUGGCCGAUGCGUUAAGCCGUAGGGCUAUGACCGAUCUGAGAGCGAUGUUCGCUCGACUUAGUUUAUUCGAUGAUGGGAGUUUAUUAGCAGAACUUCAGGUAAAACUGACAUGGAUUGAUAAGAUUAGAGGUAAAUAUAUAGGGGAUAAGUCUCUUGAGUUGCGCUUCCGUCAGGUUGAAAGUGGUGUUACUACUGAUUUUGGGAUUAAUAAGAAUGGGGUAUUGUGUUUCCGCGAUCAAAUUUGUGUACCAAAUGAUGAUGAUUUGAGACUGUCGAUUCUGAUGGAGGCGCAUAGUAGCCCUUAUGCUAUGCAUCCCAGUGGGAAUAAAAUGUACCAAGAUCUGAGAGAGUUGUACUGGUGGCCAGGGUUGAAGCGUCAAGUUACCGACUUCAUUGCUCGCUAUUUGACUUGUCAACAGGUUAAGGCUGAGCAUUAGUUACCAUCGGGUUUGUUGCAGUCAGUUAAGAUAUUGAUGUGAAAAUGGGAGCGAGUAACGAUGGACUUUGUCAUGGGUUGCCUCUAACACCCACUAAGAAGGAUUUUGUCUGGGUCAUUGUGGAUCGAUUGACCAAGUCUGCUCACUUCAUCCCGGUUCGGAUGGACUUCUCUCUACAGAAAUUGGCUAAACUCUACGUCUCUGAAAUAGUGAGGUUACAUGGAGUACCUGUCUAGAUCAUCUUUGACAGGGAUCCUCACUUCAUGUCUCGAUUCUGGAAGAAGUUUCAUGAGGCUCUAGGUUCAAGAUUAAACUUCAAUACUACUUUCCAUCCUCAGAAAGAUGGUCAGGCGGAGAGGGCGAUUCAGAUAUUGGAGGACAUGUUAAGGAGCUGUGUUAUUGAUUUUUGAGGCAGUUGGGAGGAGUACUUCCCAUUAGCAGAGUUCACUUACAAUAACAUCUUCCAGUCUAGUAUACAGAUGGAACCUUACGAGGCAUUGUAUUAGUGUAAGUGUCGCACUCCCUUAUACUGGACUGAGUUGGGUAAGCGACUUAUUCUGGGUCCGAAAAUGGUUUUAAAAACUGAGGACAAGGUCUGUUUGAUUCGAGAUCGACUGAAAGCGACUUCUGAUAGGCAGAAGUCCUAUGCAGAUCUGAAGCGUCGAGAAAUAGAGUAUUCUGUGAGAGACCUCAUUUUCUUUAAGUCUCUCCAUGGAAGAAGAUUCUGAGGUUCGGUCGCAAGGGCAAGCUGAGCCCUCGGUUUAUUGGGUCGUAUCAAAUUUUGAGACGAGUGGGACCAAUAGCAUAUCAGUUGGAUCACAUUCAUGAUAUUUUCCAUGUCUUGAUGUUGAGACACUACCGCUCUGAUCCCUCGCACAUUGUUCCUGUAGAGGAGAUUGAGGUUAGGCCAGAUCUAAUGUUUGAGGAGGAGCUGAUACAGAUUCUAGAUCAUGAUGUUAAGGUUCUGCGAAGAAAGUCUAUCCCCUUAGUGAAGGUGCUGUGGUAGAAUCAUAACACUAAGGAGGCCACUUGGGAGUCGGAGGACUCGGUGCGUUAGUAGUAUCCUCACCUUUUCUGAUCAGGUAAAAUUUUGAGGUCAAAAUUUUCUUUUAAGGGGUAGAGUUGUAACGCCCUAAAAGUUGAUAAAUUGUUUCUGUAAAUAAUUCACACAAAUAUAUAUCUACUUCAGUGGUUAAGUGUUCUGGGUCUGUGUGAGAGGUCCCAAGUUCAAGCUAUAACUUGGGUAAAUUUUUGGUAUUUUUAUGAAUAAAGCCUCACUGUUGUUUAAUAGGCUUAUAUUUGAUUGUAUGUAAAAUUCUGGCAGAAUGGGCCUGCUGGUCUAGUGGUUAAGUGGAGUGUUAAUAUAUUGGAGGUCUUGUGUUCGAAUCAAGGUGUAAGCAAGGGUUUUAUUUUCGCUACAAAUUUCAGCUAGAGUUUGAGUUUUACUGAAAAUCUGAGUAGUGUGUUAGUGGUGAGAGUUUUGAAGAGAGUUUAGGGGAAGUGAUUAGAAUUUUUUCCAAAACCGAUUUCUUUCUCAAGCUUUACUGCCAUUUUUACUCUCCCUAAACCCCCCUUGCUACCGAAUUUGUUCUUCCUUUUCCUACGUAAAAUCGUCCCCUUCUUACUACUAAGGUUUCGAUAUCCAUUACCUCUGUUUUCUCUUUGCGUUGGGUAAGUGCAAUUAACGUUUUAUUGCUAACUUUUGGUUAAUGAAUCAUUGUUAACCGGGUCGACUGGUCUUUAGGAGAUAAUCAAAGAGCUGGAGAUCUUUGAUUGAUGUGCGAAGUGGGUGAAACCCCGAUUGUGCGACUGAAGGUAACAUUUUGUGAGUUAGCAUUUGGUCUUUCUCGUGCGUUUUCAUUUGAGCAUAUCUUUAAGUGACUAAUUUGGCAUUAUAUUGGUUUAAUGAAGGUUCUGGAGUGCUAGUGGUCGUUUUAGUUUCGAAUCAAUACCAGGCGUGUACCCGAGAACACAGAAAACGAGAAUCUGACGAACGCCGAAAAAUAAAUCUGUGAACGUCACACAAGCGUGUGGUCACCGGUUUGGUAGGCCAUGUGACUGAACACGGAUAUGUGAAUGAUGAGCUAGGCCAUGCGCGCGUGACACAGCUGUGUGAUGGCCGGUAAGGUUGUGUGCGAGACACGGGCUCGGCCAAUUAAGCCGUGUGGGCCACACAAGUGUGUGGGGUUUUUGGGCCAAGCCGUGUGAUCUACACGGCCAAGGCCAAUUUGGGUCAUGUGGGCCCACACGGGCAGGCCACAUAGGAGUGUGACCUCAUUUUUUUGAAAUAAUUUGUAAGGUUGCACGAGUCACCCAAGUUGACUGUGGACCUACUGUAGGGUCGGUAAGCAUUACUUAGACCCCUAAACGAGAAUCCUGACUAUCUGAUUUCUGUACUGAGCAUGAACUAUGAUAUGAAUUAAUUGUAUGAUCUGAUAAAAUGCAUAUUAGCAUGUCAUAUUUGUAUGUUGCAUUGCAUCGGGGUUGGGUUGAUGUUUUGGAGGAAGUAUUCUAAAAGGCUCUUAAGCCUGAUAUCUGGUAGCUCAGCUGCAAUUAUCUAAUAAUGUGCCGUAUUUCGAUAUAGCAUGGUGUGUAGGGAUGGGUGGGUUGAAUUUAUCCCCACAUGGUGUGUAGGGUUGGACGGAGAUGGUGUGUAGAGGCUGGUGGGUAAGACUCUAUUAUACUAUUCUGUAUCUAAUUUUAUACCUGAGUGGGCUAAGGUCCACACUGAUUCUGUAAAGGGCUAAGGCCCGAUCUAUAUAUAAAUACAAGAUUGAUUUCGGAUAUGCACUGUGUGUAUAUUUUCUGUGGGGUUUACACACUGAGUUUGUGGAAACUCACUCCUUCCUGUUUAAUUUGUUCAAGUAAUCCCCAGCAUUAGGUGGAUCGGUGCAGCGGAGGUCUCGGCAGUCACCACCACGAUUUCGUACUAUAUUAAUGCAGUUUUUCUUAAUUAUUUGUUUCCUCUUUUAAUUUGGGUUUUACUUUGUAAUUUUUGGGACUUUGGACUAUCUGGUUUUAACUCGGUUUUAUACUGUUGAUGUUUUAUUUUUGACAAGCAUGAUCAAAACUCUACUUUCACUAAAAACAAAUGGUUUUUCUUAUAAACUAAGGCUUUCAAAAAUUAAUUACAGGUUUCCCUAAAAUUGUAUGUUUUCAAAGCUUCCGCGAAAAAGAGAUACGUUUUAAUCAUAACAAAGAUUAAGUAAUUGAAGCGAUUUUUACUCGUCAAGUACAAUAUCAAAAGCACUAUCAUGUAACAACACCAGAUUUGGCCGUAACGUCUAGGCUGGGUUUGAGGUGUUACAAUCAUACUUUGAAACUUAAAUGACAAUGUACCAAGGUCAAAUCAACAUACUUUAUAUGAAUUUCAUAUCCAUCAUUUGCCCAUAUAGAUAUCAUAAUUCCAUCUUUCUUAUCUUUUAUUGUUCUUGAUGAAACAUCGUAAAACAACUAAAUACACAGGUGCAAAUCAGAUCUAAUUCUCGUUCGAGCUAAUUAUAUACAUCAGUGUUAGAUUACCCAUCCGGACUAAACCUUUAUCGACACAAUAAAUAGCCUUGGUAGCCUUGGUAGGGCUGUAUAUAAAUGUAAGGUUACCCGUCUAGGUAAACUAGUAAAACGACAUCAAGUUACUCAUAUGAGCUAAACUUGUAUCUGAUGUAUCUUCGAGUUCACCACAAAUGCUGGAGCUCGGGAUCAUAAAAAAUCAACCUCUAACUAUGUACUAAUUCAUAAACAAUCCAAACUUUCAAUAGAACAUAUAUAUGCAUUUAGACACAACUUAACAACAACUUAAACUUGUUUAUAUUGUAUGAACUUACUUGGAAAAACAGCAAUAGUUUAGCCGUUAGGGAUUAUUUAGUAAUUUUCUCUUUUCCUCGUAUAUCCACUAGUUAUUGUAAAUCUCGAUCUAAAUCAUAUGACAUUUCAAUUUAAUCUAUCGAAUAAUACUUCAAGUUUUACAUUUUAUUCAAUUUAGUCCAUAAAACAAAAAUGUUAUAACUUUCUAAUUUGAGAUCUGAUUUCGAAAUUGAUCUCAAUUCCAUCCUCCUAUAGCCCAUUAAAACCUAUAUUUAUAAAAAUUUCAUGAAAAUUCAAAAUUAUUACACUUUAGUCCCUAAGUUCAAAACUAGUAACUUUUAUUUUACAAACUAAGUCUUUUUCUUCAUAUCUAAACUUCAAAUCUAACCAAAUAACCAAAAAAAAAAGCUUCAAUAAUACAUUAAUGGUAAAUUUUAUAAAAUUUUUUUUUUUUUCAAAAUAGUCUCUAGGCUAGCUAAACCAAGCUCUCAGGAUCUCAAAAACAUAAAAAUUAUAAGAAACGAGCUUGAAAUCACUUACCAAUUGAAAGAACAAAACUUGAAAAAUGUUAGAACCCUAAUUUCAUUUUCCUUAUCGUGAUAAAGAUGAAGAUGAUUAAAAAUGGUCUCAUCUUUUCCUUUUUAAUUCCUUAUAUACUUUGAUUAAGAUUAUUAAACCUUAAAAAAAUAUUUCGAAACAUUUGGUUCUUGUUUUCCGGUGUGUGGAGUCCAUCUUUAUUCUUUUGUUUAGGAUAAUUGGAUGGUUGUUUUGUAGUGUUAGUGGUGGGUGGGUCCUACAAAUGGUGUGAUCUCAUUUUAGGUACAGUGGCGGGCCGCUCGAGGAAGUAUGAUUGUUGUGUACGUGAAUGACUAUGAAUCGACUAAGUUGCAUCUAGGUCCUGGUUGAUAGAGUUUCUUGAUAAGUUUUAUUGUUCUCUAAGUAAUUUUUUUAUGUUCUUUUAAAAAUUAUGUGGUUCUUGUAUGGUUCUUUACAUUAACCUUACGUGGUUCUUUGUCAUCUUCUACAUGGAUGCCAUUAAUAAAUCCUUUGACUUUUUUACAAUAAAUAUUAAAUAAUUGUACUUUUUCCUAGUGUAAUUCUAUCUUCUUUGGCUUUAUGUUUAUAUUAGGAUUCUUAGCUUUUCUUGUGGCUUUCAGCGUUGUUAGGUCUUGGCCCUGUUUCUGUGCCUUUGUGCCUCUGUUGACUUUUGUCAGGCUAUGGAACGAAACAUUGUGUUCUCUCUUGUUUCUAUGAAUGAAAGAGAUUGUUGGAGUAUUCAUCAUGUUUCUUGAAUCUCGAGUGGUGGUUUUUUAAUUUCCUGAGUCAGGUUGUGCUUUUUCAUCCUUUCUUGGGGUCUCCUUUGGGUGCCAGUAUAGAAUAGGAUUUUAACAGACUAUUAAAAAAAUUAAAUUCCUUGAAGGAAGAAAGAAUAAAGAUCUUUUACACAAAUUUAGGCUCCAACAUUUCCCAGGGUUUCGAGGCUUAUGCUAUAGGAAAAAUAUUGUCCAUUGAAAAGGUUAAUCAUGAAGCUAUGUAUCGAGUAUUCAAGUCAAUCUGGUACACAAAAGAGGAGGUUAACUUUGUGGUGACAAAAGAAGGAGUUAUUUUGGUUAAGUUUUGGAAUGUGGAAGAUGAUACCGUCGGUAACGUUACUGGAAGAACAAGAAAUGAAGAAGAAAGAACUAAGAGAGGAAGAGAUGAAAGCAGUUGAGAUAAGAGAACCAAAAAGGGAGAAUAAUUCAAUUUUUCAUAAUACCCCUCAUGUCUGUGAUACGGGGUUAAAAGAGUGCAGCACAAACACACAGAUAGUGUCAAUACAAACAGGACAAAACUCACCAUUUAAAGAAAACAAAACAGACAAACGCAGCGUUUGACGCAUGAUAAUUAGAAAUUAAAAAUAGUGUGAAAUAAACAGAGUUGAAACCAUGGCCUUCCAUUUUGGUCUGUAUCUGUUACUCCCUUCUCGAACAGGAUCCGUGUCCUUAAGGAUGAAAAUUAGGAUAUCGCUUCUGUAAUGCUUGUAGAUCCUCUCAUGUUGAGUCUUCAAGGUAGGUGUUGAACCAUUCAACCGCACCUUUAUUGUCGCACGAUUGCCCUUCUUAACCAUUAUUCUCUCCAAUAUUCUUGAUGGUUCUUUGUCGAGGGUACCAUCAGUCCCUACUACAGGCAGCAUAGGCGAAUGUGGUGUCUUAUCGAUGUACCUUUUGAGCUGGGAGACCUGGAACGUAGGGUGAAUUCUUAAUCCCGGUGGCAAAGUUAGUUUGUAAGCAACUGAACCCACUUUGGCUUCCACAAGGAAGGGUCCAAAGUAUUUAGGUGACAAUUUGUGAUUCUUUAGCUUCCGGAGUGAGUGUUGUCGGUAUGGCUGCAACCUAAGGUAUACCCAAUCUCUAAUUUCAAAACUCCUAUCUGACCUCUUCUUGUUGGCAAGCUGUAUCAUUCUCUCUUGAGCUCUCUUCAAAUGAAAGUGAAGAAGCCUCCUCAUAGCUUCUCUGUUUUUCUAGCUUCGAUCUACUGUAGCUACAUUAGAAGAACUAGCUAGAUACGGUAAUUUUUGGAGUGGGACUUGGCCAUAAAAGGCCUCAUAUGGAGUGGUUUGAAUCGCUGAAUGGUGUGUGGUGUUGUACCACCAUUCAGCUAAGGGUAACCAUUGCACCUACUCCUUAGGACAUUCACCAGCCAUGCAUCUUAGAUAGCCUUCUAGGCAUCGGUUCAGAACCACAGUCUAUCCAUUCGUUUGGGGAUGAUAUGCUGUCGAUAAACACAGUUUAGACCCCAACCUUCUAAAGAGUUCUUGCCAGAAAUUGCUCACAAAUAUUUUGUCCUGAUCUGACACGAUUGUCUCAGGAAUACCAUGUAGCUUAUAAACAUGUGUCAAGUAUUCUUGGGCGACAGUGAUGGCUAUGAAAGGGUGUGAGAGGGGUAUGAAAUGCCCAUACUUUGUGAGUCUAUUGACUAUCACUAAUUUGGUGUUCUUGUUGCGGGAAGUAGGUAACCCUUCUAUGAAAUCCAUGCUGAUAGCUUGCCAUACACGAGAGGAAUGGGUAGAGGCUGUAAAAGACCAGGAGAGGCUACCAAAUCUGCCUUGCACCGUUGACAAACAGGGCAUUUCCUAACCCAUUUCCUUAUAUCCUUAGCUAGAGCCUUUCAAUAUAUCUGUCUGGACAUUCUAACCUUGGUAGUGUGUGCUCUUGAGUGACCUCCCAAUGAGCUACUAUGAAAACUUUCGAAUAGCUCCCUCCUAAGGCUUUCAUCAUUCCCUACGACUGCCUUCCCUUUUCUUCUUAAUAUCUGACAAUCCCAUGAGUAAUUCGGGUGCCUCUGAGGGUUGUCUUGGAGCUCGAUGCAUAGUUGUUGUAGCUUGGAAUCAACUAAGACAGAUUUAACUCUUUUUCCCAUAAUUCUGACCAUGAAAUGCUUCAUAUACAUUGUAACGAUUGUCCCACUGAUUCUUGAGAUUUUCUGGAUAGGGCAUCAACUACCAAAUUUUGUGCACCCCUCCUGUACGUGAUGUAGUAGUCAUAUCCCAGCAUUUUGACUACCCAUUUUUGCUGGAAUGGGGUAAUAGCUUGUCUAUCUGCUAAAAACUUUAGGCUUUGGUGAUCAGUCCUAAUUUGAAACCUCUUCCCAACCAAGUACGUGUGCCAUUUCUUAACUGCCAUGAGAACUACAAGCAUUUCCAUAUCAUAGAUGGAAAGCACUUGAUGCUUCACCCCUAGUCCCUUACUGAAGAAUGCCACGGGUCUCCCUUUUUGGUGUAACACAGCCCCAACCCCUUGACCACAUGCGUCAGUAUCGAUGCAGAACUCUUCAUUAAAAUUAAGAAGAGACAACACUGGUGCUUGGCAUACAACUUGCUUUAACGAUCCAAAGGCUGCUUGCUCACUUUUGGUCCAGUUCCAUGCAGCAUCUUUCUUGAGCAAGUUGGUUAAAGGUCAUGCCAUGACCCCAUAGUUUCUUAUAAAUCUUCUGUAGUAGCCUGAAAGGCCUAGGAAGCCCCUUAAUUCUUUGAUCGAUUUGGGGGUAGGCCAAUUUGAAACUCCCUCAACUUUUGUAGCAUCCAUUAUUACCUUUCCUGCAGAUAUAACAUGCCCCAGAUAUUCUAUUUGAUGAGUGCCAAAGGUACAUUUACUUUUCUUGACAAAUAGGUGGUUGUUCCUCAAAAGUUGCAGCACCUCUCGUAAAUGCUUCAUAUGCUCGGUCCAGCUGUUGGAAUAAACUAGUAUGUCAGCAAAAAUACUAGGACCGAUCUUCUUAAUAAGUCUUUGAAGAUGGUAUUCAUCACUGCCUGGAAGGUUGAAGGGGCAUUAGUUAAGCCAAAAGGCAUAACCAAGAAUUCAUAAUGCCCUUCAUGUGUCUUGAAGGCUAUUUUGAAAAUAUCCCCCUCAUGCAUUCUAAUUUGGUGAUAGCCCGAUCUAACUUGGAGAAAAAGAGGGUCUGUCCUAGUUCAUCCAAUAAUUCUUCGAUGAUGGGUAUAGGAAACCUAUCCUUAAUGGUAAGUUGGUUCAAGUGGCAGUAAUCUACGCACAAACGCCAGCUCCCAUCCUUUUUCUUGACCAUUAUGACAGGUGAAGAAAAUGGGCUAUUACUAUCCCGUAUGAUUCCAGCUUGCAGUAUCUCUUUAAUGAGUCUCUCAAUUUCUAUCUUCUAUAAUGUAGGGUGUUUGUAGGGCCUCACAUUAAUCACCCUUGUUUCAUUGUGCAAUGGGAUUCUAUGAUCUUGUGUUUUUGCUAGAGGGAGUGUAUUUGGUGUCUUGAACACAUCAUCGUAUUCCCUUAAUAGUAGUUGCAAGUCUGCCUGGGUAAGAGCAAGUGACAUUUUCAGCAUGGUAUGCUGAUUUGUAGCCAGCAUCAUAGGACAAGGACUGAGUGGUGUCAUAUGUAAAUAUUUGGACAUUUGGUGACCCUGAAGUAUCUGUAAGCUUCCUGGUUGAAUACCUUGCAGCAUGCAACUUUGCCCCCCAUGCUCGAACCUCAUAGUGAGAGACUAAAAAUUCCAAACAAUAGCUCCUAAAGAAAGUAACCACUGUAUCCCUAGCACUAAGUCGCACCCCUUCACCGGAAGAACCAUGAAAUCGGUUACAAACUUGUAGCCUUGUGUCUACCAUUCAAUAGCUCUACAUAGCCCUCUUGUGCACAAACUUCCCCCAUUAGCGACCAUAAUCUUCAUUUGUUUAGCUGGUUCAAUAGGUAAGUUACCCCUCUUGGCGAUUUUGGAGUCCACAAAAUUGUGAGUGCUCCCAGAGUCGACCAAUAUUAUCAUAUCAAAUUGCCCAAUUUUGGCUGCUAUUCUCAUGGUGUUGUGUCCUUGGGAUCCUUGUAAGGCGUGUAAUGAGAGAACGAGGGGGUUGGGUUCAGCUUCUGGUUCUGUAUUUUCAAGUUGCUCGGGGCAGUCCUGAAACUCCUCUGUUGGUGAGUUGAUGGCUUCCACUCCCAAUUCAUUAUGAGAUCCUACCACCAACUGGUAUAGUUGGGACUUCACGCAUUUGUGUCCCGGAGUAUACUUGGCAGCGCAUCAAAAACAUAGACCAUUUUUUCUCCUAUCCUCCAUUUCAGCUUGAGACAAGGCUUUGGUAGGGGUUUGAUGGUUGCUUAAAGGGCUUUUCUGAGGGCCAAGAUUUGACGAGGGACCUCCAAGAGUUGGCACAUGACUGAUAGGUUCGGGGUUAGAAAAUAGGGGUUUAGAGUACCCUCCACUCCCUUCAACCAACGGAGGCCUUUUAAUAGUAUGCGUCGAUACAAUACCUUCUACCUGUUUGGCUAACAUAUACGCCUUUACCAAUGUCUGGGUUUGAAUAGUCUGAGGUACUGACCAACUUCUACCUUGAGGUUACUUAUGAAUAUGCUUAAUGCGUAGGGUUCAGGCAAGUGUAACUGGUUGAGGAUACUUACAAACUGAUCGUGGAAUAGGUCCACCGUUCCCUGUUGCUUCAAGGUUACCAGCUUAGUCAUCGGGUCAGUGAAGUUGGAAGGGACGAAUCUCUCUUGCAACCCUCGAGCAUAGGUUUCCCAAGACAACAUUUGAAGUCCACCUUGUCUUUGGCUAAAAAAGUGGUGCCAAUCCAGGGAUUUUCCCUCCAAAUGGAGCAUAACAGUUCGCACCUUGUCCUGUUCCAACACCUUCAUCUUCGAAGAAUUGCUCUAACUUCGACCACCAUCCCUGGAAGUCUUCACCAUCAAACCUCGGGCAGUCAAACUUGAAGUUUCUACCCAUGGAGUAUAAGGUACUAGCCCUUGAAUGUAUGCCUAUAUGACUAGACUCAACCAUAGGUGAUAGCAAAAGUGACUCCUUUGGUGGGAACCCAGGAGGUGUGCCCCCAAGUACCUCUUUUCCCUUGUUCGAUGUCUGUCCCUGAGCAGGUGGUGUCGCACGCCCUAUCUGCUAUUCAAAAAAAUUUUAAAGCUCGGUGCGAAUGCCAAAGUUUACAUUUUUGUGGAACUCUUUGAAUCGGGACUCCAUUCGAGCGUCUAUUUUUGGGCUAAAUUGGUUUGUAGUUGAGUGAGUUCCUGUUGCAUCAGCCCCAUGUCUUUCUGCAUGUUUCCCAUGUCCUUUUGUAACCUCGUGGUGACUCCCUCACCGGCCAUCGAGAGAGGCUCUAAUACCUUUGAUACCGUCGGUAACGUUACUAGAAGAACAAUAAAUGAAGAAGAAAGAAGUAGGAGAGGAAGAGAUGAAAGCAGAUGAGAUAAGAGAAUCAAGAAGGGAGAAUAAUUCAGUUUUUCAUAAUACCCCUCAUGUCUGUCAAUAGAAAUAGGACAAAACUCACGUUUAAAGAAAACAAAACAGACAAACGCAAUGUUUGAUGCAUGAUAGUUAGAAAUUAAAAAUAGUGUGAAAUAAACAGAGUUGAAACCGUGGCCUUCCAUUUUGGUUUGUAUCAGAAGAUAGGAAGAAAAUUCUGAACUUAUCUCCCUGGUUAUUUGACCAUUGUCUUUUUGCAAUGUUGCUCAUUGUCAAAGAUAAAGAGAUGGAAUCUUACGCCUUCAACUUAGCUACUUUUUGGGUAAGAAUCUUUAAUAUACCCUUUGAAUGUAUGGACAGACGAGUAGCUAUGGAUGUGGGCAGUGCUAUAGGGGAAGUUAUUGCCAUCGACUGGCGUGAUAGAGAUGGUUGAUGGACAGAAUAUAUCCAAAUUAGUGUUAUAAUUGAUACUUCCAAACCUCUGCGUAGAGUGGUCCAGUUUGUGAAUAGGGAGGGUUUCAUUUCUGUUUGCACCAUAAAAUAUGAGAGAUUGCCUACUUUCUACUACAAUUGUGGCCUUAUAAGCCAUUCAACACAAAAAUGAGAUAAGAUGGUUAUCCAAAGCAAAUCCAAUGAUACUAGCUAUCAAUAUGGAAAUUGGUUAAAAGCUUAUAUAGGUAUAACUAAUCAGGAUCGAAGAAAUUGGAGAAAUAGGAUUGAAGUUAUUGAAGCUAAAAGAGUAGUGGAAAGUGAGUUGAAUAGAACGACACAAGGAAAUACUGAGCUAAAUGUAUCUGGUGAAAUAAAGGAAAAAGAGAAAAUUAAACUGACUAAAGAAGAGUUGAGAUCGAGUUCACAAAUAGAGAAGUGACCUUUCAAGUUGUCCUGUAUAGUAUAUAGGAAAAUGAGAAAAAAAAAGAAAAGAGGCAACAGGUAGCUGUGGAGAGUUAACCGAAGACAACCCCAGUAGAUCAGGUCGUAGAAAGCUCAUGGAUAGUUUAUCACUUUUAAAGGCAGUGGUUGACGAUCAGCCCAACCAAGAUCAAUGACGUUCCUAUGUUGGAACUAUCGUGGGUUAGGGAACCACGCGACAGUUCGGGAGCUUUAGCAACUCUUAGUUGCAAAUAACCCUGACAUUAUUUUCCUUAGCGAAACUAAAAUGAAAGUUAAUGAUUUUCAACGUGUUCAGAAUAAGUGCAGAAUGCAAAAUGGUUUGGCUGUGAGUUUUGAAGGAAGAACUGGAGAUCUCGCGUUGAUGUGUAGGGAAGGCGUUGAUGUUACCAUUCAAAACUACUCUAAGUUCCAUAUUGACUCCCUGCUUAGGUAUGAAAAUAACAAAAAUGUUCGUUUCACUGGUUUUUAUGGCAACGCGAAUCCGAGUCUUAGAAAUAGUUCGUAGGAUAUGCUAAGAAGAAUCGGUGGGACGGUUGGGGAGGACUGGGUGGUAGGGGGAUUUUAUGCAAUUUUGAAGAAAAACAAUAUUGAAAAACUUAAAGAUUCGAAUGGCAAUUGGGUGACGGGUAUAGAGAUCUUUGCAAUAUUGCUAAAUACUAUUUUUGUAAUUUGUUUCGAUCUAAUAACUAUGUUGAUGAUAUCCAUGUUUUGAACUAUAUCAGUGAGUGUGUUACCAGAGAACCCAAUGAUUGGCUUGAAGAAGAUUACAUAGAGAGUGAGAUCAUCCAACCCAUUAAGCAGAUGGAUCCUAUGAAGGCCCUUGGAGUGGACGGUCUGUUGGGAGUUUUUCCAAGCAUAACUGGGAGAUUGUUGGGAGGGACACUAUUCGGUUUUGCCUUGAUAUUCUUAACGGGAAUAAAUAUGUUUCAUAUUUAAAUGAAACUAUGAUAAUCUUAAUCCCUAAAUUUCGUGAUCCUAAUGACAUCACUAAUUACCGCCCGAUUAGCUUAUGCAAGUUCAUUUAUAAGGUCAUCUCCAAAGUGCUUUCCAACCAUAUCAAAGUUUUCCUCUCUAAUUGAAUAAGUCCAAAUCAGAGCGCGUUUGUCCCUAGAAGAAUGAUACAUGACAACAUUGUGAUUGCUCACGAACUACUCCACUAUCUUCAAAGCUCUAAAAAUGGUCCCAAUAAAGGACUCGUUGUUAAGCUCAAUAUGAGCAAAGCAUAUGACCAAGUGGAGUAGGAAUUCUUAGAGGCGGUAAUAUUGAAGAUGGGUUUCGGUAAUAGUUGAGUUAAAAAAGUCACGAAUUGUGUUUGGACCAUUCGCUAUAUAAUUAAGUGCAACAGAACUUUGUUAGAUAUUAUUUCUCUCGAUAGGGGAUUCGUCAAGGAGAUCCCCUCUCCCCUUAUUUGUUCUUAUUUUGUAUGGAAUCACUCUCAAGAAUGCUUCUUCAUGCUCAAGGUAAUAAUAUUUUACGUGGUAUCGGGGCUAGCAUCAAUGGCCUUAGGAUUAACCACCUCUUUUUUUUGUGGACAAUGCCCUUAUUUUUGUUAAAAAUAAAAAAUUUUAUGUUGUUGCUUUACUUAAUAUUUUAAAGGACUUUACUAAUGUUUCAGGACAAGAGAUAAAUUUUAGUAAGUCUGUGGUUAUUUUUAGCCACAAUACUUCUAAUCCGCAAAGGCAUAGACUUGGCGACUUACUAAGGAUGAAAGUCAUGGAGAAAUUGGAUAACUAUAUAGGCCUCCCCCUACCUAUUGGUAAGAAAAGAUCAUUGGCUUUUCAAGAAAUUAACAGUCGAUUGUCUUGCAGAAUAAAUAGCUAGACAAAGAGGCUCUUAUCGAUCGGAGGCAAAGAGAUUUUCAUCAAGGCAAUUCUCCAGUCUAUACCAACAUAUGCAAUGUCGAUUUUCUUUGCUCCCAAAUGUGUUGCCGAAGAUAUGCAAACUAAGAUCAGCAGAGUUUGUAGAUUUUGGACAACGCUCUCAUGGAAAAAGUUGUGUCACCCUAAGGGUAUGAGAGGGCUCGGCUUUAGGGAUAUCCACCUUUUUAAUUUGCCGCUUCUCGGUCGGCAGGUGUGGAGGCUUAUCAACAGUAAAGAAACUUUUUGCUAUAAAGUUCUUAGCUCUAAGCAUUUUCCUGAUGGGAGUAUUUUCAAUCCUAAAAAGACUGAUACAGCCUCGUUUACGUGGAGGAGCAUUGCUGCUGCAACAGUCACUUUCAAGGAUGGUUUCGGGUGGCAAGUUGGGUGCGAGGACCGUAUUAAUAUUCGCACUAAUGAUUUGGGGCCGGAAGGCUUAAAUAGGGAAGCUAUUAAGUCAAACAUGUUGGACCAUAGUGAAUACAGUGUUAGAGAGCUUUGACAUAUUGAAAGUAGAAGCUGGAAUACCUGUAGGGUCCGGGAGCUUUAUGGUUAAGACUUAGGGCAGAAAAUUUGUAACUUACCAAUCGGGGACAAGAAUCACAACGAUAGAAUGGUGUGGUUUUGCAAUUUUUUAGGAGAUUAUACCUCGAAGUCUACUUACUUUUAGCUUCUCUUGAAGCAAAUUUGGUUUGGUCUCCGUAGGUUUUUUGGAGAGCGAUCUGGAAACUCGAUUCUCUCCCUAAAAUCCAUGUAUUCACCUGGCAUGUGGGUAAUGAGAUCCUCUCAACUAAUGUCAAGAUUGCCACUGUUCUUCAUGGUUUUGGUCAAGCUUGCCCCAGGUGUGGUACCAACUAUGAGCUCUCAUGCAUGCCCCUAAAACUACCCAAUUUCGAAGGCCACUCUUAUGUUUGGCAGUCUAGACAGUAGCAUUGUUUCUAAGGAGUACGAUAUAUGUAUCGAUUGGCUGAAAGAUAUGUUGAGAAUUCUUGACAAAAAAAGAAAUAGUGAAAUUUAUGACUAUCAUGUGGAAUUGCUGGAAUAACAAAAACAACCGUUUAUUUAGAGGUAAGGAAGAAGAUGCAAAGGCUAUAUGGGAAAGGGCCAGCAUGCUUAGUAAAGAGCUCUGUAUCCCUAAUUUGUUAAAUGUGUCGAUGAUGUCUGCCCAGCUCAAUGGAAAAAAUGGGUUAAACAUUCGAAAAACUGCAUUAAAAUUAAUUUUGAUGCUUCUACUGGUAAUAACAGAACCGGAUAUGGGGUUAUUGUAAGGGAUGACGAUGGCUUUGUCUUGGGUGGAGGUGGGAUUUUAAAGAUGUGCAGCUGUCGGUUGAGGAGGCUAAGUGGUAUGCUUUUGACGAGAGCAUUAAGAUAGCAUGUCGUCUCUAUAUUAAAGGAGAUGUGUUUUUUAAGUCUGAUAGUGCAGGGCUAGUCAACAAAAUAAAUUGCCAAAAAAAGGACCUGACAAUUAUUGGUGUGCGGAUAAAGAAUAGUCUUAAGGCUUUAGAUAAAUUUCGGUCUAUCACUUGUGUUUGGACUAGUCGGCAAUGUAAUUCUGUGGUAGAUUUUAUUUGUAAGAAAAUGUGUGCAGAUGCAUAUAAUUGGUGUUUUGAGUUGGAUUAUCCUCCAUAUAUCUAUAAUGCUAUAAUUUGUGAUGCUAUCGAAUGAAUUUUUGUUUUGACCCUUGUGGUCGUUUUUUAUUAAAAAAAGAUUAUUAAACCUUAAUUAACUUUAAUUUAAUAUUAAUUAUAAUAAUCUAACAUCAUUAAGCUAAUCUAAGUGGAUGAUGGCUUCACCAUCCACCAUUAACAACUAAAAAUGGGUCUAAUUAACCGAUUGGUCCUUAUAUUAAAUAAAAAAUCAUAGUGAUAGAACUUUUACCUCUUUUACGAUUUAGUCCUAGUAUCUUAAUUAAUCAUUCAAUCAACAAAAAUUCUAGACCAAAAUUCAAUAUAACUUUAAUAUAGACUCGUAAAUAUUAAAUAAUAAUAUUUACUGACUUGAUCAUUGGAAUACAGGGUUUAAAACUUUCAUUUUUUUCCACUGAAAAUGGGUUGUUAGAAAAUACGUCUUCUGGUUUUUCUAGAAUCACUUUGGCAGUUUUACAGCUCUCCAAUUGCUUAUAAAGGGUGUUGGUCACACCCUCUAGCAUAUAGCAAUGGGUUAUCUCAUUAGACUCCACUCAUCAUUUUCUAGCCUAAACUUGAAUGGUUGUAGGACAUUUAUUAUCAAGGGCUGUCUUUAGUUUCUCACAACUUAAGAAAACCAUCAAGUUCCUUUUCCAUUCCUUAUAGUUAUUUUUCAUUCAGUUUGUUCUCAGUGAGUAUAUUUAAUAAGGGAUUAGGUAUCAUUUUUUAAUUGAAAAUACAACAUUCAUUCAUUAAUAUCUUUGUAUUAAGAAAACAUUUGAAAACAUUUUGAACUUUACGAUAUGCAUUAAGAUGAUGCAUGCGUCUUACAUUAAACCUCGAAAACAUUUGUAAGUCAUUGCACUGAUAAUUCUUACACCUAUUGAAUCAAGUCACCGUGGGGUAAUUUUGAUCAACUAGUAAAAACAUGGAUUUCCAUCCAAUUAGUACAUGAACCUAAUUCUUUAGGCAUUCACACUUACUAAUAAUCGUUUAAUGAUUGGUCAUCAUUCUAACUUAAGCAAAGCUUUGUGGAAAGUUACUUAACUAAAAGAUCUUGAAUGUAUAACCAUCAACUCAACACCUAUCACAUCAUGUACCACAACAAAGUCAUCGUGGGGCAAUCUUACCGAGUAACAUGCUAUGUCUAGUUGUCUUCUUUGAAGAAAUAACUUCUUGUUAUAUCGCAUGAUAAUACCUACAUUAGGGUCGGCCUGUUGGAUCUGGUGCCCUGAGUGUAGUAUAUUCAUUUGUAAACUUGUAAUCUUUUUCAACAGAUUAGUUAAUAAAAAAAUUCAUUGAUUACACUAAUAUACUUUGUAUAAUUAUUCUCAUAUGGUUUUUGCAUACAAAGCUAAAUGAAAGUAAAUGUUUCUCAUUGGUUGCCUAAUGUUUAAACUAAUACUAAGCGAUAUUACGUGGUUGGAUCAUAAUACAGAAAGACAACUUGUAUUAGUAGACGAACCUAAACAUGUCCUUAGUCUAAUCGGAAUUGAGCAAACCAAUUGAAAGACUAAUAUGUAGUCUACAAAGUCCAAUUGGAGAGAUGUUUUGUCUUAGGUAUCGGAGUGGAUGACUGAUAGAAAAUAGAGACAUAGAUGUGACUGACUAGACUAACAAUACAUCAGACAAGACCCAAGAAUAAUAGAUUUCGAAUCUGUUUAUGACUGUAAUCACUUGUGACGUUCAUAAUAUGGCAUGCCUAAAUCUUGAGUAUAUGACGGACUAUGUAUGCGUGACUUGUACACUUUGAUAUAAAUAAAAGCUUGAGUUCAAAUAGAUAAGGAACCGAAAGCUGGUGCAUUGGGUGUACGAAUUCUGAAGUAUGCAACGCCAUUGACAAAAGUGGAAUUCAUUGCCCGAGACAUGGGUAAAUGAUAUUGUCCCAUUUGCAUUGCAUGGUUGAUGAAAAGUAAAUAUGGCCACGGGUCGUUUAGCUUUGUGAUGGAAUCUGAUCACCACUUAAGAGUGAUUGAAUUUUCAUGAAGGAAGAUGUAAUGGUUACUAUAAGAUAAAUUUGGAUCAUAUUGGGAGAACAUAUAUGAUCCCAAAGAGAUUAAGGAUAUCCUAUAAGGGUAACACAUUUAUGACAAGGUCAUUGGACAAGCACUAAUUGAGUUGCUUUCAUAAUGGUAUGUCAUUGGGGGGAGCUCAGUCACGAUACUAUAAUGGAAUGACUUUAUGACUAAAUGAGUUUAUUAUUAAUAGGCGAAAAGCUAGAACAUAAUUAUAAAUCAUUUGAGCCUCAAUUACAUAUGUCAAAGCGGACCUUUCACUAGCUCGUUGAAACUAGAAAUGAAUUUAAUGUUGAAUCAAGUGAGUAGAAAUGAAUAGAAAUGGUGAAAUGGAGAACUAGGAAACCGUUGGAAAUGAUUAAGGUUUUAUCCAAAAUGAAAAUGAAAAUGAUAAAUGAAUUCAUUUAGAAAUGGUCAAGGAAUUUUUAAAAUGAUCGUAAGAUAAAUUUUAUGUUUUUGAGCUAUUUUAAAGCUCGAAAAUGAAAAUAAACCAUAUGAUCAUAGUGAACAAGUUGAAUGGUAAAAUAUUAAAUAUAUUUUCUUGGAAAUUUUAUUAGGGGUAAAAUUGUCAUAAUUUUACCUAUGGUAAAAUUGGGAUGAGUAAAUUAUUUAAUUAAAUAUAAAUAUUAAAGUUUAUUUUGGGAAAUAGAAAAAUAGAAUUGGGUUGGAUUAUAUUACAAAGUAUUGGGUCAAAAAGCCCGUGAAGUACUCGUAUUUGGAUCUUGUAAUGCCAUCAACCUUAUCCAAUUAAUCGAACCUGAAUCUUGGGCAUUACCACACCAUUUAUAGACAUAGGCUCAACUUACUUUUAACAUUUACAGAUAAUGACAACUUACUUAACCAAAUUACAAACUAAAAUACAUGAGUAAAUACAAUGAGUAAAAUUCAUAUAUAACACGAGGUAAUUAAACUGUAAUGAUAUCCAAAUUGAAACUCUAAUUACUACAGGUACCUCAAUUGAAUUUCUAAGGAGUAUUAUAGUCUUUGAACACGCCGCCAACUUAAUUUGUAUGCAUAAUAGCCUAAAAUGCCACUCCUUAGGCGUAGCUCUAACAUUGUCCCUCAUGACGCAGACUCAUAUCAAUUUGCCUGUAACAAAACACACAGCCAUAUAAGUUCUUAAGAACUUAGUGAGGAAAACAUCAUUUUCCUGUGUCAUUUCUCCACAUCUCAACUGGUAACUUAUUUAGAUGACCAUAUCAUUUUGAACUUUCAACUUAGUCACUUGCAAAUACUCCAUCAAUUUCUAUUCUCAUUUACAUGUCGGAUACCGUAACUUGCUCAGAGCUGAUUCCUUACCCAUCAACAUCUUCGACACGCCACUUGCCUCUUUCAAUCUUGCCUUUCAUAAGUCUUUACACGUUUCCUUUACAGAGGUCCAUACAGCCGAAUCACCCUUACUCUUGUAUAUGUAACUUUAAGUCGUCGUUCCACAAUCCAUGUUUGAUCACCUAUAUAGAACAGGUACAUUCUUUCUGAUAUAUUGCUAGAAAAAUCCUUAUUCGAAAUUUGUUUUUUUCACGUUUACCGAUCACUUCUUCUAUAUCUCAUCACUUCAUUAUUCACAGUAGAAUCAUGGUCUUGUAUAACACUUUAUCGUAGCCCAAGAGACACUGUGCCUAAUCUUUUUAAUAACACUUACAAGCCAUGUUGAACGCGUCAAAGAAAUUUAAUACAAAAUCUGUCGAGAAUCAUUCUUUUAGGUUAUCCCAUUGUGAGCCUUAGUAGGAUAUGCCACAAGGGCACUGCUUUCAGAUUUCUCUAUAUACUUUGUUCUUUCAGGUUUUUUCCAUAAAGCCUAUCACAUUAGAAUUUGCCACACAGGGCAGUUCUUAAGAGUACGCCAUGAAGAUGUUCCUUACAAAAUCCAAUUUUGGCAAGUUCUGAAAUUGGUGGGUAAUCGAGUAGUAGUCAGAGUGGCAUAACAUUAUCCACCCAACCGAUGCUCUUGGCAUUUAAAAGUGGGUAUAAAAUAUGUAUUUGAUUAUUGCAAAGGAUUUUCUUAAAAAGGAUGAAUUGUUAAGAUAAGGUGCUUAGUAAUGAAUUAAGGAAUUUCGAGUAAUUGGGCUAUCGCCGUCAAGUAUUGUAUGCCAAGUUUUGUUAGUCACAACACUGGUUAUGUUCUAAUCUGGUGGCUUGAAAUGAAUGAUGAAAUUACUAUAUACAUGCGUGUGUGUGUGUGUUGGGUUUUUGUACACGUUUCUCUACAGUUGUAAACCACCUAUGGCAAAUUGAAUAGGAUUAUGAUACGUGUCAAAUUUCUAUUGCGACAAAGGUUGUAUAUAUCUAGAUAAUUAGGUUAGAAAAAAAAGUGGAGUUUUUCUCUUCCUUCUUCAAGAAGUAUUUUUGUCUAGAUCUAAAGGAACAUAGGGUAAUCCUUUCUUUCACUUAAGUAUCUUCGGAUCUCUACUAGAUAAUGCUUCACGUUAAGGUAAGGUUUAUAACCCUACAUGAUAUGAUUGAGAAAAAAUGAAUCCAUUUAAUUUGGUAAAAUAGAUGAUAUAAUAUAUUAUUCAGGGGUUUUUUUAGUGUUAAAGAUGAUGGAAAAAGAGCUACAUGAAUAGAUCUUGAUGAAUUUCCAUGUUUUGUAGAAGUAGUUGCUGCUGAUUGUUUGAUGGAAGUUUGAAUUUAGAGUUUGGUGCUGCAGGAGAUGAAAUUCAAGUGAGUCCCUAAAGCUGAUUCUUGUGUGUAUGCAAUAUAUUCUAGAUGCUUUUGGGUAGUAUCGUAUAGACUAAGAAGCUGACCCUAGAAAAUACAAGCAUAAUUAAAAUAUAUGAAGAGAGUUAUGUGUAUGUUUGUCUAAUGUAAGUGAACUAAUCAAAAGGCCAAGUAUUAAUGUGGUACCAAUCCAUGAAAGUCUAUCAAGUGAGUUUGUGUCUGUCUUUGCAGAGUUGUCUAAAGGAGUCUGUCAGGACUUUAAACAUGAUUCUUUGAAAGGAAAAGUCCUGGGCACCAUAUCGUGUAAGACUAUAGUUGGUGGGUUGUGGCAACAUAUGGAAAGAACCAAAGGAAGGUUAUUACCUAAUGGGGUUUUCUACAUGACCUAAAACGAUGAAGAGAAAACCUCACGAAACAUGAGUCUAGAAAAAUCCCUAUCACAAACACACAAGGAAGUGGAAGCCUUUGUGGCAUAUCCAAGAAAAUGGAAGUCUAUGUGGCGAUCUAUGAAAAUCAAAGCUUUCAUGGAAAAUCCUCUAAAGCAUGGCCCUUAUGGUAAUCUUUUGAAGUAAACGCCUCUGUGGGGACCUCGAGAGAAAGAGAUGAUUUCCAUGACGUAUUCUAAAGGAAUGGAAUUUUUGAUGAAAUAGAAAGGAAUGAUAUGAAAGAUAGAUUUUGAAUUUAGAGCCUUUGGGGCAAAGAAUAAAGGAUACAUCCUUAUGGCAGGUUUUGAAGGAACAUCCUCCUUGGUGAAUCCUAUAGAGUGAGUUUUCAUGGCACACACACACAAUGGGCUACAGCUAUGGCGUGUUCUAGGAAGGCUCUCAAGAAUGAUCCAUGAAGGACUCCCUUUGUGGCGGAUCCUGCGCUAAGUGAAAGGCAUAUUCCUUAUUACUCUUGAAUGCAAAUAGUAAGCACCGUAAGUACAAACGUAUCUAUGGGUAUUAUGGUAAGGUACUCAAUAUGAUUAAGAUUUGUGUAGAUAAGGAAAUUCUAAGAGGUGUAGCAAGGUAAUGAGAAUGCAUUCUGAAAAGGAAUGUAAACAUGACAUGCUCGAAAAGAAGUAUCGAUCACUAUGUAUGGGUCUCGUUCUGAAUUUGAGGAAGUUAUGGCAUGGUAAAUGAAGAAUGUAGGUGAAGUCUCAAAGGCACUAAAGAGAUGGAAUGGACUCAGAGUAAUGUAUGGUAACGAACAUGAAUAAAGAAAUAGAAAUGGAUACAGCUUUUUCUAGAGACUCAAUAAAGAAUAAAGGCAACCAGAUGGUUCUUGAAACAUUAAACGCAGCGUGCAAUUAUGACCCAGGUAAAGGGUGGUUUUCUCACUAAGUUCCAUUGAACUUAUUUCUAUGUCUUAUGUUUCAGGCGAACUCGUAAAGGUUUGUGCCUGAAGGGACAACACCAGGGCUAUGCCAAAGGAGUGGCAAGGUGGGCUAUUAUGCAUACAGAGCAAAUUGUUGGCCUGUCCGAGUUCAAGUUGUUUUACAAAAGUCUUUUACACGGAAUAACUAUGAUGGACCAAAGUACCAAAACAAUCAUAGUUGUAAAUAAACUCUCUGUGUGUACUAAUUAAAUUGUCACAUGCCUCACUCUUACGUAUUUAAUAGAAAAGUUGCAAUGAAACAACUGCUGUUUGAAUGUAAUUUGAAAUUAAUAGAAUUGAAUUUCUUAUGUGCUUUAGUAGUAACACCUUAGAUUCAGAUCAUCGAAUUGGGUUUGGGGCUUUACAAAGGCAUUCCUUUCAUAUUCCGCCACAAAGGCUUUCUUUCAUGUUAUGCCACAAAGGCUUUUCUUUCAUAUUAUGCCACAAAUGCUUUCUUUCAAGUAUACCACAAAGGCUUUCUUUAUUUGUCAUGAUUUUGUGAUAUGAAUUUUCCUAAACUCACUUCUGUGAGGUUUUCCCAUCAUUACAUGGGAAACAUUGAAAAACCUUCCUUUAAGUUCCUUUAGAGAGUGUCAUGGCUAUAGGCUUUUCCUUUCAGAGAUCGUGCUUAAAGUUCCAACGGACACCUUUAGACUCCACCGCAAUGAUCAUACACAAACUUACUUGAAAAACUCUUCAUGUACUGACAUCACUUAGGACUCAACCUUUUAAGACACUAAUCAUAGACUUCAUCACAUACAGUUCAAAUAUGACAUACAACCAUACUCAAACUUCACAUAUUGAACUUUUCUGAUUCAUAUGAACUAUAUAUGCAAACCUAACAAACAUUCAUACAAUAGUAUAACCUUAAUAUUAUACUUUUUUAUGUUGGUUUCAUAGUUCAUUCGAUUUCCACAAAAAUAUCUAGCAUAAAUAGUAUACAUGCAGAAGUCAAAUUAGGGACUCACCUGACAACCAUGAACAGCAACUUGAACUCCAGACCCAACAAGGAAUUGUAGCAACCAUUAUAAAUCAAAAGAACGCCAUUAAAACUCAUUUGUAGCCUUUACCAUCAUCAUAAACCCAAAUAACCCUUAUACUAAGCCUUAAUUAUUCAUCUUACUACUCAUGCACUCUUACAGACCUACUCUUUCAUAGCAUAACAUGCAGCAUCAUAAAGCUUACCUUAACAUGGAUCAAUCACUAAUAAAAUUUGAGAUCUCAACUUCAGCUUAGAGAAAUGCCUUUAGUUCUUCAAGCCUCAGAUAACCUUGUCUUAGAAGUAAGAAAAAAAGAACUUCCCUUUCCCAAAAUUGAAUAUCUAUUAUUAUAGUCUAAGUUCUUAUUGGAACAUGACAAAUGUCACAUCAUUAUUUAAAUUAUUUUAUCGAAAGUCUACAACUUCUGAGAAACCUAAUUGAGUAUUCCCUUAUCUUUUAACUAUUCUGGUUCACAAACAGUUGGUUCCUAACCAGCUUACCUUGCAACUUAACUUACACAAUACCACAGUUAAUGAGUGCACUAUCCCUGAUGUGACCUUACGUAACACCCCUUAACUCGUAUCUACCACUAAAACAGGGUUACGGAGUAUUACCAAAACUUUCAAAACAUUUACAACUAAUUCACGUAAAUUACUAUUCAUUAAUCAAGAGUUUUUUCAAAAUGUCCCUUAAAUGGACCCUUGAGACUCAAUACAAGCAUUAGAAUCAAGUUGGAGCUUAAUCGAAAACUCUAAGAAUUUUUCGCGGAAUUACAAAAAUUUUCCAAGGUGCAAGAUUCACACGCCUGUAUGGUCAAAGGGACAUGCUCGUGUGACUCUGGGAGACGCCCUUGCUACAGGUCGUGUUUGACCCCGUGUAACUCUCUAACUUGUGCACACGGCCAUGCCACAUGCCCGUGUGCUAGGCCAUAUGGUUAAUUAAUUCAACUCGAAAUUAGGUGCAUGUUUCACAUGGCCACGACACAAACCCGUAUUCUAGGUCGUGUAGCACACACGGUUGAGACACACACUCGUGUCUCUGCCCGUGUGCUCAAUUCUGAGCAUUCUGUUUCUUAAAAUUAAGGUGCAGGGGACACACGACCUAACCAUACGCCUAUGUACCAGGCCAUGUGUCACACAUGAUCUAGACACACGCUCGUGUGUUUGCCCGUGUAGACAAAAUAAAGCCAUUUCCUAGCCUCAUUUGUCACCCAAAUUUACCAUUUUUUUGCACUAAAACAUACCAAGUACAAUCCAGCCAUUCUAAGCAUUCAAUUUAAGCAAAUUCCAUCAUUCAACAUGGCAUAUCAUUACAUGAAUAUGUGAUUACAAUCUUACCUUAGUUCAGUCCACAUGUUAGACAUAAUUUGAUCAACUACUUAACAUAUAUGUAGCUACCAUAAUAGGACAUUACAAGUAUACCGAAACAACUAUUUCUAGCCAUUCCAAUGGCUAGAUUACAAGCAUCAUUAUUAAGCCACUAAUGGUCAAGUUGUCCUAUACAUGCCAUUAUACCAAAAUGAUUUUACUAUGAAUACCCAAAAUAAGUUAGUUGAUAGUGUGACGAUGCUCCACUAAUCUCCAACCUUCGCGAGCUUUUGAGCACUAUAAAUAGGGAAAAUAAAACAGAGCAAGCAUUACAUGCUUAGUAAGUUCAUAUAACGGAAACUAAACUUACCAAUCUCGUUUAUUAAAUCUAAGCAUACAAUAUCAUGUUUUCCAUCCAUUAGCAAAAUUGCCUAAACACAUGCAUUCAAUCAAACAUGUUAGUCACCAAAAUCUUCGUAUCAAUCAAGUAACAUAGAUGAGCUCAUCAUGCAAUAUUCUUUCAAGUCAUUAUCAUUUCAUCUCAAAAUUCUCAAACCAUGUCAAGAGUUGUGUCCGUUGAAUCAUUAAAAUUCUGAUGGAUGCUCAAGUAGUAUACUCGAGGUGUACGAUUCAAUAAUCUGUCAAUUCUUAUUCAAGGGUACCCAUUAGGGCACUUAACCAAGGAACACACUCUCAAGCAACAUAUCGUAUAACAGGAUUACCAAUUCAGGAUCAAUCUUUUAUAUAUAACCUAUACUUAGAGGAGCUCAAUUAGGAUUACCAGUCUAGGCUAAACCCUCAUCAUAACAUAUACUCAAAAGGUAUUAUAUCAGGAUUACCCAUCCAGGUUAAAUCCUUUUUAUAAUAAGGUCAAUAAGAUUACUCGUCCGAGCUAAUUCAGUCAACAACAAAUGCAAGACCUCAUCCAUUUCGGGAAAGCACAUAUAUUCCUCGAAAUUCAAUAUUCAAUUAGGACUUAACCCUUUUUCACCACUCAAUCAUGAAUUACAUUUUUCAUUAAAGCAUUCAAAUAAUAUAAAUCAAUAUAAGUCACCUUCCACACAAACACAAUGUAACAGCCUGUUUUCAGGUCAAAUCAGAAUAGUGGUUUUGAUACCACAAAUCUGAAGUCAAAAUAGUUAUCUUAUUAUUUUAAUAAGGUUUAUAGCAUGAUAGAUUAAUUAUGUGAAAGUUUCAUAAAGAAAUUUUACUGUUUAAAUGCUUAAUUCGGUAAAAAGGACUAAAUUGUGUAACGCGUAAAAGUUGAGUUCUAUUAGUUAAAUGAACCAAAUAGCUAUAAAAAGGAAAUGUAGAGCACUUGCAUGGUAAAUUUACCAUUUUUUAAAUGAGUGGACUAUUAUGGCCAUUAAUUUGAUGAUUAUCAAAGUUUAUGAACAAGGUUAAUUUUGUAAUUUAGUUAAUAAAACAAAAUUAAAUGUGAUAAAAUUCAUAUCAUCUUUUUUAUUCCUUCUUCAUCAACCAAAAAUUAGGGUGAAAUAACACCAUUUUUUCUUUCUUCAUUCAGCCAUGCUAUAGUGAACAAUUAAAGUACGAUUUUUGAUCCGUUUUUAAUGAUUUUUACGUUUUUGAGCUCUUUGCGGCUUAAUCUAGCUAACCUGUAUCUUAAUUUUUGAAUUUGUUCAUGAUUUUGAAAUAUGCCAUUGUUGAAUACUUGAGUUCUUUGAUGUUUAAUGAUAGAUUAUGGAAGCUUGAUGAUAGUUGAACUAGUUUUGUAAAGUGAUUUUUGACAAAAAUGCAAAAUAGGGAUUAAAUUGUGAAAUUGUAAAAUUAUGUGGUUAAAAGUGUGAAAUAAUGAAAGCUAUCGGCUGCUUAAGUGCAUAAUAAAUUCGGCUAGACAUGGGUUGGUAUUAAAUUGCAUGAAUUUGCAAUUUUAUGUGUUAAGGACUAAAUUGUAAAAAUUAAAAAGUAUAGGGGUAAAUGUGUAAAUUUACCAAAAUAUGAAUUUUGGACUAAAUUGAAUGCUGAAUGUAUUAAAUUUGAUAAUAUCUAGAUCAAGAUAAGCCGAGAUCAAGUUUAGAUCGGGGAAAAGGAAAGAUCGACGAAUAGCCGAUAGUUUUUAUCCGAGCAAUACGAGGUAAGUUCGUAUAAUUAGAAUCAAAUUUUUCUAUACUUAUAAUUAGUGAAAUGAAUAUGUAUAAUUGAAAUACUUGAAGUAUGAUUGUUUUAUUGAUAUAAUGUAUUUGUUAUAGAGCGCUAUUUGAACUAUAAGAAUUCAUUGGAUACGAGUGACAUUAUACUGGGAUUACCGUUUUGGUUGAGCUCCUGCAUUUGUUGCAGACUCACCACAGCUCGUAUGUGCUUACCGAUAUAUCAGCUCGAAAAAGCUUACUGUUUUUAGCUCAUUGGAGCUUACCGUUUCAACUCGUAUGAGCUUGUUGUUCAGCUCGAUAGAGCUUAUUGUUCAUCAGCUCAGGAGGAGCUUACCGAUCAUGGCUCGAAAGAGCAGACAUGAUAAUGAAUUGAUGGAUUACUAACAUUGUUCACUCAAGUAUCCUUUGAAGUUCUAAUAGGUUUAACGGGCCUAAAUAAUGUUAUACGAAUGAGUUACGGUUUAUAAAUGUUAAAUUUUAUACAUGAUAUAUGAAUUUAGAAUGAUGAUAAGUAUUGUAUUAAUGGAUGAUUUCAUGUAUGUUUACAAUGACUAACAUUUGAUGAAUACUUGUAAUUAGGUGUUGGUUAAUUGAAUUGGUUACAAAUUUGUAUUGCUUUGAUUAUGUAUAAAUGGUAAGUUUAAUUCUGAAUUAUACGGGCUUACUAAGCUUAUUAGCUUACUCUGUUUCUUUUUCCAUGUUUUAUAGAGGUUCAUUAGCUCACUCGUUUCGGACAAGUUGGAGUUGCACAUCACACUAUCCAAAUUCCGAUUGGUACUUUUGAACUUGUGAAUUUGUAAAUAUGGCAUGUAUAGGCUAGUUUGAAAAAUGUUAGUUAUGCUACUUGAUAAUAGGACUUUGGCAUAUUUUUGUGUAUAAGUUAAGCCAUGUGAUUUGGCUUAUUUUGAUGUUAAGUUUUGGUUGAAUUGAAGUGUUCAAUUAUGGUAUGUUUUAACAAGUAAUGAUGGAAUGAAAUGAUGCUCUUGAUAUAUGGUUGUUAAAUGAAUGGAUUAUGCAUGAUGAUGGAUAGGUAUUUGGGUUUGAAUUUGUUAUGCUUUGAUAUGGCAAAUAUUAUGUAUUGAAAUGGUUAUUUUGGUUGCUAAUUGGGUUGCUUAAAUCUGGUCAAUUAUGUUUGUAAAGUCUUGUGUUUAUAGGGUGGCAAAAAUGGCUUUGCAAAUGGCUUACUUUUGUCUAUGUUGACGUGUUUCUCAGCCGUGUGCAACACACGGUUAUGUCACACGACCGUGCGUCACCUAGGGUACCCUACGAAUUAAGUCAGUAUACCCUACAGGUUUGACAUGGCUUAGUCACAAGGGCAUGUCUAUUGGCCAUGUGUGUCACACGAACUCACACAUGGGCGUGUGAUUCGCCAUGUGACAUAAGUCAAUAUACCCCCUAAAUGGCACACGGCCUAGCACACGGGCGUGUGUGGCCAUUUUGAUGGGCACACGGGCUAGACAAAUAGGCGUGUGGUUGGCCGUGUGUCCCAAGUCAAUAUCCCCUCCAGUUUUCCCACGGCCUGGCGCACGGGCGUGUCCUCGGCCAUGUAACAUAAGUCAGUAUGUAUGCCCUGUUUUCACACGGUCUAAGACACGAGCGUGUCUACUAGCCAUGUGAGGCACACGGCCGGUUCACACGAGCGUGUGACACAUGAAAUGUUGAAAUUUUUUUAAGUUCUUGAAAUUUUUAAUAUGUUAUGAUUUAGUCUCGAAUGCAUGAUUAAAGCUUGAUACGUUUUUUUUAAGUAUAUAGUGAAUGUGAAUGAAUGAUAUUGACUAAGAAUAGACAUUAUCAGAUAUAUAAUUGUUCUAAAUUGAGUUACAAGUCCGGUAAUGCCUCUUAACCUAUUCCAACGACGACUACAGGUUAGGGAUGUUACAUUUGUUAGUAUCAGAGCUACGAUUUAGUCCUAAAAUGUAGCGUAUGUGAGUCUAGCUAUACAUGCCAUAUAUAUAAAACUGUGAUAGUGUGAUAAAUCUUGACAUUUUUAAAUUUGGUUUUAUAUAAUAAUGGAUCCCAAACGAGCUGUAGUUAACGACGUAGAAAGUAAUGCGCCUGUAACACCCCAAACCCGACCCAGACGUUACGGCCGAAUUCAGCGUGUCACAUGGAGAAUGUUACUAAAAAAUUUAUGUUUUAUCCAAAAAUCUUUCUUAGGGUUUGAAAAAUGUUUUGUUUUAAGUUAAAGUGAAUGGAAGCUGUGCACCAGGUAGGAAGCCAGAAAAGAGGAGGUGAGUCUGUUGGACUGCUUAAGUACCAAGCUCUUCACGGAUCCAAUCCUAGACAUGCACACAUCCAUUGCCAUACUUUAAGCCUGUUACUAGUCCACGAAUAAUUAAUUAAGUUUCAGUCUAUUUAAAAUAUCCAUUUCCUUUAAAAACGUUUACAUUAUGAAAGCUUUGCUCAGUUAUCAUGUUAUUUUGAAAAUAUGUAACUUUUAUAAACCGUGCCCUAGAGCUAACCAAUUUAAUAACCCAAAAUAAAAAAAUAAUAAGAAGAAGAGCGGCCUUAUUUCAACUUAAACCAGAAUAAAAAUAGUCAAAAUAAUAAAUGUGAAACUUAAAAAAAAACAGCAAUUAAUCUUCGUGGCCACUCUGAAUCCCGCCCAGCUCCAAGUCCACCAAAUAGGGCUCACCUGCAAGGAUGGAAGGGAAAGGAGUGAGUUUGGAAAACUCAGUGUGUAAGGAAAACCCAUCCAAAGCCCAAGUCAACUCAAACCCAUUGGGCCUAAGCCCAUUCAGAUAACAGGGGUAUUGGGCCGAAGCCCUUUUCAGAAUACAAUAAAUUGGACCUUAGCCCCAUUUUCAGAUAACAGUAUGGCCCAGAGGCCCAUUCCAGAACAGAUCAGACAUAUUCGUGUAUGCAAGCCCAACCUAGCCUAUAACCAACCGCUAAACUCCACCCGUACCAGCCCUACACUCCAUGUAGGGAAUAGCUCAACCCACCCAGCCCUACACUCCACAGUUGCAGCAUUGCUGCUCAGUUAUCAGUAAGUUGAGGCAAAGCCUCCAAUACGUGGACAAGCCACUUUUAGUACUUCCUCCAUCAGUAUCCCAGUCCCAUGCAUCAGAUAGUAAUAACAUGGCAUGCAGUAAAUAAUAACAGUCAAACAUGCAUUUAGGUCAACCUUAACCCUAGGGGUAUAUCAGUAAUUUUACUCCUAGGGGUAAAUUUGUAAAUUGUCCACCUAUGAAGGUAUUUCAGUAAUUUUAUCAGUUUUAAGGGUUUUCAUGCAUAUUCCUACCUUUCACGUACAACAGAAACACUUACUGAGGGUCCUUACCGAAUUGGGCCCGUUGGCCCACUAUCCCAAUUUUGCCCCAUAAAGCCCAAAAAUAUCGAAGGCACAGAAAUCAUGCACUCUGCAGUCUAAACAUUUUAGUUUACCAAAAACGUUAAUCGAUUUACCUCACGAGCAUUCGCACACUCGCAAGUCCAUAAAAUAUCGAUUUUUUGGCAUUUCGGCUUUUAGCUUUUGCCGAUCUAGACUAUGAAAGGGUGUCAGUUACACACCUGUUUGGAUGAUAUGCUGACGAGAUCCACACACGAAAUGCCUACAAUUGGAUUACUAACACGUUAAUCUAACUAUUAAAAUGAACUACAUAUUAACCCCCUUACUAUAUUCGGCCAAAAACAUCUUAGGUACUAGCGAUCCUACCUUUGCCGAAAUUAGCGACUACGUUUAGAUCCAGUCGUUCCACUUGUCCAAGCCUUUGAUAAGUAGCCUCUAGAUCACACUAUUACCAAAAUAAAACAAUUAUAACAACCCUUAGAGCUACAAGCCCAAAUCGACAGCCUCCCUAACCUUUAGGGGGUUUCGGCUUUUUCUAAAACCUGAAAUAAAGAUUAGGUUCGAAAACUUACCAUCGGUUCCUUCAGUCAAUGAUUCCAAUUAACUCCUACUCGAUUCUAAUGCAGAUCUAAACCCUCAAAUGAUAACAAAAGUCGAGCCCUUAGAGAUCUCAGAAUUCGGCAUGUCCCUAAGGCUAUGCAUUUUCGGCUUUUUGCAACAGUGAAGAAAAAGUGAGGGUUUUGUAGUGGCUUUGUCGACAGAGGUUUGGGGUUCAGAAAAAGAAAGAAUUUAUCAAAAUAUGUUAGCCUUACCUGGGUGGUACUCAAUCAAACAAUCGUAAUCCUUAAGCAACUCUACCCAUCUUCGUUGCCUAAGGUUUAACUCCUUCUGAGUCAACAGAUACUUUAGGCUCUUAUGGUCUGUGUAUAUGAUACACUUUUCUCCAUAUAAGUAAUGUCUCUAGAUUUUCAACACGAAGAUCACUGCUGCUAGCUCUAAAUCGUGUGUAGGGUAGUUUUCUUUAUGAGGCUUAAGCUAUCACGAAGCAUAAGCGACCACCUUACCCUCUUGCAUCAGUACACAUCCUAACCCCACAUGCGACGCAUUGCUGUACACAGUGAAGUCCUUCCCGGACUCCGGUUGAAUCAACACUGGCGCUUCAGUCAAUACCUUUUUCAAAUGGUCAAAAGCUUUUUGCUGUCUCUCAGUCCAGACAAAUUCUACCCCUUUUCUUAACAAUUUCGUCAAUGGUGCAGCAAUCAGAGAAAAUCCCUCUACGAACCUUCGGUAAUAGCUUGAGAAACCUAGAAAACGCUGAAUUUUCGAUACUGACUUCGGUGGUUUCCAUCCUAAAACUGCCUCAAUUUCUUGAGGAUCCACUCUAAUUCAUUCAGCAGAAACCACAUAACCUAGAAAAGCCACUUCUCGCAACCAGAAUUCACACCUACUAAACUUCGCAUAUAGUUGCUUCUCUCUCAGCACUUGCAGCACAAUACGUAGAUGCUCCUCAUGUUUCUCCUCAGUUUCCGAAUAUACCAAAAUAUCAUUGAUGAAAACUACCACGAAUCGGUCCAAGUAAGGUUGGAAUACUCGAUUCAUCAAAUCCAUGAAAGCGGCAAGUGCGUUCGUCAACCCAAACAGCAUAACCAGGAACUCGUAAUGACCAUAUAAAGUUCUGAAUGUUGUCUUAUGAAUAUCCACUUCCUUUACCCUUAGCUGAUGGUAUCUAGAUCGAAGGUCAAUCUUGGAAAAUACCAAAGCUACUCUAAGUUGGUCAAAUAAAUCAUCAAUUCUUGGUAGUGGGUAUUUGUUCUUUAUCGUCAGUUUGUUCAACUGGCGAUAAUUGAUGCACAUGCGCAUUGUCCUGUACUUUUUCUUCACAAACAGGACAGGUGCUUCCCAUGGAGACACACUAGGUCUAAUGAAGCCUCUAUCCAACAACUCUUGGAUUUGAGCUUUCAGUUCCACUAACUCCUUCGGUGCCAUCCUAUAAGGUGCAAUGGAUACUGGAGCUGUUCCAGACAGCAAAUCGAUUCCAAAUUCAACUUCCCGAUUUGGAGGUAAUCCAUUAAGCUCUUCUGGGAAAACAUCCCAGAAUUCCCUAACAGUUCUGACGGUCUCCACAGUCAGAUCCUCAGUUUCAACUUGGCAUACACAAGCCAAAUAUGACUCGCAUCCUUUACGCAUCAGUUUCUCAGCCCUCAAAGCCGAUACCACAUUGGACAAGUAAUCUCUUCGUUCUCCAAUAAUCAUUACCUCUUCAUCCUCAACAGUCCUUAACACCAUCCUCUUAGCUGCACAAUCCAGCGUUGCCUUAUGCUUGGUCAACCAAUCCAUCCCUAGGAUCAAAUCAAAUUCUUCAAACUGUAACUCUAUCAAGUCUCCACAGAAAAUCCUACCUUGAGUCUCUAAAGGCACCUCCCUAAAGAGUUUCUCUACUUUAACCGAGUGACCUAAAGGACUUAUCACAGUUACCCCACACACAGUCUCCUCAAAGUGAACACCCAAUGCCUCAGAAAUGUCACAUGCAACAUACGAAUGAGUUGACCCCACAACUAUCAGAGCAGUAUAAGGUACGCCAGAGAUCAAAAACGUACCCGUGAUGACAUCAGGUGCGUUACCCUCCUCGUGGCGACAAGCAGCAUAUACCAAACCUAGCUGACAAGCCUCAGCAUUAACAGUACCCCUGCCAGAUGCCCCACGUCCACGGCCAUUGCCACCGCGACCUUGGCCACGACCUCUCGGCGGCGGCAGUCCACCUUGCGCUAGUUGGACAGGUUGCACAGCCCCUUGUUCAGCCACUUGAGUCUGAGCUGGCCUCCUAGGACAAUCCCUGAUCCUAUGUUCCUUUGAUCCACAAUGAAGACAAGUCCUAGAAUGCUUCCAGCAUUCCCCCAGAUGCAUUCUACCAUAAUCUCCACAAGCUUGUGGUCUAACUGUGUUCACCGAAACUACUCGAACUGGUUCCUCCAUCCUAGCUCUCUUAACAUUUCGGUUUGUAGUACCAGCUGGUCUAGCAUCCCUCCUAAAUCAGUUUCGAUCCCUGUCGUGGUUCUUUCAUUCGGCUUGCUUCACCUCUUCGGCUAUCUCAGCCUUCUCUACUAGUGCAGCAAAAUCGCGCUCUCUUUGUGGAGCUAUGAGCACUCUUCGCUCAUCCCUGAGGCCAUCUUCAAAACGAACACUGCACUCAUAUUCGGUGGAGACACUGCCACUAGCGUACUGGCUCAAUCGCAAAAACUCUGCCUUAUAUUCAGCUACGGUCUUACUACCCUGGGUCAGGUUCAGGAAUUCCUUUCUUCGUGUAUCCACAUAGCUAGCUCCGACAUAUUUCGCCUUGAAGGACUGCUUGAACAACUCCCAAGUUACCCACUCAGCUGGGGUACCCUCUCUCACAAUGAUCCACCACUGAUACGCCUCGUCCUGCAGUAAUGACACCGCCCCUUUUAACUUCUGUUCCACUUAGCAGUCCAGGUCAUCCAUAAUCUGCUCCAUGGCUUUCAGCCAGUACUCAGCCACAUUUGGGGCUAUUCCAGAUAUACCCCUAAAAACCUCCGCUCUGUUGGCCCGGAGUUGCUUAGAAAUGGACCCCCUACUCAUGGGCCCGACAUUAGCUCCGGCCACCCUUUCCAAAACUCUUAACAUGGCCUAGGAUAGAGCGUCGUCCCCCACGGCUCGAUUAUACGGCCCAUUUUCAUCCACCAAUGGUGGUCAUGCCACUCCAGCUGGUAUAUGUUUAGAAGACGAAGAUCCAGCUUGAGUACUACCUCGGCCUCGACCAAGGCCUCUUCCCCGAGUAGCUCUCGUACUCAUAUCGAUUUAUCUGAUUAUGAAUUUUAUGCCGUUAGUUUACUGUUUCCACUGUUUAGUACAGAAUAUCUUAUGAACAGAUAAAGUUUCAGAGUUGUUCUUGCUCGACCGCAGUUUAGCUACUGUCUCAGUUCCCUAGGGCUUAGUUUACCCUACAGUCUUAGUUUUGUAGCAUUAAUGCUACAUUAUCUAUAGUACUAUCUCUAAGGCUCAGUACUAUUUAUAGUACAGUUCAGUAUAUAAAAUAGAAAGAUACUUACAGACUUGGUGCCGGAGAUUCAGUGUGCCACCUCAUCAAUUUUUAGACAAAAUCAAAAGAUUUAGGCCUUUUUGAAAUCCAUUUCUCACACCUUUGGUUUAAAGAAAACAGGUUUGGAAAUUAUCUCCUUUCAACAAAAAAAUUUGAUUUCAAAAAUUAGAUUUUUCAAAAAUACCCUCUUUGAGCUCAGAGUCUUGGAAACUUUUUUGGACCCGAUCCAUAGCAGAGUUAUUGCAACUGGGCUCUGAUACCAUUAAAUGUAACACCCCAAACCCAGUCCAGAUGUUACGGCCGAAUUCAGCGUGUCACAUGAAGAAUGUUACUAAAGAAGUUAUGUUUUAUCCGAAAAUCUUUCUUAGGGUUUGAAGAAUGUUUUGUUUUAAGUUAAAGUGAAUGGAAGCUGUGCACCAGGUAGGAAGCCAGAAAAGAGGAGGUGAGUCUGUUGGACUGCUUAAGUACCAAGCUCUUCACGGAUCCAAUCCUAGACAUGCACACAUCCAUUUCCACACUUUAAGUCUGUUACUAGUCCACGAAUAAUUAAUUAAGUUUAAGUCUAUUUAAAAUAUUCAUUUCCUUUGAAAACGUUUACAUUGCGGAAGCUUUGCUCGGUUAUCGUGUUAUUUUGAAAAUAAGUAACUUUUAUAAACCGCGCCCUAGAGCUAACCAAUUUAAUAACCCAAAAUAAAAAAAUAAUAAGAAGAAGAGCGGUCUUAUUACAACUUAAACCAAAAUAAAAAUAGUCAAAAUAAUAAAUGCAAAACUUAAAAAAAAACAGAAAUUAAUCUUCGUGGCCACUCUGAAUCCUGCCCAGCUCCAAGUCCACCAACUAGGGCUCACCUGCAAGGAUGGAAGAUAAAGGAGUGAGUUUGGAAAACACAGUGUGUAAGGAAAACCCAUCCAAAGCCCAAGUCAAAUCAAGCCCAUUAGGCCUAAGCCCAUUCAGAUAACAGUGGUAUUAGGCCGAAGCCCUUUUCAGAAUACAAUAAACUGGACCUUAGCCCUAUUUUCAGAUAACAGUAUGGCCUAGAGGCCCAUUCCAGAACAAAUCAGACAUAUUCGUGUAUGCAAGCCCAACCCAGCCUAUAACCAAUUGCUAAACUCCACCCGUACCAGCCCUACACUCUAUGUGGGGAAUAGCUCAACCCACCCAGCCCUACACUCCACAGUUGUAGCAUUGUUGCUCAGUUAUCAGUAAGUUGAGACAAAGCCUCCAGUACAUGGACAAACCACUUUUAGUACUUCCUCCAUCAGUAUCCCAGUCCUAUGCAUCAGAUAAUCAUAACAUGACAUGCAGUAAAUAAUAACAAUCAAACAUGCAUUUAGGUCAACCUUAACCCUAGGGCUAUAUCAGUAAUUUUGCUCCUAGGGGUAAAUCUGUAAAUUGUCGACCUAUAAAGUUAUUUCAGUAAUUUUAUCAGUUUUAAGGGUUUUCAUGCAUAUUCCCACCUUUUAGGUACAACGAAAACACUUACCGAGGUUCCUUACCGAAUUGGGCCGUUGGCCCAAUAUCCCAAUUUUGGCCCAUAAAGCCCAAAAAUAUCGAAGGCACAAAAAUCAUGCACUCUGCAGUCUAAACAUUGUAGUUUACCAAAAAUGUUAAUCGAUUUACCUCACGAGCAUUCGCACACUCGCAAGUCCACAAAAUACCAGUUUUUUGGCAUUUCGACUUUUCAGCUUUUGCCGAUCUAGACUAUGAAAGGGUGUCAGUUACACACCUGUUUGGACGAUAUGCUGACGAGAUCCACACACAAAAUGCCUAUAAUUGGAUUACUAACACGUUAAUCUAACUAUUAAAAUGAACUACAUAUUAACCCCCUUACCAUAUUCGGCAAAAAACAUCUUAGGUACUAGCGAUCCUACCUUUGCCGAAAUUUGCGACUAGGUUUAGAUCCAGUCGUUCCACUUGUCCAAGCCUUCGAUCAGCAGCCUCUAGAUCAUACUAUUACCAAAAUAAAACAAUUAUAACAACCCUUAGAGCUACAAGCCCAAAUCGACAGCCUCCCUAACCUUUAGGAGGUUUCGACUUUUUUUAAAACCUGAAAUAAAGAUUAGGUUCGAAAAAUUACCAUCGGUUCUUUCGGUCAAUGAUUCCAAAUAAAUCCUACUCGAUUCUGAUGCAGAUCUAACCCCUCAAAUGAUAACAAAAGUUGAGCCCUUAGAGAUCUCAGAAUUCGACUAUGUCCCUAAGGCUAUGCGUUUUCGGCUUUUUGCAACAAUGAAAAAAAAGUGAGGGUUUUGUAGUGGCUUUGUAGAAAGAGGUUUAGGGUUCAGAAAAAGAAAGAAUUGAUCAAAAAGGAUGAAGAAAGAUUAGUAGGUUUUUCUAGGAGAAUUUGGCACAGACAAUAUGAACUUUCAGAAUUUCAGCUUUUGUGAUAUUCGGCUAUAAGGCUUAAAAAUAAUAGUAAGGAAGUGGUGUAAGGAAGAGUGGUAGAAGGAUUCGGCUAUGGAGAAAAGAAGAGGAGAAGAUAGAUGGAGAGAAAAAGAAAAGAAAUGAGGAGGAGGAAAGAUAGUUAGAAAAAAAUGGCACACUUACCCCUAAAUGCCGAAUUUAUACUUGGCAUCUAAUCUAGCUGAAAUUUGCCCCCUAAGCAAACCCUUGGCUGGCCAACUCUUGCUCCCCAAGAGUCCACCAUUCGGCCAAUACUUCUCUCCCUAAUCAGCUCCUAAAUCCUCUCCCUUAUCCCCUCCUUACUCAAUCCCUUGAGCAAUUUAAACUCCUCCUAACAGUCUUUCACUUGAGUUCCAUUACUUACCCUUUCCAACCAUAAAAAUAAUUCCCUUAAUAUGCUUUCAUUGUGACUUGAACCUUGGUUCUUUUUAGCAUCCACACGCCACCUUUAUAGCCUCCCCAAUGGCGUUACAUGCCACUUUACCACCUGCUUCCUUGUGUUUAAUUUUUAUCCAAUUAAUACUUAAAAGCCCAAUUAACCGGAACCCCUUCUUCCUCUGGAAUUAAAACUAAUUAAAAUUACUGGGUUUUAACUUAAGCUUGGUCCUUCUAGGGGAUCACUAACCUGAUUAAAUCUACGCCAAGCAGACAGAACACCAAAAAUUUAAAAUUUGCCAACAUCCACAGAAUUCUGGAAAAUUAGGACGUUACAGCGCCAGCUCCUGCUAAGGGGCAGUGCCUUCUGACUCUAGACCUAUGAUGAGUAGUCACGGGGGUGAGGCUAAAGAAGCCUUCUUUCAGAUAUUAAAUGAGUGGUUCACACAGUAUAUUCGUACAAACUCGCUGUUCCGCAACCUCCACCCUCACCUGUUCCCCAAUGAUCCCUCUAGUUCCUCAAGGUAUUGAUCCUCUAUGAUGAAAUAAACCACCUGUUGACAAGAUAAGAAAGUACGGAGUCGAGGAAUUUAGAGCUACUAUUAAUGAUGACCCUAAGAGAGUCGAGUUUUGGCUUGAGAACAUGAUUCGGGUAUUCGACGAAUUAUCUUGCACACCUAAAAAAUGUUUAAAGUAUGUUGUAUCAUUGCUAAGUGACACCGCGUAUCAAUGGAGGAAUACAUUGAUAUCAGUAGUUCUGCCAGAAAAAGUCAUUUGGGAUUUCUUUCAAGUUGAAUUUAGAAAGAAAUAUAUCAGUCAAAGGUUCAUCGAUUAGAAAAGAAAAGAAUUCAUUGAAUUGAAAUAGGGUCGUAUAUCGGUCACAAAACAUGAGAGAGAGCCUGUACGACUUAGCAAAUAUGCUCGUGAAUGUGUUUCUUCUAAGCAUAUAAUGUGUAAAAGAUUCGAGGAUGGAUUGAAUGAAGAAAUCAGAAUGUUAGUUGGAAUUCUGAAGCUGAAAGAGUUUGUUAUUUUGUUUGAUCGAGCUUGUAAAGCCAAAGAGCUUUGUAAAAAGGAAAGAAAAGCUGAUUCUGAGGCUAGAGGGUCUAGAAAAAGUUUUACGGGCAAAUCAUACCAGUCUGCAUCAAAGAAAUUUAAAUAAUAUCAUUCUCGUUCUACAGCCUCUGCGAGAAUUUCUAUUAGAGAUAGAAACGCAAGACAAUCAAGUUCAAAACCUUAGGCGAAACCUGUGGCCAGUGUGGGAAGUGUUAGAAAUGUUGGAUCUGAAUGUAAACAUUGCAAUAAGCGACAUUACGGUGAAUGCAGAUUAGUGAACAGAGCUUGCUUUAAAUGUAGAUCUUUUUAUCAUUUUCUCCAUGACUGUCCGAAAAAGUUUACAGCUGAAAAAGAUCAACCCACGAAAGUAAGUAACACAAUUACUAGAGGGAAACCGCCCCAAAACACUAGAAAUGUGAGUGGUAAUUGAGGUGCUACAAGAGAUUCGACCGUGAGAUCUAAGGCAUGAGCACCUGUCAGAGCUUAUGCUAUUCGUGUACGAGAAGAGGUAUCAUCGCCAGAUGUUCUUACCGGUACUUUUUCUCUUUUUGAUACUAAUAUAGUUGCGUUGAUAGAUCCUGGAUCAACUCAUUCAUAUAUCUGUAUGAAUUUAGUAUUCAAAAAGAGUUUGCAUGUAGAAUCCACAGAGUUUGUAAUUAAAGUAUCAAACACUUUAGGCAAAUCUGUUUUAAUUGAUAAAAUUUGUAAGAAUUAUCCUCGGAUGAUCAGGGGUUACUGUUUUUGGGCUGACUAGAUGCUUCUACCUUUUGAUGAGUUUGAUGUGAUUCUGGGUAUGAAUUGCCUGACUAUGCACGAUGCAGUUGUGAAUUGUAGACAGAAGACUAUCGAAUUGAAAUGUCAAAAUGGUUGAGAUUCUUUGGAUUGAGUCUAAUGAUUCGAGUGAAUUACCAGUUGUGAUAUCAUCUAUUUUAGCUCAGAAAUACUUGAAAAAGGGUUAUAUGCAUAUCUUGCAUACGUACAGGAUACAAAGGUGUCUGAAUCAAAGAUUGAAUAUGUACCUGUUGUUUGUGAAUUUUUAGAUGUAUUUCCAGAGGAAUUACUGGGUUUACCUCCGAUCAGAGAAGUUGAAUUUGGAAUUGAAUUAGUGCUAGGAACAAAACCGAUAUCGAUAGCUUUGUACAGAAUGGCUCCAACAGAAUUAAAAGAGUUGAAAUCUCAGUUGCAAGAAUUGACAGAUAAAGGUUUUGUACAACUGGGUUAUUCUACCUGGGGUGCAGCAGUAUUGUUCGUGAAAAAGAAAGAUAGCACGAUGAGAAUGUGUAUCGAUUAUAGACAAUUGAAUAAAGUGACUAUAAAGAACAAAUACCCUCUACCAUUGAUCAAUGACUUAUUUGAUUAGUUGAAAGGGGCUACAGUAUUUUUAAAGAUUGAUUUGAGAUCAGGUUACUACCAGUUGCGAGUCAAAGAGUUAGAUGUGCCAAAAAUCGCGUUCAGAACAAGGUAUGGACAUUAUGAAUUCCUUGUCAAGCCUUUCGGUUUAACUAAUGCUCCUACCAUUUUUAUGGACUUGAUGAAUCGAAUAUUUAGACUGUAUUUAGACAAUUUUUUUGUUGUAGUCAUUAACAAUAUUCUGAUCUAUUCACGAGAUGAAUCUGAGCAUACCGAACACUUGAGAAUUGUGUUACAAACUCUACGUAAUAAACAGUUUUUUGCAAAGUUCAGUAAAUGUGAGUUCUGGCUCAAAAAAGUUGGAUUUUUGGGGCAUAUGUUUCAGCCGACGGUAUUAGAGCUGAUCUGAGUAAGAUUUCUGCUAUUGUUAAUUGGAGACCUCUGAGAAAUGUAUCUGAAGUUUGUAGUUUUCUGGGCUUAGUGGGUUAUUACUGAAGAUUCGUGAAAGGAUUCUCAAUGAUCGCGACAUCGAUGACACGACUGUUACAAAAAGAUAGAAAGUUCGAAUGGUCAGAAAGAUGUCAGCAGAGUUUCGAACAGUUGAAAGCACUGUUAAUAGAGGCACCAGUUUUGGUUCAACCUGAAUCGGGUAAAGAGUUCAUGAUCUAUAGUAAUAUAUCGUUAAACGGAUUGGGCUGUGUUUUAAUGUAUGAAGGAAAGGUUAUAGCUUAUGCUUCUCGACAGUUGAAACCGCAGCAAAAGAACUAUCCGAUACAUGAUUUAGAGUUGGCUGCAAUUGUGUUCGCAUUGAAGAUUUGGCGAUACUAACACGGUGAAAAAUGUCAUAUUUAUACAGAUCAUAAAAGCUUGAAAUAUUUGAUGUCACAGAAGGAUUUGAAUUUGCGACAACGAAGAUAGGUUGAGUUAUUGGAAGAUUAUGACUUUGUGAUUGAUUAUCACCGGGAAAAGCUAAUGUAGUUGCUGGUGCCUUGAGUCAAAAAUCAUUGUUUGCGCUACGAGCAAUGAACACCCAGUUGAUGAUAUUUGAUGAUGGGUCUAUUUUAGCUGAAUUAAGAGCUAAAUCAGUAUUUUUUUCAACAAGUUUGUGAAGCUCAGAAAGAUGAUCGUGAACUACAAGCUGAACGAAUUCAAUGUGAGUCUAUUUCUGAUUCAAAAUUUCAUAUUGGAACUGAUAACUAUUUAAUGUUUUGAAAUAGAAUUUGUGUACCGAAAAAUACAGAGCUUAUUCAGAAAAUUCUGCAUGAAGCACACAGUAGUUGUUUUUCUAUUCAUUCUGGUGGUCGGGUAUGAAACGGGAUAUAUCAAAGUUUGUAUUGAAAUGUCUAAUUUUUUAACUAGUUAAAGCUGAACAUCAAGUAUCAUCGGGCUUAUUACAACCUGUAAUGAUCCUUGAGUGGAAAUGGGAUAGAGUUACUAUGGAUUUUGUAUCGGGAUUUCCCCUAACUGCGAAAAAGAAAGAUGCUAUCUGGGUUUUCGUUGAUCGAUUAACGAAAUCUGCUCAUUUCAUACUGGUACAUACAGAUUACUCACUUGAUAGAUUAGCUGAAUUGUACAUUUUUUAGAUUGUUUGAUUACAUGGUGUGCAACUAUCUAUUAUCUCUAAUAGAGAUCUGAGAUUUACGUCGCGAUUCUAGAAGAAAUUGCAAGAAGCUCUGGGAAAAAAGUUGAAUUUCGAUACAUCUGAAGAGUAUUUGAAGUGUGCUAUUUUGUUGUUGAGGGAUGAUGCCUACCAUUGGUGGAAGACUUUGAAUUCAGUUCUGCCUAAGGAAGCAGUUACUUGGGACUUCUUUCUGGAGGAAUUCUGAAAGAAAUAUAUUAGCGAGAGGUUUAUCGACCAAAAACAUAAGGAAUUUCCUGAACUUAAGCAAGGUCACAUGUCGAUUACCGAAUAUGAGUGAGAGUUCAUUCGGCUUAGUAAGUAUGCCCGAGAGUGUGUGCCCACUGAGGCUAAGAUGUGCAGAAGGUUUGAAGACAGACUUAAUGAGGAUAUCAGGGUGUUAGUAGGCAUCCUUGAACUAAAGGAAUUUGUUGUGCUCAUUGAACGGGCAUGUAAGGCUGAAGAAUUGACAAUAGAGAAGAAGAAAGCUGAGUCGGAAACUAGAGAUAUGCGAAAGAGAAUGAUGAGUAGAUCACCCCAACUCAGUCUAAGAAAUCUAAAUAUGUAUAUUCUCAUUCUUAUGCAUAGGCAAGACGCUCCCACGGAAAUUGUAAGAAGUAAAUUUUGGGUUUCCGGACUCAGGCUACAUCUGUAGCUAGUGUAGGAGACGCUAAACCACGUCAACCUGAGUGUGAAUACUGCGAAAGACGUCAUCUGGGCUGAUGCAGGAGGAAUGAUGGGAUGUGUUAUAGAUGUGGUUCUUAAGACCACUUUAUUAAGGAUUGUCCCGAGACGAACGAGAGAUUUCAGAAUGCAAGACAGAGUGGUUCAGCUUCAAAGGCGAAACCCUCAAAAAUUGCUGGUACUGGAGCUGGCAGCAAAAAUACAACAAGAGAGACCACAGUACGAUCUGAGGCUAGGGCUCCGGUUAGAGCCUAUGCCCUUCGAGCACUUGAAGAAGCAUCGUCGCCUGACGUGAUCCCUGGUACAUUUUUUCUUUAUGACACUGUUGUUAUUGCUUUGAUAGACCCAAGCUCUACACAUUCUUAUAUAUGCAUGAAAUUGGCAUCUAGCAUGAAUUUACCUAUAGAGUCUACAGAAUUUGCGACUAGAGUGUCCAACCCGUUAGGCAAGCAUGUUUUAGUAUGAUAAUUGGAAGUCUUUAUUUUCCAUCUGACUUGAUGUUGUUAUCGUUUGAUGAAUUCGAUGUUAUUUUGGGUAUGGAUUGGUUGACACCUCAUGGUGCUAUAGUAGAUUAUAAAAAAAAGUUAUGGAAUUGAGACAUGAGAAUGGUGAAGUCCUUCGAGUCGAAUCAGAUGAACUUAGUGGCUUUUCAAUCGUAAUUUCUUUGAUGAUAGCUCAGAAAUGUAUGAGAAAAGGAUAUGAAGCAUAUCUGGCUUAUGUGUUGAAUACAAAGGAAUUUGAGUUGAAAGUCGAAUCAGUGCCUGUUGUAUGUGAGUUUGCGAAUGUAUUCCCGGAAGAAUUGCCAGGUUUUCACUACUUAGGAAACUUGAAUUUGGUAUUGAGUGAAUGCCAGGGAUUGCACCUAUCUCUAUCGCUCCGUAUAGGAUGGCUGCAACAGAGUUAAGGGAAUUAAAGUCAUAGUUUCAAGAAUUGGUUGACAAAGGCUUUGCGAGACCUAGUUUUUCACCUUAGGGUGCUCCCGUGUUAUUCGUAAAGAAGAAGGAUGGUUCCAUGAGAUUAUGUAUUGAUUACUGGUAACUUAAUAAGGUAACAAUUAAGAACAAAUAUCCAUUGCCAAGAAUUGAUGAUUUGUUUGAUCAGCUAAAAGGAGAAACAUGGUUUUCCAAGAUAGACUUGAGGACCGGUUAUUACCAGCUGCGGGUUAAGGAGACAGACGUACCUAAGACUUCUUUUAGAAUAAGGUAUGGUCACUAGGAAUUCCUUGUUAUGCCUUUUGGAUUGAAAAAUGCUCCGGAUGUGUUUAUGGAUUUGAUGAAUAGAAUAUUUCGUCCAUACUUGGAUAAGUUUGUUGUAGUGUUCAUAGAUGAUAACUUAAUUUACUCUAGAGAUGAGACAGAACAUGCCGAACAUCUGAGGAUCGUUUUGCAGACUUUGAGGGAUAAGCAAUUAUAUGACAAGUUCAGUAAAAGUGAGUUUUGGCUUCAGGAAGUUGGAUUCUUAGGCCACAUUGUUUCCAGUGAUGGUAUUCGGGUUGAUCCUAGUAAAAUUUAUGCCAUUGUUGAAUGGAAGCCUUCAAGGAAUGUAACCGAAGUUAGGAGCUUUUUGGGCUUAGCCGGUUAUUACCGAAGGUUUGUAAAAGAAUUUUCUAUGAUAGCCUUCUAGGAUGUUAAGUUUGAGUGGACAGAAAAGUGCCAACAAAGCUUUGAAAAGUUGAAAAUGCUAUUGACUGAGGCGCCAGUGCUAGUACAAUUGGAACCAGGGAAAGAGUUUGUAAUCUACAAUGAUGCAUCCUUGAAUGGACUACGAUGUGUGCUUAUGCAAGAAGGAAAAUUUGUAGCUUAUGCUUCAAGACAACUAAAACCUCAUGAGAAGAAUUAUCCAACUCAUGAUUUGGAAUUGGCCACCAUAGUGUUUUCUUUGAAGAUUUGGCGUCAUUAUUUGUUUGUGGAAAAAUUUCAUGUCUAUACCGAUCAUAAGAGCCUCAAGUAUUUGAUUACUCAAAAAGAUUUGAAUUUAAGACAACAGAGAUGGUUGGAAAUGUUGAAAGAUUAUGAGCUUAUGAUUUAUUAUCAUCCGAGAAAGGCGAACAUGGUCGCUGACGCUUUGAGCAUGAAGUCUCUAUUCACUUUGAGGGCAAUGAAUACAUAGAUGACCUUAUAUGACGAUGGUUCCAUUUUACCUGAAUUGAGAGCUAGGCCGACUCUUCCCCGUCAGAUUUGUAAAGCUCAAAAAUCCGAUCAGGAAUUACAAGCUAAGAAAGUACAAUGUGAAGCAACUAGUGAACCCGACUUUCAGAUUGACUCCGAUGGAUGCUUGAGAUUUUGGGGAAGAAUCUGUGUUUCAAAGAAUGCUGAGUUGAUCUAGACUAUUUUACACGAGGCACAUAAUAGUCGUAUGUCAGUUCAUCCGGGAAGUACGAAGAUGUACAACGACUUGAAGAAAGUUUAUUGGUGGAAUGGCAUAAAAAAGGAUAUCUCAGAAUUUGUGACAAGAUGUUUGAUUUGUCAACAAGUUAAAGUUGAACAUCAAGUACCCUUCGGUUUACUCCAGCCUAUUGUGGUCCGUGUGUGGAAAUGGGAUCAGAUCACUAUGGAUUUUUUGAUCGGGUUGCCAGUGACUCCAAGAAAGAGAUAUGCUAUUUAGGUGAUAGUCGAUAAAUUGACUAAAUCGGCCCAUUUUAUACCUGUACGCAUAGAUUAUUCUCUAGAUAAGUUAGCCAAUUUUUACAUUUUAGAGGUUGUUAGACUUCAUGGUGUGCCAUUGUCGAUUAUUUCGGAUAGAGAUCCGAGAUUUACGUUAUAAUUUUGGAAAAAGUUACAAGCGACUUUGGGAACGAAACUAAAUUUUAGUACUACUUUCCACCCACAAACUGAUGGACAAUCCGAGAGAAUAAUUCAGACACUUGAAGACAUGCUUAGAUGUUGUGUUCUUGAAUUUCAAGGUAGUUGGGAAAAUUAUCUACCUUUGGUUGAAUUUGCUUACAAUAACAGUUAUCAAUCUAGUUUAAGGAUGGCACCUUAUGAGGCAUUAUACGGCCGAAAGUGUCAAACUCAUUUGUAUUGGAUAGAGCUUAAGGAAAGUAAAAUUUUUGGAGUUGAUUUGAUCAAAGAAACUAAGGAUAAAGUUAAGGUGAUUCAAGAUUGUUUGAAAGUAGCGUCGGAUAGACAGAAAUCGUAUACGAAUUUGAAAAGAAAAGAAAUUGAGUAUCAAGUGGGUGACAAAUUAUUCUUAAAGGUAUCACCCUAGAGAAAGGUUUUAAGAUUCGGUAGAAAAGGCAAAUUAAGCCCUCGUUUUAUUGGGCCUUAUGAGAUUACCGAGAGAAUAGGACCAGUUGCCUAUCGCUUAGCUCUACCAUCAGAGUUGGAAAAGAUCCAUGACGUGUUUCAUGUAUCCAUGUUACGUCGAUAUAGAUCAGACCCCUUGCAUGUGAUUACCCUGACAGAGGUUGAAAUUGAACCGGACAUGACUUACGAUGAGGAACCAGUUAAGAUUUUGGCCAGGGAAGUUAAGCAACUGAGAAACAAAAGUAUUGCCCUUGUGAAGGUAUUAUGGCAUAGACAUGGGGUUGAAAAAGCCACUUAGGAACCAGAGGAGACUAUUAGAAGUCAAUAUCUGAACCGGUUUACUGGUAAGACUUUCGAGGACGAAAGUCCCUAAGGGGGAGAAAUAUAACAUCCCAAAAUAGGACCUAAUCAGAAUAGUGGUUUCAGGACCACAAAUCCGAUGUUAAAAUAUUUUUUUAUGAUUUUUAUGAGGUUUAGAAUAUGAAAAUAUGCAUGUGUUAAAGUUUCAUGAAGAAAUUCUAAGUAUAAGGUGUUCAAUUGGAAAUUAGGGACCAAAUUGAAUAAGUUGCAAAAUUUGUGUUCUAGAAGAAAUUUGUAUGAAAUUUCUUUGGAUUAUUAAUUAUGAGCUCUUAAAGAGCAAUUUUCCCAAUUUAUAUGUUUUUUUGACAAAAAUGGGCUUGUAUGAAAAAAUUUGAAGGCAUUAGGGGCAUUUUGGGCAUUUGGUAUAUUAAUGAAAUAAAAAGGGAAAAUAAGCCACAAAAUCAGUUCAUUCUCUCCAUGUUGCUCCCGAAAUUUUAGGGUUCUUCAUAGCUAGGGUAUUCAAGCUUUCCAAACUCUAUAGUAAGUGCUCCCAAGCCCCGUUUUUAAUGUUCUUCGUAUUUUUGAAAUCCUAGUAACUUGCUCUCUUUUUCUACCCAUCUUUCAUGCUAAGGUUCAUGUUUAUAAAUUUACCCAUGCAUGAGAAGCUUAUGUUUUGAUGAUUUAUGGAAUGAUAUGAGAGUUUAAGGGAUGGUAAACAACAUUUACUAAGUAGAUUUUCAUGAAAAAGGGCUUUAAGGACUAUUUUGUAAAAGUUGUAAAAAAGGGUAGAAAAAUGUGAAAGGAAGGAAAAUGUCGGCUGUUAUGAACAUGAAAAAUGUUCAGCUAGGCUUGGAUAACUAAGAAAUCCCAUACAUUGUAUUAUUCGAGCCUAAGGACUAAAUUGUAAAUAUAUGAAAGUAUAGGGGUAAAAUAAUAAUUUUACACAAAUAUGAGUUUUGGAUCGUUUUGAUUAAUUUAUGUAUCAAAACAAGCUAAAUUUGGUAUUAUAGAUCGAAAGAAUCGAGAUACGGGCCUUGAUCAGGGAAAGAACAAGGUUUACGAGGUUUAGGCUCGAUUUCUAAUAUUUUGUACCUAGGUAAGUACAUAUACAAAUAAAUACAUUAAUUAUUGUUAUUAAAUUAUUUAUUGAUAUAUGUAUGCUUAAUAUGCUUAUUUGGCUAUGUUGAUAAUAUAACAUGUUUUGAUGCUUUACUAUAUGAUUAUGAGAUGUAGGCCAUGUGAAAGAAACUAUUAUGCGAGUACGUUCGGUAAAGGUCUGGAAGUCUAAAAUCCUGUUUGAACCUUAGGAAUAGUUGAGGAUACAAGUGACAUGUCAUUAGGAUAGUCAUGUCUGUUAUGAGCUCAUUUAAUAUGUGAUGCAUGCUAGGGUCCGAGUGUUGGGUAUCCUGAGUUAUGUUCGGAUACUCUCUUAGCUCUUUGAGUAGCCCCGUUGAGAGCAGCAUGUGAUUCUAUGACGUGCACUUUCUGUCAGGUAGUCAAGGCUACAUUCAGGCACUUCUGUGCAUUCCUUCCGUGUGUCCAAAUCAUAUUCCAAGUGUUCAUGGGGUAACGUAAUAUGAAUUUUGAAAGUAAAAUUUAAGUAAGUCAUAUGUGUGCAAGAUGGCACAGGUAUGUACUAAAACCCUAUGAGGACUUAGUAUAUGAUGAUAUUAUGAAAGAUAUGUAUUUGGAUAAACAUGUGCAUAUGAAUAUGGAAGGUAAGUAUACAUAUGACAUAAUGAAAAGUAUCAUAAUGGAUAAGUAAUUAUGCUUAUUUUAUCAAUAGUUGCAAAAUGUAGAUUAUUUGUAUCUGUACUUACUAAGCUUUAUAGCUUACCCUACUCUCUUUUCCCUUUUCUUUAGAUACGUCAAGCUAGCUCAAAGGAUCGGGAGACGUCGGAGCUCGAAUCACACUAUCUUCAAGGAUUUUGGGUAUAAAAGGGUUCAAUUAUUUUUGUCAUGGCAUGUAUAGGAAACUUGUCUAUUUUGUGUAUAUGUGUCAUGUUGAAGUAGCCAAGUGUAAUGGCUCAUUUGGGCACUGAUUAUUUUGUAUGUGGCCAUGUGAUUUGGUCCAUAUUAAUGAUUGGGAUGUAUCCCUAAGUUUACCUUUACAUGCAUACUAAGAUGUGUAUGUGUUAGUUUGAUAGGUGACUAUUUAUUUGUUGGUAUGUGGUUGCAUGAUUUAGCACUCAUAAUGGAUUGAUAAUAAGGAAUAUGGUAAACCAUGAAAUUGGUGUGGAAUGACUAAAAAAUAAGGUAGUGUGAAUACUAAUGGUCUAGUAUGAAAAGGGGUCAUAAUGAUGCUAUAAUGUUGCAUGUUUAAGUGUCCAAAUAUAUUAUAGGAUAUGCCAUUGAACAUACGGAAGUGUAUGAUUGUUUAAGGGUGACCAAUGGCUUCGAGAGUAGCCUCCAAAUGGUCCACACAGGUAGACACACGGGCAUGUAUCUAGGUUGUGUGUGACACACGGUCAGCCCCAUGGGCGUGUCGUUCGGCCCUGUGUCCCCUAUACCUUGAAUUUUAGGUUAACAUGAUGGUAGCAAACACACGGGCAGUGACACGACCGUGUGUCUCAAUCAUGUGGAGGACACAGCCUCUGGCCACGGACGUGUGCUUGGCUGUGUGCCUCAAAUUUUAUGAUGACGUCAUAAACAGAAUGCUAGCUGAAAUCACACGUGUGUGUCCUAGGCCGUGUGAGGAACACGGGCCAAGGACACGGGCAUGUGCUCAGCCGUGUGAAAACCCCAGUAGGUUUGAAUUGGAAAAUAAAUCCAAAAAUUCCACACGGGUGUGGGACAUGGGCGUGUCCCUAAGCAUAUGGGCGUAUGAGACUUUAACCUUGAAAUUUUCUUAAAAUUUCAAUGAGUUCUCGGUUUAGUCCCAGACCGCUAAUGAUGUAUGUUUUGGGCCUUGUAGGUCCAUAAUAGGGAUAAAUUGACUUUAAUUGAUUGGUUUUAGUUUGAAUGAAAUUUUGUGGCCUGGUUCUGUAUGUUUAGUUCUACUUAAGUUCGGUAAUGCCUUGUACCCUGUCCCGAUGUCAGAUACGGGUAUGGGGUGUUACAUUUCAAUUCAGGGACCGAGUGUUUUUAAAAGUGUCACCAUGGAAAAAGGUUCUUUUAUUCGGCCGUAAAGGCAAGUUGAGUCCGUAUUUUAUCUGGCCGUAUGAGAUUACCGAGAGAAUAGGGCCUAUAGCAUAUCGACUAGCUUUACGAUCAGAACUGGAAAAGAUCCAUAAUGUUUUUCACGUUUCUAUGCUACGUCGAUAUAGAUCCGAUUCGUCACAUGUGAUCUCGUCGAUAGAUGUUGAAAUACAAGUUGAUUUGACGUAUAAUGAAGAACCAAUCAGAAUUCUGGCUCGUGAACUAAAAGAGUUGAGAAAUAAAUGUAUAGCUCUAGUGAAAGUCCUUUGGCAUAAACACGGUAUUGAGGAAGCUACAUAGGAACCCGAGGAAGCUGUGCAAAAACAGUACCCUAACCUUUUCACUGGUAAGAUUUUCGGGGACGAAAAUCUCUAAGAGGGGGAGAGUUGUAACAGCCCGUUUUUAGGUCAAAUCGGAAUAGUAGUUUCGGGACCACAAAUUCAGAGUCAAAAUAGUUAUUUUAUUAUUUUAAUAAGGUUUACAUCAUGAUAGAUUAAUUAUGUAAAAGUUUCAUAAAGAAAUUUUACUGUUUAAAUGCUUAAUUCAGUAAAAAGGACUAAAUCGUGUAACGCGUAAAAGUUGAUUUCUAUUAGUUAAAUGAACCAAAUAGCUAUAAAAAGGAAAUGUGGAGCACUUGCAUGGCAAAUUUACCAUUGUUUAUACGGGUUGACUAUUAUGGCCAUUAAUUUGAUGAUUAUAAUAGUUUAUGAACAAGGUUAAUUUUGUAAUUUAGUUAAUAAAACAAAAUUAAAUGUGAUAAAAUUCAUCUCAUCUUUUUUUUUCCUUCUUUAUCGACCGAAAAUUAGGGUGAAAUAACACCAUUUUUUCUUUCUUCAUUCGGGCAUGCUAUAGUGACCAAUUAAAGUACGGUUUCUGAUCCGUUUUUAAUAUUUUUACGUUUUUUAGCUCGUUGCGGCUUAAUCUAGCUAGCCCGUACCUUAAUUUUUGAAUUUUUUCAUGAUUUUGAAAUGUGCCAUUAUUGAAUACUUGAGUUCUUUGAUGUUUAAUGAUAUAUUAUGGAAGCUUGAUGAUAGUUGAACUAGUUUUGUAAAGUGAUUUUUGACAAAAUUGCAAAAUAGGGAUUAAAUUGUGAAAUUGUAAAGUUAUGUGGUUAAAAGUGUGAAAUAAUGAAAGCUAUGGGCUGCUAGUAGUGCAUAAUAAAUACUUGAAGUAUGAUUGUUUUAUUGAUAUAAUGUAUUUGUUACUGAGUCUUGUUUGAACUAUAAGAAUUCAUUACAUACGAGUGGCAUUAUACUGGGAUUAUGGUUUUGGUUGAGCUCCUGCAUUUGUUGCGGACUCACCACAGCUUGUAUGUGCUUACCGAUAUAUCAGCUUGAAAGAGCUUACUGUUUUCAACUCAUUGGAGCUCACUGUUUUAGCUCGUAUGAGCUUACUAUUCAGCUCGAUAGAGCUUACCGUUUCAGCUCAAUAGAGCUUACUAUUCAUCAGCUUAAGUGGAGCUUACCGAUCAUGGCUCGAAAGAGAAUACAUGAUAAUGAAUUGACGGAUUACUGAGAUUGUUCACUCAAGUAUCCUUUGAAGUUCUAAUAGGUUCAAAUGGCCUAAAUGAUGUUAUACGGAUGAGUUACGGUUUAUAAAUGUUAUUAAUGUUAUACAUGAUAUAUGAAUUUAGAAUAAUGAUAAGUAUUGUAUUAAUGGAUGAUUUCAUGUAUGUUUACAAUGACUAACAUUUGAUGAAUACUUGUAAUUAGGUGUUGGUUAAUUGAAUUGGUUGCAUAUUUGUAUUGCUUUGAUUAUGUAUAAAUGGUAAGUUUAAUUCUGAAUUAUACGGGUUUACUAAGCGUAUUAGCUUACUUUGUUUCUUUUUUCAUGUUUUAUAGAGGUUCGUUAGCUCUCUUGUUUUAGAAAAGUCAGAGUUGCACAUCGCACUAUCCAAAUUCUAAUUGGUACUUUUGAACUUGUGAAUUUGUAAAUAUGGCAUGUAUAGGCUAGUUUGAAAGAUGUUAGUUAUGCUACUUGAUAAUAGGACUUUGGCAUAUUUUUGUGUAUAAGUUAAGCCAUGUGAUUUGGCUUAUUUUGAUGUUAUGUUUUGGUUGAAUUGAAGUGUUCAAUUAUGGUAUGUUUUAACAAGUAAUAAUGGAAUGAAAUGAUGCAAGUGAAGUCUUGAUAUAUGGUUGUUAAAUGAAUGGAUUAUGCAUGAUGAUGGAUAGGUAUUUGGGUAUGAAUUUGUUAUGUUUUGAUAUGGAAAAUAUUAUGUAUUGAAAGGGUUAUUUUGGUUGCCAAUUGGGUUGCUUAAAUGUGGUCAAUUAUGCUUGUAAAGGCUUAUGUUUAUAGGGUGGCAAAACUGGCUUUGCAAAUGGCCUAUUUUUUUCCACACGGGCAGAGACACAGGCAUGUGUCUCAGCCGUGUGCAACACAAGGUUAUGUUACACGGCUGUGCGUCCCCUAGGGUACCCUACAAAUUAAAUCAGUAUAACCUAUAGGUUUGACAUGGCUUAGCCACACGGGUGUGUCUAUUGGCCAUGUGUGUCACACGGACUCACACAUGGGCGUGUGACUGACCGUGUGACAUAAGUUAGUAUACCCCCUAAAUGGCACACAACCUAGCACACGGGCGUGUGUAGCCAUUUUGAAGGGCACACAGGCUAGACACAUGGGCAUGUGGUUGGCCGUGUGACCCAAGUCAGUAUCCUCUCCAGUUUUCACACGGCCUGGCACACGGGUGUGUCCUCGGCCGUGUAAUAUAAGUCAGUAUGUAUGCCCUAUUUUCACACGAUUUAAGACACGAGCAUGUCUAUUAGCUAUGUGAAGCAGACGACCAGUUCACUCGGGCAUGUGACACAUGAAAUGUUGAAAUUUUUUUAAGUUCCUAAAAUUUUUAAUAUGUUAUGAUUUAGUCUCGAAUGCAUGAUUAAAGCUUGAUAUGUUUGUUUUAAGUAUAUAGUGAAUGUGAAUGAAUGAUAUUGACUGAGAAUAGACAUUAUCGGAUAUAUAAUUGUUCUAAACUGAGUUACAAGUCUGGUAAUGCCUCUUAACCUAUUCCAGCAAUGGUUACGGGUUAAGGGUGUUACACAUAAUAUUCAAUUAAACAUAUUUACAUGGUCGAUUAAGUUACACGAACUUACCUAGACACUUGUUCGCGUAAGUAAUCUACUAACCCGAAACCUUUUCUUUUUCUCGAUCUAACCUCGAAUUUGUAUUGUCUGGAUCUAUAUAAAUAGCUUUAAUAAUCAAUUUCUCAUAUUUCAUAGGCAUUUGGACUCAAUUUACAUUUUAGGCAAAAUUACCAUUUUACCCCUAACUCUUUCAUAAAUUCCAAUUUCGUCCCUGGGUUUAGAAAAUGAAACUUGUGCAAUUUACUCCCUAUUUCAAGCCUAACCAAAAUCCCAUUACAAAAUUUACAGCACAUGUAUUCAUAAAAAUUCAGAAUUUUUCAUCAAAUUUCACUACUUUACAUUUUAGUCCCUAAAUCAUGUUUUCAUCAUAAAUCACUUUGUAAAAGUUGUUUAUCUAUUAACAACCUUUCAUUUUCUACCAUAAAUUUCUAAUUUUUAACAUAUUCAUCCAUGAACCAAAUUUCAUACCUUGAUAACUUUUUUAAAUUAACCCCCUAAAUAGAUAGAUUAGACUAUCCAAAUUCCAAAAUUAUAAAAACUACUAAAAACGGGGCUUGAUUUCAUACCUUUUUAAGCUUGGAAAGUUUUCUUCCUCUCACCUAGGGUUUCCAUAGAAAUUUUGGGGAAGAAGACAUGAAAAUAAUAUGAUAAUUUCUUUUUAAUUAAUUAUCAUCUUUUAAUUUUUGUGAUUUCCAAUUUAGUCCCUACUCUUUUCUAAUUUUUCCAUGGAUGAGUCACCAAAAAUCUACAUACUUUACUUUAAUGGUCUAAUUACAAAUAAGGACCUCUAGUUUUGAAUUCCAUAGCUAUCUAAUCCUUAUAGCUACUAGAAUUCAACUUUCGCAUUUUAUGUGAUUUAGUCUUUAUCGUAAUUAAACACUUAAUCAAUAAAAUUUUCGUAUCAAAAUUAUCACACGACAUGUCUAUCAUAAUACGGACCAUAUAAUAAAAUAAAAUAAACUUUAUUUUUGGGUUGGAUAUGUGGUCCCGAAACCACUGUUUCGAUUUCACUAAAAAAUGGGUUGUUACACCUUAUAUUCUCAGUAACAAUUUUACCUGGUCGCUGAUCUUAUUCCAACUAAUAUAACCACCUGAAAAGGAACCUUUAUUAACUUAACCACAUAACUCUACACAAUCACUCUAUACGCCGAAAGAUGCACUUGAGUGAAGCCUACUCCACUAUUCAUACUACCUUAGGACUAUGUGUCAAACCUUGCACUUACUAGAACUGGGGUGUUACAAACCCGAUGUGAGAGAGGCCCAAAAUCCCUUCAAGGAAUAUGAAGGGGCGGCAACCCUAGUAGGAAUAUUAGGGGUGUGCCGCCUAGCUUAAUCCUACUCUUAGUAGGAAGUAUUUUUCUAUUUGGAAUAAACUUUCCUAAUUCAACAAGGGUUCUACCUUCUCUCUCUAUAAAUAUAUGGAACCUGUAGGGCUAUCGACACAACUUUCAAAUAUCAUUUUUCUUCCCAAGAAUAGAGAGACUUUUAUUCUCUAAAUAUUAAAUAUAUUUUUUAGAAUAACGACUCUGUCAGUUUUUGUAACAUCCGAAAAUAGGGCCUAGUAGGAAUAGUGGUUUCGAGACCACAAAUCUAACAUCAAAAUAUUUAUUUUAUGAUUAUUAUGAGGUAUAGAAUAUGAGAUUAUGCAUGUGUUAAAGUUUCAUGAAGGAAUUCUUUGAUUAAGGUGUCCACUUGGACAUUACGGACCAAAUUGAAUAAAUUGCAAAACUUGGGUUUUAGAAGCAAUUUGUAUGAAAUUGCUUUAUAAUAUUAAUUAGAAGGUAUUUAGGAGCAAUUUUCCCAAUUUCUAAGUUUUUGGACAAAAAUGGGCUUGUAUGGAUGAAAUUUUAAAGAAAGGGCUUAAGGGCAUUUUGGUCAUUUGGUAAUUUAAUGAAAUAAAAUGGGAAAAAGAAGGAAAAGUUCAUCCAUUCUUCUUCCUUGUCCAGCCGAAAUUCUCAAGUCACCAUAGCUAGGGUUUUCAACAUUUUCAAGCUCAAUAGUAAGUGCUCCCAAGCCCUGUUUUUAAUGUUCUUCGUAUUUUUGAAAUCCUGGCAGCUUACCUCUCUAUUUCUACCCAUAUUUCAUGCUAGGGUUCAUGUUUAGAAAUUUACCCAUGCAUGAGUUACUUGUAUUUUGAUGGUUUAUGGAGGAAUAUGGAAGUUGGCUGUGUAUUAAACAUCUUUUCCUAGGUGAUUUUCAUGAAAAACCCCUAAAAAGGACUUUUUUGCAAAAGGUGUAAAAUGUGAGGUAGAAAUGUGAAAUAAUGGAAAAUUUGGGCUGCCAUAAGAGGAAAGAACAUUUGGCUAGGCUUCGGUAAUGUAUAAAUUGCAUGCAUUGCAUUAUACGAGCCUAGGGACUAAAUCGUAAAAAUGUGAAAGGUUAAGGGCAAAAUGGUCAUUUGGACCAGGGGUGAAAUGUAGACUUAAAAAGUACAAUGUGAGGUGUUAAUGAUUUAUUUUUAUUGUUAUAGACCCCGAGGAACAAAUUUUGGAAGUCGGUCGAGGAAAAUAAAAGGUUCCGGAAUGACCGAAACACGAUACCGAGACGAGUACCAGGUAAGUUCAAAUAACUUAAAGUAAACUCAUAGUAUGCUUAAUUGCAUGAUUUAUAAAUGUAUGGUAAUUGCAUUUGAUGAUGGCAUGAAAAUCUAUGAAAUAUAUCCUUAAUAAUGGCAUGUUAAUAAAUGUCCUAGAUGAGGUUGAAAAGGAAAUCUAAUGGAUAAAUCAUGGCUUACAUGACUUGAGAUCCUGCAUGUGUUGCAGAAAGGAUUUAGCCCGGGCGUGUAAUUCGUUGAUCUCAAAUAUAAAAAGGAUCUAGCCCAGACGGUGUUCCUUGAGUGAUCGAGCCUCCCGAAGAAUAUGUGUGCAUUGUGGAUUUAACCCGGACUGGUAAUCCGAUUAGGGUCUGAAUUUAGCCUAGACUGGUAAUUCAGAUCCGAGCUCAUUAAAGGUGUUUGUCGCUAUAAGGGAUUUAGCCUGGAUUGGUAAUCCCGACUUCACCUUAUGAGUUUACAAAGUAGGGGAUUUAGCUUGGACUGGUAAUCCCGUCGUAAGAUGUGAGAUUCGCGGGAGUGCAUACUUGAAAUGAUCAUUCUUAUGACUUAACAGAUAAUGAAUAAUCCAUCGAGAUUUCCUAGAAACUCAACGGGAUUAAUAUGAUGUAUAUAAAUGAAAUGAUGAAUGAUGAGCUCAUCUAAGACAAAUUAUAUGGUGCAUUAUUAUUGUGACUAACUUGUUGAUUGAAUGCAUGUGAUAGGGAAACUAUUUCAUUUUUGUUGGUUUAUUUGCUUAAUAUGGUUUUAUUCUAAUUAAUCGGUAAGUUUACUUUCCAGUUAUUCGGGCUUACUAAGCAUGUAAAUGCUUACCUCUCUCUUUUCCCUGUCUUACAGAGCUCGAGGACUCGUAAAGAUUGGAAGACGGUUGGAGAGUCAACAUACUAUCAACUAGUCUAGCUUUGGUAUAUAGGCACUUUUAUUUUGUUCAAUAGCAUGUAUAGGGCUCUUGGUUUAUUUUGUUAGAUAUGUCAUUUGAUUAGCCAUAAUGAAGACAUGUAAAGAUAUACACAUCUAUUUGUAUAUGGCUAUGGGAAUUGGCUCAUUUUGAAGUAGGCUAUGACCUACAAAACUAUGCAUGUUUAUGUUUACGUAGGAUAGCUUGACUAUAAUUGGCAAUGAGUUACAAGAAUGAGCCAAUCUUAAAUGUGUCAAUAAGACAUGGAAACCCUUAAUACGAAAAGGGAAUUAACCUAGCAUGUAUAAAACUGAUGAUAUGAGGUUUACAUGCAAUAAGGUUUAUCAAGGUUAUAUGUAAGUAUGUAUUAAGAUAACCUAUAAGUGUGAUUGGUUGAUAGAGGGUGACCAAAGGCUUGGAAAAUAGCCCUACAAGAUCCACACGGGUAGGCACACGGACGUGUGUCUAGGCUGUGUGUGACACACGGAUCACCCCCAUGGGCGUGAGGUAUGGCCGUACGUCCCCUGCACCUAAAAUUUUAAGUCAAUUUCGAUCACGGGCUAGACACACGACCGUGUGUCUUGGCCGUGUGCCCCUAAAUGCAUGUUGACGUCAUAAACAAAAAGUUACAUGGGCUGAGGACACAGGUGUGCCCCAAGCUACAUGAGCAUGUGUGACUACACAGCCCCACCCACACGGGCGUGUGACUCAUUAAAGCAAGAGAAUUUAUUAAGUUGCCCAAAGUUUAUUGAAUGUUCUUGGUUUUGUCCCGAAUCGCCCCGAUGUAUGUUUUAGGCCUUGAAGGCCUGUAUAAGGGACGGUACGCAUGUGUUUGAAAAGUUUUAAUUUGGGGCAAAAUUUGGUGACCCGAUUUUGUAUGUUGGUGAAGGCUUAAGUCCGGUAACGCCUCGAACCCUAUCCCAGCGUUGGAUAUGGGUGAGGGGUGUUACAGUUUUUAUUUUGAAUAUAGAAUUUGCAUUUUCACCCCAAAAGAAAAGAAAACUAUUUCUAGCUUCUAUGUUUGAUUCGUUUUGUUCGAGCUCACACUUGAAGUAAUUCGUGGUAUGAGAAUAACGAAGAAGAUUGUUUGGCUGAAAGCUAGGAACAACAAGGAUUCGUUUAUUCGAAAACACAAGUACGAUUUUGUUCUAGGGUUUAUUGUUAUAAAUAUCACAAAUCGGGUCAGUAUUCAAAAUUUUUAUUUUUCACUAUGUAAGAAAAUCGUUUUCGAACCAAAUUUUUUCCAACAGGUCAAACUAUCAUACCAUUACAAGAUAGUUCUACUUACUUUUAGGAAAUCUCCUUAGUAAGCUCCACAUGGCAAUCCUACCGUGGGGUAGUUUAAUUGUGAUGUCAUCACAAGAGACCAUCGAUGGAGGCCAUAGGUCUUGUUUAGAGACCUUCUCCCACUCAAUCUUUUAAAAACAUGAAAGGAUUUUAAUGUCCGAUUUCAAUCAUGAAUGAUCAAUAUAUGCAUGGCAAGUACAUGUGGCAUUCUUUCCCUAAACUAUAUGGCAUGCUUAUCAUACAUAUGCAUGAACAUACACUCGCAGUCAAAUAAAUAUCAUCAUGCUAUCACAAUUAAAUGCAUACAAUUUAAGUGACCUUGACUAGCCAAAAUUUUUAUGAUUUCAUCACAAAAAAAAAUUUAAAAAUUUCACCCCAAAGCAUACUUUGGGUCUUCUAUUUUGCCACCAUGGACUUCCGCUGCGAUAUCAGCUCAUGUUGUCAUUUUUUUUGUCAUUUUCCAUCGUUUUCGUGUUAUCACUGCCGUCGUCGAAUUGUCUUAGGUCACCACCAAACCGUCGCCGAACACCGUUGACGUUCCUUACCGUUGAACAUCACAUUUGGACCAUCACUAGCCUCUUGUUGUUGGACCACCGUCGGUCUACUGCCGAUUUGGCUGGGUCAGGUUUGUGUCGUCUUGACCGACCUGAAUGCAUCUCAAUUCUUCGGGUUCCACCAAAAAAUAUAGGUUACAUAAAUCUUAUGUUUGUUUCUAGAUCACAUAAAUUAUUCCAAAAUAAUAAGAUUAAACCGUGCGUGGAGAUGAUAGUCCAUGAUCUAGUUUAUACAUACCCAAGAAAUUAAUAAAAUUAUAUUUAAUUUUCUAGAAAACACAACUUUGAAAAAUUUUCUUUAUCAUACAUAAUAAUAAAAUAAUAGUAUACAUUCCCCUAAACAUGCAUACAAUUACAAGAAUGUCACAUUUUAUCAAAAUUAAUAACAUAGAACAGAGAAAAAAAUUUUAUAUUGGUUUAUACUAUAAACAUAGCACAACUUCGCUUUGAUACCAAUUAUUGGAAUAAAAUUUGGUUUGAAAAUAAUUUUCUUACAUAGAGAAAAAUAAAAUUUUUGAAAAUCGAGUAGGUUUGUGAAAUUUAUAGCAAUAAACUCUUUUUCUGAAAUUGUACUUGUAACACCCCUAACCCGUAUCCGUCGUCAAUUUAGAGUUACGAAACAUUACCGUACAAUUGAAUCAUUUAAACUUAAUUACAUUUAAUGACAUAAAAAAAUCAUAAACCAAUCAUAUACAUACAUACUGUCCCUAAAUUGAGCCCUCGAGGGCCUAAAAAUACCUUAGAAACAAUUCAGGACAAAAUUGAAAUCAUUGAAAAAGUUUAAGAAAAAGUCAAAAAAAUUUGGAAACAAGGGUAACACGGUCGUGUGGCCAAGCUGUGUGUCUCACACGGAUGAGACACACGCCCAUGUCUCAACCCGUGUAACCUUCAAACUAGGGACACACGGUCAUCUCCCAGCUCGUGUCCUUACCCGUGUAACUCUCUGAGUAGGGUCACACAACCGUGUCACAUGCCCAUGUGCCAGGCCGUGGAACUCAUUGAAUUGCAUACAAAGGAACUCUCAGAUGACACGCGGUCAUGUGUCUCACAUGGCUAAGUCACACGCCCGUGUCUCAGGCCAUGUCGGCUCAAAUUUACCUAAAAUCAAGCCAUUUCCAACACCAUUUCAUGCAUAAACAUUUGGACCAUUUCUGUACACUUUCAAGGCAUCAAACCCUUCCUAAAUAUACAUAUAUAUAUGUCAAUCCAAUACCCUAACUUAAAUAACCAAUUGCCAUUCGAAGGCACCUCAAAUGCAUUCAAUGACACUUACCUAAACAUGUAAAUUAUACCACAUUUCAAUCAUCAAUUACUAGUUUAAUACUUUCCCAAACAUUCCAUAAUUUGACCUUAAUCAUACCAAUUUGAAACACACCAUAGGAGUCAAUUAAAAUAUGCAUCAUAAGAUAACCAAAAUGACACAACCUGGCAAGGUAUCAAAUGGUACCAACCAAGUUAACUUCCACAACUUAUACAUGCCAAAUCACCAACUAAACAUUCAACUAAAUACCAUUACAAUUCAUCUUAUACAUGUCAUUAUAACCUUGUCAAAACAUUCAAAAACUACUGGUAUCUAUGUUGGAUAGUGUGAUAGAUCUCCCUCGAUCUUUCAAACUAAUCGAGCUUCCGACAAUCUAUAAAAGAUAGAAAAGAAACUACGUAAGAAACUAAUGCUUAGUAAGUUAGUAUAGAUUAAAACAUAACUUACCAUUUCAGUUUGCAAAAUUUAAAGCAUAAGUACAUUAAAGUCCAAACCAUAAGCCUAUACAUCACCAUCAAUACACAAGUUAGCAUAUUUGUACAUAACUCAUUUGAACUAGCCAUAUGAUAAGUCAUUUUUCAUAUGAAAUACAUCAUUUGAUUCAUGCAUCCUUUCCAUAAGCUUAUGCAUAAUUCCAUUUGAAAACUUACAAUUUCAAUCCCUUUUCUUACUCAUUGAAACAUCAAAAAUUUCAUAGAAUACUCGAGAAAGCUCACAUGAAGUGUGUUUUUACAUAUUCGUAACCUUUCUUUUACAUCAUUGCUUACACGAGCUGUGAAAUAGGCUUGCUCACAUGAGUAUGGGUCGGAAUAUAAGCUACACGAUGCUUACACGAUGAUGCUCACAUGAGCUAUGGAGAAUUCGCAACAAAUGUAGGAUCUCAACCAUCAGUAGGACAUUCAAGACCAGUACUCGAAACAUAAAGCCCCUAAUAACAUGACAUUUGUAUCCUACGAAUUCCUAAGGUUCAACUGGGACUCGAUAACUGUCAUAACAUUGAUUUAUUUAUAUAUCUUUCAAUUAACAUUAUAAAUAACAUAACAACAUACAAUUUAAUAACAUUAAUACGAUAACCGUUCAUACGAACUUACCUUGACGAUUAUGGCGUAGAAGUUAAAUCAACCUAUUCUGAAGCUUUUGUUUUACCUCGGUCUAGGUUCAUACGUGGUUUAUUUUGAUCUAAAUAGACAAUUUCAAUUCAUUUAAUACUUAUAGUAAUCAAUUUAAUCCGCAUUUCAUAUUUAUGUAAAAUUAUCAUUUUACCCCUAAUAUUUUAACUUUUUCACAAUUUAGUCCUUAAGCUUAUAACUUAAAAUAUAACCAUUUUAAUCUCAAUCCAUGUUAAAAAACUAUGCAAGGGACCUUGAAACAACCCAUUUUUAUCAUCAUUUCAUAUUAAAACCUUAGAAUUUAUACUUUUAACAAUUUAGUCCUUAAUUUCCAAAAUUCAUCAAAAAUCACUUUACAAAACUUGUUCAUUUUUCAACCAAGAUUCAUAAUCUAUCAUUUAACAUAAAAAUCAUUCAAGAACAUUCAUGGCAUAACCCUCAACCUUUAACAGUUUUAGAAAUUGACCUCGGGCUAGCUAGAUUAAUCUACAACGAACUCAAAAAAAAUAAAAAUCAUUAAAAAACGAGGUUGAAAAUCAUACCAAUGCAAGCAAGGAAGCUUGACCGAACCCUCGAACUUCAAAAAUGGAGUUUCCUAUCCCUAAUUCCGAUGGAGAAACAAACUAAAGAAGAUGAUACUAUUUUCUUUUCUUUUGUUUUAAGCUUAAUUACCUAAUUACCAUUUUAACCUUUAAAAAAUUUAAUAAUUUCAUCAAAACCAUAUCCAUAAACAUCUACUAUCACCUCAAUUGGUAUAUUUACCAUCCAAGUCCUUUAGCUUAAGGUUUCAUAGCCAUUUGACCCUUUUAACUAAUAGUAAUAAUCUACUUUUACACCUUUUACGAUUUAGUCCAUUUUUCUUAAUUAAUCAUGCAAACAUUAAAUUUCUUAAUGAAAUUUUAAUACAACCUUACCAUAAUCCCAUAGAAAUUAAAAUAAUAAUAAGAUAAUAAUUUACUCGUCAGAUUUGUGGUCUCAAAACCACUAUUUUGAUUUCACUGAAAACAAACUACUACAACACCUGUGUUUCUAGCUAGACGGAUCCUGUUGUUCUCGAUUUUCAACUGAAUGACCUUCUCCACUAUUCUUGUACCAUGAAUUGCUUCGAGUGUGGGCUCGAAUUAAUUCAAAUCAAAUAUAGAACUAGAAAUUAUUUACUUUACUUUUAGUGAGAAAGAAAAAAUCUCUCUUUAAUAGAAACCGAUAAAAUUGUUAUUUCGAAAAAUAGAAUUUAUACUUAGAAAUAAAUUCUCACUAUUUUCAAGCAGAAUAACAAUAUCUCAAAGUUGUGCAUAACUUACUUGUGUAUUUAGCCCUACCGAUGCCAUCUAUUUAUUAGGAGAAAAAAGUAAAACCCUUGUUGAAUUGUAGAAGUAUAUUUAAAUAGAAAAACUAAAUCCUAGUCUAACUAGGAUUAUGGUAGGCAACAACCCUAGCUAAAUAAAUAGGGUUUGUCAUCCCAUGUAUCAUCAUGAGAGGCUAUUAGGCCUCUCUCAUAUUGGGUACAAUUAUAAGUAUUUCUUAAACUUUUAACCCAGUAUUUUAUAAUUCAAUCCAACCCAAUACUUUUUUUUCUAUUUUGAAAAUAAACAUCAUGAAUAAACAUAAAUAAAUUAAUUUCUAAAUUAAAUAAUUUUCUCAACUUAAUCCUAAUUCUAUUAAAAUUAUAAUGACUUUACCGUAAAAGAAUUUAUGAGAAAAUAUAUUUAAUAUUUCUACAUUCAACGAAUUCACUAUGACCACAUUUUUUUUUAUUUUUGAACUUUAAUUAAUUAAUAAUUUAAAAAAAUUAUAAAUUAUUUUCAAGUGAUUUUCAUUUAGGUAGGACCACUUUAUUCCUAUUAUAUUCCACCGUUAUUAUUUUCUACUUUUGCUCUCCAAAUACUAACUUGAGCAUUGGAGAGUGUAUUGAAACUCAAGGUCGAGUGCCUUUUAGGUGCGUUCGAGAUUGCUGUUGGGGUUGAAAUUGAGAUGAACAAGUACUUUUUCACCUAAACACAUAAGUUAGAGUUUAGGUGUUUUUGUCUUUUGACUUUGUUUUGAUGUAUAAAUUAUUAAAAAAUCUUAUGUGUAUUAACUAUUAAAAUGUAUUUAAAAAUUUGAGUUGAAUUAUAUUUUUUUAUUUUAUGUAUUAUUAUAUUACAUUAUUGAAAUAUUAUUUACAAAAUAAUGAUAUUAAAUUAUAUUUAUUAUCAUAUAUAACAUUUUAAAAUAUUUCAUGUAUAAUUAAAUAAACAAAUAAAUUAUUAAUUAUAAAAAGUAUUUAAAAUAUAUAUUAUUUAUAGUUAUAUUUAAUUAUUUAAAUAUUAUAUAAUUUAAUUUAAUUUUUAAUUUUUAACAUCAUGUCUAAAAUAAAUAUUUUAAAUUCCCACAUCGAUUCUUAACAACAAUAUCAAUCAUCCUAAAUUAAUAAAUCACACUUUCUAACAACACUUUUCAAAAAUAAUUUUAAAAAAAUAAAUCUCUUAAAAACAUUUCUGAACCGCUAUAAUAAUAGUAAUAGUAAUAAUAAUAAUAAUAAUACCAAAUUCCCCCUUAAUUUUCUUCAGCCUACAGGUUACUAGCCCUCAAACCAAUCUACUCCUCGGCCUAGCUUGCCAUAAUAAGGGAUCAAGAAAAAGUGACAUAUUCAAGCAUUUUAAUGAGUGAAAAAUGAAAAUGAUUUAUAUACCUUUAUUACGUGAAGAGAUUUGUAUGCACGACAGAAAACAUUUAGGCGGUCAUCGUUGCUCUCAAAUACGUGACGAUGUUUGAUUCGAGGUACAUAAGUCCACGUGUGCACUUGAUAGCAAGGACACACAAAACAAAAUACAUAUCUUAUUAUCUUUUGCCAUCAUAAAAUAUUAGUAUAAUUUCUAAUUAAAAACGUAAUGUUCAUAUACUAAGUAAAUUUGUAUGCAAGGAUGAAGGGAAGACUACUGAACGUGCCACGCGGACGGCGUCGGCAGCUUCGUUGGUCACUUGCCGUCGCUUUAUAAGCCGUCCCUACAAGCAACGUUUCUGUGCGGUCUUAUCCCCUAUAGACUCCAACUUUUCCUUUCUUUCAAGGGUUGGUUGGAUUAUUCUAAUAAAUUAAUGGAAAUUAUUAAUUCUAAGAUAACCUACACAACCUUUUAAUAUUCAAUUUUCAUUUAUAUAAGCUGUAAGGCAACUCAAUCAUCUCCUAUCAACCUCAUCAAAUCUAGACCGUUGGACCAGUUUUCUAUAAUCCCAUCGAAUGGCAAUACGUAUUUUGGAGCUAUAAACAUUAAAAAAAAAACUUUUUUUACUCUCUAAUUUUACAAAAAAAAAAUCAUUUUAGAUUUUUAGUUAAUUUUUCUUCUCUUUUAGCUAUUGAACUCGUAUUGUUUAUCAAAAUUACUUCAAAAUAGAUGAAAAAGUUAACGUUUGUUAACUUUGUUGACAUGACAUAUACGUGAAUUGUCACGCAUAUGUCACAUUAGCGAUUAAUUAAUUUUUUAAAAAUAAAAAAAUAUUUUUUAUAUUUUAAUACAUUUUAAUUUUUUUAAAAUAAGUUUUAAAAUUUUAAAAAAGUCAUUAAUUCUUGACGUGACAUACAUGUAGAUUGGUUAACGAACCACAACUUUUUUAUCCAUUUUUUGGUGAUUUGACAAACAACACAAGUUUAAAGAUUAAAAAAGACAAAAAAUUAAAUGAAGAACUAAAGUGACUUUUCUUAUAAAAUUGGUGGGCCAAAUAAGUCAUUAUGUCAUUUCUAAAUUCAAUUCCUUUUCUUUUUUUUACUUUCUUAUUCCUGUCCAUCCAUACUUAAACAAUGGAAUAAUCUUUGUAAUUAAUACAUUGAAUUUAACCUUCAAUGGCCUAGAACAAGAAGGUGAGCUAGGGCCACUAAAAUUCCUAUUUUAGGAUGUUUUUUGAUACUUAAAUAAAGAAAUAAUGAAUAUUAUAAAAAGAAAGGAGUUUGAACUUAGUAAAUAAAAUGGGAAAGAUGAAAAUGACGAAAGAAAAGUCCUAUUAGGGAAAAUUACCUAUGAAUAUGUUUUAGAUCCAAAGACUAUCACAUUCUUUAUUACAACUCUGCAAAACUAAACAUUCUUUAUUACAACUCUGCAAAACUAACACAAGGGUUGCUUUGUACUAUGUUGCUAUUAUCCUUGACAAUUAGCAUAUUUGGCUUUAUCCAUAUUUUGGUAUGAAAAAAGUUUGAAAAAACAAAUCAAUAAUUGUAAGAAUAGGGGAGCAAUGAUACGAGCAGUGACACAGACAGUGGGCACUAGGAGUGUAACUGUGAUAAACAAAGAUAAAUAUAAUAGAGUUGUUUGUGUAGUUUGGUUUACCUAUGUUUGUGGGGGCUUGCCUAAAGAGAUAAUUCAUUAUCUUUCAAACUUUUACAACAAGUGAUUUAGGUUCUAACAAACCCUGGUUUAGUAACCUCAGCAUUGUACCUAAAGAUUUAGAUCUCUCUCCUCUAAGUUUUCCCAUUGAAAACUUAGGUAGUAAAAUAAGUAAAACACUUGUUUAUACUCUCAAUGCACUCACAACUGCAAGUUCAUUUAUGAAUUAAUAAGUGUUAAAAUCCUAGUAGAUAGUGAUUACAACUUACUAACAUACUAGAUCAACUACAAUCAAUAUAACCUAUAAAAAUGCAGCUAAAAUAACAUAUACAUUAAAAAUAAUGAAGUCCAAGAUAAUAUGGAUAUAUUUUAGAGAUACUUUAAGUUAUCUAAAUCUCUUCUCAUUGUUUAAAGGGCUAUGAUUGUUUGAUUCGAUCUGAUCCAAUUUUCAAGAUCUAUAGCUACAAAUGGAUUACUUUCAAACACGAGUUAUCAUACGUCCAAGAUAUCAACAAGAUAUCUAGCCCAAGGAUUUUCUUCCAAAAGAUUGCCAACAUUAAAUAUGAUAAGUUAUGAGGUUCUCUACAGAAUGAUAUGCACAAUGGUCAUUGCUUGUGGCAUUACUCACAUAACUGCUUUAACAAUCUCCCUCUUUGGCAAUUUUUUGAACAAAACAAAAUAAUUUGGAAACAAAAACAACAAUACAACAAAUGCUUCCCUUUAGUACAUCCCCCUUAAUCAAACAAACUUAACUUAUAACAUAACUAAGCAAAUCAAUCAUUAAUGCCUUUUGAAAUUGUGCUUCAAUAAUCAAAAUACUAGAAUUAUAUUAAAUCAAGUUGAUUGAUAGGAGUUUAUAUAACACCUCAUACCCGACUCGAUCACCGGGUCCAAGCUAUAGUGUGCCAGAUUCAUUUUCGAAGAAAAUAUGAUAAAAAUAAAUACAAUUCAAACCAUUAAACAUACAAUUUUGAAUGUUAUAAGCAAUUAAUAUGGUAAGUAAUCAUUCUCGGGUCUUAUACAAGCUUACAAAAGCUCUAACACUAAACUGAGAUCGAUUUAAGACUGAAUUGCAAAGAAAUUCAAAUUACAGAAUUGACAUCGCAACAUGAAGGAGUUCCUCGUUGCGACGUGACAUACUAUUUGGUUUCGUUGGGAUGACGGGUUCCUCAUCUCACUGUGACAUUAUAAGUCAUUUCUCGUCUCAAAGUGGUAUGUUUGACGUUGUGACGUCACAAACUAUUUCUUAAAAAUUCUAAAUGAAAUCAACCUGCAAUUUUUUUUUUGGCAACCCAAAUACCAAACAUAUACAUUUCACAUUCAACCAAUAUAUGUCAUUCUUGGGCACUAAUUCAUGCAUUUUACUAUCUUAUACAAUUAUAUACAAAUGAUUCAUGUGCAAUAAGCUAACAUCUAAUGUAAUCCAAUCCAAACACAAGUAUUCAGACCUAUAUUACUAGGAUCAUUAAAAUUUACUUGCCAUUUCAACCAUAAUAUUAACCAUUUAUAAGAUAUUACAACAUAACUAAUCAAUAUAUACAUUAACAUUCUUAAAGCAAAAAUAGAUUUGGACUUAAUUUGGUAACAAAAUAGACACAACCUAGGUACAUGCCAAACAAUAAGUGAAAGAGGUACACAAACAUCAUUGAGUCCGGGAUCUUUGUUUGGAUGCUGAAGUCUACGCUCGAGAUCACAAAUUGAACCUAACUUGCACAUAGAAAAUAAACUGUACGCUGAACAGACACUCAGUGGUAGAUCUAUGAUUCAAGAUAAUUUAAACAAAUACAAGUUAAUGCAUACAUCUAAUUCAUAUACAAAUUUUAUGCCAAUCAUCUUUCAUUUCAAUAUAACACACUUUAUUCAUGUUAGCAUACUAAUUCAAUAUACAACAUACUAUCUUGUUAUAUAACAUUCAUUUCAUAAGCAAUUUAGUUUGUUUCUACUUACAAUAUUGAUAACUCUUGAAAAGAUUUAUAUUUCAUGCUUUUAGAUCUAGUUAAUUGCCUACUUUGGUACAUUUAUUUGUAUUUUAGGACAUUUCAUUAGUAUUUUUCUUGUUUUAGCAUUACAUUAAGAGCUUGGACUGUACUUAAACGUUAGUUAUUUUAAUUGCUUGUAGAAGGGUUGUGUGUGGUGGUGGAUUGGUAGGUACAGGUUGAGGUAGAAGAAGUAAAACAGUAAAGGUUUACCGAGGUAAAAGGGUUGGAUAGCUUUUCAACAUGAAUGCCAUGGCAAUACUAGGAAGAUGUUUAGUCAGCAUUCAAAGCGAACCGGUCUUAGGCCCAGUUGAACUUGUACCAGAUAUUUAUACCUAAAAAAGAGGGACGAAAAUCAUAGGUUGUUGGAUCUACCCUAGGGAAAAUAAUUAUAAAAGCAAAAUGAGGAAAACUUAAAGGGGGAAAACAACCAAAGGGAAGAUCCUUAGGCAGAAAAAUAAAGGGUGGCGGCUGAGUAAAAGAGGUAAACAAAGGCAGCCCCUCUCAGCCACCAUAGGACCCUGCGUCGUUGGAGUGCGGGCUAAAUAAUCGAAAGCUAUCUUCCUGAAGUUCUUUCGUCAUUUCUUUAUUACUCUUCUUGAAUUGAUUUAAAGAAAACGAUGUUGAAUGAUACUUUAGAUUUGAAUUUUAAUUGCCAACCCAUGAGCUAGAUCUCAUAGGGUUGGGUUUACUUGAUAAAACUCUUAUUUUAUUUAAUGACUGAAGCGUAGAUCUGUUUUAAUACACUAUUUCAUUCAAUAGUUUUUUUUUAUAAAAUUGUAUGUUUGCAAACUCUAGACAUAGAUAGAUGUACAACAUGUUCUUAAAUUAAUCUAAUUCUGACAAGGUUAGGUUAAUGAGAUUGAAAUUGAAUGACAUGACAAGUGUUCGGCUAAAUACUUGCAGCAGCCUCUAAACAUAGAGCAGCAUUCAUACGGAAAGGAAACAAAACAAUGCAGGGUUCCGUGCUAAAGGCCUAUAGACAUAUAUCGCUUAAGGCAAGGUAGCUUGAGGUCUUAUUCUCAAAAGAAACAGACCAUCUUAGAACUCUUCUAAGCAGUAGAUUGGGUAUGAUUUUGCCGAGGUAUUACUGUUAGUAAGGGCAAAUUCUUAAUAAUCCCAACCCUCCAAAUCAAUAUCGUAGACCUUCUAUCAUUUGCCAUAGUAUCUUCGCCAUAUCAUUUUUAGUUGUUUAUUUGUUCAUUUGCAUAUUAUUCACGUAAUUAUACUUGAAUUUGCCAUUGUAUUUUACUCUUAUCUUGUCAUAGCAUUUUCCAUUAUUUACUAGUUACACAUAUUGCACACAUCAGUAUUCCUUCAAAUUACCACUGCAUUCUUAUCAUUAUUUUUUCCAUAACAUUAAUCAUACCCUACUCUAAUAACUUGACCAAAUUAUACCGUUCUAAUCCCUGUGGAGACGAUCUCACUUAUCAUUUUAUUACUUGACUCGACAUGUAUACUUGCACAAUUCGCAUGUCAUUUCACGUGCAACAUAUAUCUAAUUAUAAUUAUCACUUUUCAUCUUUAGAAUACAUAUAUAUAUAUUCACAUACUUCUCUUCUCACACCAUAUUUUAUGCCAUUUUCGAGUCUAUUGUCUCAUUAAUACGCAAUCAGCCCCUAGGGCUCAUUUUCAAUUUAAACCACACUUUGUAUUUCUAUAGCAUAUAUCAUAUCGCAUGUUGCUUAAAUAAUUCAUUUGUUUAUAACCCUAUUAACCAACAUGGACUCAAAACAGAUACAUGGAUCUAUCACAUCGGGUUGCCUGGCAACGAUGACGCUAUAAUAAUACAUAAUACCACCCCAUAUUGCUCGACAACAAUGGUUUUCUCAACUUAAUCAAUCUGCCACACUAGGUUGCUCGACAAUGAUGACUCAAUGCAUAAUAUCUACCACCCCAGAUUGCCUGACAAUGAUGAUUUUACUCAGUACUCUAACCCUAUGGCAUGCUAACUAUAUCCGACCUGGUCCGAACAGCUAAUAGGGUAUGUCAUUUUUGAUUCAUUAUAUAUAGAUAAAUUUAUAAUUCAAUAAUAAAAAAUAAAUCAACAUAUCACAAUUCCAUGCCAUCAAGUAAAUUCUAAGUUUUGUACUGUAUUCAAUUUAGUCCCUAUCUCAAAAAUCAAUCUCAAACACAUCAAAUUAGUUCAAUUAAUCCUCAAUAACUCACCUCAGUACCAUAUAAUGCAAUAUGUCAUGGAUGUAGAAUAAAUAAAUUGGUCUCAAAUCAUAGAAAUACAAGCUAAAAAAUUCGAGCUAUUCGCCUUUCAACGAAUCCAAAUCGACGUUAGCAAUUUGUUGCCUAAAACCUUGAAGAUUCAACCAUAGAGUUCUUCCAUUUUUGUUUUGAUUCCAUGGAGAAGAUGAAAUCUUCUCCCACUUCCCACUGAAUGCUUAUAUAUAUAAUGUAAUUAGUUUAGUUAAUUAGGCAAUUAACCUUAAUUAAUAUAUAAUCCUAGUUUAAUUGAUUUAAUGAUAAUAGGCUUAUGUCAUCCACUUCGCAAUCUGGGGUGGUAGAUAUUAUGCAUUGAGUCAUCAUUGUCGGGCAACCUAGUGUGAUAGAUUGAUUGAGUUGAGAAAACCAUUGUUGUCGAGCAAUAUGGGGUGGUAUUAUGGAUUGUUAUAGCGUCAUCGUUGCCAGGCAAUCCGAGGUGACAGAUUCAUGUAUCUGUUUUGAGUCCAUGUUGGUUAAUAGGGUUAUAAACAAAUGAAUUAUUUAAGCAACAUGCGAUAUGAUAUAUUCUAUGGAAAUACAAAGUGUGGUUUAAAUUUAAAAUGAGCCUUGGGGGCUGAUUGCGUAUUAAUGAGACAAUAGACUCGAAAAUGGCAUAAAAUAUGGUGUGAGAAGAGAAGUAUGUGAAUAUAUAUAUGUAUUCUAAAGAUGAAAAGUGAUAAUUAUAAUUAGAUAUAUGUUGCACGUGAAAUGACAUGCGAAUUGUGCAAGUAUACAUGUCGAGUCAAGUAAUAAAGUGAUAAGUGAGAUUGUCUCCACAGGGAUUAGAACGGUAUAAUUUGGUCAAGUUAUUAGAGUAGGGUAUGAUUAAUGUUACGGAAAAAAAUAAUGAUAAACAUGAUAUAUUUUCUAUUUUGAAACUUGGGUUAAUUUCAAUUUAAGUCUUUUAGUUAUUUUCUAAUUAAAAAUCUAUAGUGAUUGGACUUUACAAUUUAGUCCUUAAACCUUAAUUAAUCACUAAUUCGGCAAAAUUACCCAUCCAAAAUCAAAUUCACUAAUAUAAAACUCUGUAAACAUUUUUAUGAAAUAUUUACAGACUUGAUUUACAGAAAACUCCAACACAAGCUCAUGUACAUAAAGCUUGACAAAACAUAUAGUUCCUACAAGAGCAUUUGUUUUUCAACAAGACAUCAAUACCUUGAUUUCCAAAGCUUCUUUCAUCUAUAUUUUGCUCUUCAAUAAAACAAUUUUAGAGAAAGCUAAGUACAUGUUGCUGUAACAAAAGGGUAAGAAAGGUUUGUUGUUGCAUCUUCAGAAGAACAACUUCUUCUUCCUUUACUCUGGUAACAACUUCAUCAAGAACUACAGAUACCUCAAUCUCCUUCAAUCAUUUGUUCUUUUUCUUUGAAAAGAGAGGAAUGUUAGGUUUUUUUUGUUCAAGCCAUUUCACUAAAAACUAGCUUAUUAACUAAAACAUCUUCAUCCCAACUUCUAUCAAAUUUAAUGGUAGAGGAGUUUGAAUUUGUUUUCUGAACUAUUCACAAUCUCUUAAAGGCACACAAAACAAUAGGUGAUUUUCCGUUAUCAGGCUUCUAUAUAUCUUUUCUUUUAGACCCUUUCAUAGUGGCAUGUUGCUCUUCAAUAUCCUUUAUCCCAAAAGAACAAGUUUUCCUAUGCACAACUAGAGUAGAGAGCUCAACAGUGGUCAUUCAUGUUAUCAUUAUAUCGUUCUUCAUUAGUAUUAGGUACAGUAAAUUCAACAACUUUGAUUGGCUCAGAAAUAAGGUUGUUAGUGUUAGAUAAAUUAAAAAGAGAAUAACUUACAUUAGGAUAAUCCUAAAAACUAAGGUUUGUAAGCACCAAUAAAAUUUUGCCACAUUAUCAAAAUUUAAAGGCAUGAAAUUAUUAUUAUACACUCAUCCAUAGGGAAAUUAUUUUAUGGACCUUUCCCACCACAUUAUUCAUGGUCAUUUUCCAACUAUUUAGUGGCAUUUCAACAAUUUUUUCCAUAUACUUGACAUAUAAUGUUGGUAACUUUUUACCCUGAAUCUAGAAUCUAGAAUCUAGAAUCCUGAACCUUAAACCCAAAACUCGAAUCUCAAACCUAUAACCCUAAACCUUUGGACCCUAAACAUGAUCCUUAAACCUCAAACCCUUAAACCCUAAAUUUGAAUCUUAAACCCCAAACCUAAACCCAAACCCAAUCCUUGAACCUUAAAUCUCAAAACUCAAAUCCUAAACUUAAACCCAAACCCAAACCCUGAACCUUAAAUCUCAAAACUUGAACCCUAAAUUUGCAACUAUUUCUUAUUUUGGCCAUUAUCUUAUUAUUUAUGAGAAUAAAUUUGUAUUUCAAGUCCCCUUAUUUUUGACAUUUAUGUGUUUAAAGAUGGGAAGCAUAUCUCUUAAUAUAUAUUAUAUCAUGUUUUAGUAUAUAAGUUAGUAAUUGAUUAAUUUUAAUUGAUAUUUUUUAGUCAUUUACUUGAUUUGUUUUGGGAAAAAAGAAUGAUUUUUUUUUGUUUAUUUUGAAGAUGUCUUAUCUUUUAUAAGACUUUUUACUCAUAUUUUAAUUUAUAUGAAGCAUUUUAUUUUAUGUCUAACCAUUGUCAUAUAUAUUAAAUAAGUUUUUUCUUCUUAUUUUAUUACUUUAGUAAUCACCAGUGGCAUCAUCAUAUAUAUUAUAACAAUAUAAGGUCACACUAAAAGGAAAUAGAUAGUAAUAUUCACAUUAUAGUUUUUUUUAUACAUGACACUCUCCGUAUGAACCAUUUAUUUAAAAUUUGGGUCAAGUACUCUUUUAUUUCUUGCUUUUUAACUUUUUAAAGUUAUUCCAUACCUUUUGUUUAAAUGUUUUUUUUAUAAUUUUUAUAUGUUAAAUAUAAAGUUGAUUUUAAAUAAAUUAACUCUUUGUUUUAAGAUUUACUUAAUUGAAUUAACUUUUAAUGUUAUUAUAUUAAAAUUAAUGAUUAUUAAAUUGUUAAGCUUAAAAUAUAAUUUAAAAAAACACAUAUUAAUAAUAUUUAUCAACUUAAAUUUAUAUUUUUCAAAUAUAAUAAGGACUAAUCACAUUCUUUGAUUAAAGUAAAGUAAUGAUUAAAUUUAUAUUUUUCAAAUAUAAAAUUCUCCACCUUGAACUUCUAUUCCAUGUCUCUUGAUCUUAGAUACUAUAUUUGACGAUCUAUCUCUAUUAGACAAUCGUUGGACUUGCCCAUCACGGCAUGAGAGGAGUUACCCCCUGUAAUGUUUGAUUAAUAACCGCAUCUCCUGUCUAUCAUUGAAGAAGGGAAGGAAAAGAAGAGAGAAAGACUAGGACUUUCUUUGCGAGAACAUGAACCCUGGUUCCCCUCUGUCACAUGUCAGAUCAAUGACGUAGAACAGAAAAAAUGCAUAGUUUUAUGAUAGAUCCCCAGAUCUCACCCUCACCUCUGCAAGCAAGAAAGAAUCAAGGGUAGCUUUCACGCCACUCAACUUUCAGGAUCGAGCCAGAGAAAGGAGAAAAAAAAAGAGCUUUCUUUCAAGCAGUUAGCUGGAGGUAGUGGGAAAACAAAGACCAAGGAAAAAAGUCAACGACGGGUUGAAGAACUUAGUUUCAAGACUCUAUCUGGGGCUAAUCGCGAAGAACCGUGCUAGCCGAGCUAGCCCAAAGGUGGAUUCUGCUUCUGCUUGAGCUACCUGAGUUGAAGGCAGAAGAAGCAAUCGGGAGGGAAGAGUCCAAGCUAUUCAUACUAACUUUAGCUUUGAGCAAGAGAAGAUUCCUUUCCACCCAGUCAAUCAUUGUGAUUGAAUUCUGAAAAAGAAAGAUAGAAAGAUCGGGCAAUCUCCUAUAUCAAGGCUUGGAACGAUCCCUAUAGCCACUGCUUGCCUAACAACUGUUAACCUUUAAAAUUCAAUUGUUCUGCUCUACGCUGGCACAAGGGCGUGACAAUCAAAUAUAAUAAUUUUGACCUUAAAACAAAUUAAUUUAACAAUAUAUAAAAUAAAUAAUUGUAAGAAAUUAUUAAUAAUAUUAUUUAAAUUAUAAUAUAUUAUUAUUAAUAGUAAAACUAGAAUUUUUAUUAUUAUUUAAUAUUAAAUAUUUUAAAAUUAAAUAAUAUUAAUAUAAUUGAGUUUAAAUUAGUUAAUUAUUUUUUAAAUAUUGUAUAUGUUUAAUUUUUGGAAAAGUUAAUUAAAAUUUUUAAAUAAAAAUUAAUUUUAUAAAAAUAUUGUAAAUUUAAUCAAACAACCAAAUGAGUGAUGCCUCUAAAAUAAUAAAAAUAUAUAUAAUUUUUAAUAUAUAUAUAAUACAUCAAAAAUAAUAAAAAUAUUAAAAUAAAUAUUUUCCCAACAAAUUAAAAAUAAAUUUUAAAAAUUAUGUUUACUUACAAUAACAACAAAAUAAUAGUAACAUAAUAGUAAAAUAGUAACAAAAUAGAAAAAAUAACAACAAGAAAACAAUAUUAAAACAAUAAAAAAUAACAAAUUUUUUUUGUGCUUUUGUGAAUUUGGACCGGGUGGGGUCAAGCCCGGAUCCAAAAAGUCUUACUCGUGCUUGACCCAUUUUUUGGAUAAACCUUUUUUUUAUUUAUCCAAAUUUAACUUUUGAAUCUAUAUUUUUACACAAUCUCCUCCACUUUUUGGGCAAACCUUCCUCCAUACGAGCCGGGAUUGAGCAGGUCUAGGCAUGACACAAGAAUGUAGUCGUCGUUUACUUGGCAGCUACCUUAUUUUCAUCUGAGCAUUUACUAAAAGAAGGUUUCCCUUAAGAGGCUCUAAAAUUAGAAAAUUCUCUUAUUUUUUGCUGCUAGUAUACUUCAUUCUCUCUAUUUUUUUAACCUAAAUGGAAAAAACCAGAAGAGAAAACAAACUUCUCGAAGAUCUCAAAGAAUAAGAAAAGGAGAAGCAGCAAGAAUGGUGGCAAUGCUAAUUUCAGUUGAAGAUGUUGGAUCGAUUACUGCAACAGUUAGAGUUGAUGUCAUCCUUGAUGAUUUACCAGACUCUCCAUCAGAACUAAGAAAAAGAGGUCCAAGCAUUCUUUUGACAACUUGUCACCAAGGGUUUCAAACAUGGUGCACAAACCCCACUUUGGAAGCCCUUAGAACCAUUGGAGAGAGGAACUAGAGAAGACAAUAACUAAUUUGAUUGCAGAAGAAGAUGAUUUCCAAGAUGCUCAAGAGGUUACUUCUAAAGUUUUAGAAGAUUUAAGUAUUGAUCUUAACAUUAAUAAUCAGGAUAAAGAGAUUGAGAGAGAGAUUGAUGUCUUGGUACAACAAGAAAAUCAAGGGACUGGAGAGCAUGCAGUUUCGAUUGGUUAACAAGCUAUCGAAACUCAUGUUGAAACAACUGAUGCGACAGAAAACAGAACAGAAGAUGUUUCUAAGCACAAUGAACUAAUGGUUGAUGUUAAGGCCAUUGAACUUGAAGUACCUUUGGCUUCUAAGCAUAGAGAAGCAAAAAGGAAAAGAAAAUAGGCGAUGGAAUCCACUGAACCAGUCACUGGAUCAAAAAGGAAAAAGGAGCAAGAUCAAAAUUUGAGUUUAAUGCUAUCCAGGUAAAACCAUCAAGGCCUCUCGUUUUUGGAAUAAUAUGCUACGAAAAAGAUGAAAAACUCUCUCUCAGGAAAGCUUUGUUAAAGAGAGAAACAUAGAUUAUGUAGGUUUUGGAAAGGUUAGUGUUCUAAAUCACUUGAAUGCACAAAACGUUAUGACGUCAAUCUCAUAUGCGAAAUCUUUUGUCUAGGAGAUAUACAGCAGUUCUAUACGUAACCUUUUGUCUCCUAGAUAUUUGAGUGUAACAUAUGCCAUCCUUCACAUAAUUGGACACCAUCAAGCAUCAACUCAUUCUUCAACAAUUAACAAGAAGCUUUCUAGAUAGGUACAACGAUCUCAUUUAAUCUAGGAGAAAUAAUUUGUAACCCGAUUGUUCUUGAACCUAAGAUUUAAGAUUUCCAAGAAGAUGAUACUGAGGAAGCCAAUGUUCCAACAACAUAUUUGAAUGCUUCUGUAUGGCCUUUUGCAGCAACUCAAAAGGCCAAGGUUAUUUAUUAAUUGAAGAUUGAAUUGAACAGCAUCAACACUGAUAUGCAGAAGUUAGUAGAGAAGAAGAGGAGGUUUGCAAGUCUUAUCGAGGAUCUAGGGCAUGCCACUUGGUAAAAGGGAGCUUUUGACAUCUUUAUCAAAAUGGGGAGAGAAUUGAAGGAAAUGAAAAUGUCUGGUUGUUUAAUUUUUACCUUCAAAUUCUAGCUCUGUUUUAUUUUGGAACUCAUUUGGUUUGUAAUAACUCUUUGAUGGAUUUCUAUAUACUCUCAUUUUAUGC